GCGAGCUACAGAGUUUACAAGCACUGGAUCUUGAAGGAUGUCUGGAGCUAGAAGAGUUGCCUAAAGACAUAAGGUACCUUGUCAGUCUCAGAUUGUUAGCGCUAACCACAAAACAGAAGUCUUUGCAAGAGAGUGGAAUAAGGAGCUUGGGUUCUCUUCGUUGUUUGACAAUUUCUGGUUGUAGGGAUUUAGAACAUUUGUUCGAGGAGAUAGAUCAAUUAAGUCUCCUUCGAACAUUAUUUAUUGAUAGUUGUCAUCGUCUAAUCUCAUUGCCACCUUCUAUCAAAUAUCUCAGCUCAUUAGACACUCUGCUUUUGUCGAGGUGUGAAAGCCUUGAUCUUAAUCUGAACGUGGAAAUGGAAGGUGAAGGAAGUCAUCAUGAUCGCAAAAACACAAGGCCUCACCUUCGGAGGGUUGUCAUCGGGGAAAUAACACAGUUAUUAGAACUGCCACAAUGGCUUCUUCAAUGUUGUACUGAUUCUUUACAGAACUUGUUAAUUGUUGAUUGUCCCAACUUCAUGGCACUACCAAGGUCUCUAAAAGAUCUCGAAGCUCUUGAAACUCUUGCCAUUAUAGGAUGUCCAAAAUUGUCAUCGUUGCCGGAGGAUAUGCAUCACGUCACUACUCUGAAAUCAUUGACCAUUAUAGGAUGUCCUGCACUGAGUGAAAGAUGCAAACCGCCAACAGGUGAAGAUUGGCCCACGAUUGCACAUAUCACUCAGAUUGAGCUUGAUGACGAGAUAAUCAAAUCAAGCGAUAUUUAGGUAUGAUUAAAUCAAGCGAUAAUUUGUACUAAUUUAUUUUCUUCUAAUACAUAACUAGUUUGUCAGUACAAAGGACAAAAAUAAUAUUUUGGAAACCGCACUGUUCAAGGGGUCAGAUCUGUUUCUAAAUUCAAACAGUUCAGGAUUUUUCAAAAUGGAACUUAUAAUGAGAUUUUUUUUUAAUUAUCUAGUUAUCUUCAUAUGGAAUUUCAAUCUUUGUUAAUACUUAACUUGCACCGAAACAUCUAACAAUUCUUCCUCUUAUCCUUUUUUUUUUCCCAAAUAUUGCAGCUUUCUUGGGAGAGGUUCAACCAAACUGCAGGGAGAGUGAAAAUAUUACUCUAACGUUGUUCAGAACAGAGGUUCAACGGUUUUAAUGUUGUGUUUUAAAGUUACAAGAAUUAAAUAUUCGUUACGUGUGGUUAUGUAAUUUGCUGAUAAAUAAGUCCAUUGAGUGAGGUAUAUGUGUGUGCCUGUGUGGUCAUUACUGAAUUUCUCAGUAAUAUAAUUUGCAUUGACUGCAGAUUUGUGAAGAACAUUGAUGUGUUGUGUAAUGGGAACGGUGGUGUCUGUAUUUUGUGCUUUGUGAUUGACGACUUACAUUUGCCCAGGAAGAAAUGAAAACAAAUCGGCUUCUUGAAAUUAACCAUUUAUUCUUUCGAAUGGUAACCUUUUUGUGACAUGAUUCGCAUAUUAAUCAAAAGCAGUUGGCAAACUAAUUAGAUAUUGCAUCGUGAUUCAUGGCCUUGAAGUGAAAUGAGUGAGCAUGUUUGUGGAGGUUUUUGUUUUUGUUUUUUUUUUCGAAAGAAUAUGUAUUUUAGGAUGAAAAUUCUGUACAUUAGAAAAUAUUAAAACAAAAAUUAAAGUUGAUAUGAGAAAAUUAAAGAAGCUUGCAACUUGGAACCGCAAGGAGCAAAAAUGGUAUGAAACUCUGUUUUGAUUAAAAUUCAAUGACUUUCUUCGUAUUAAUCAAAUUAAUUAAUUAAUUAAUUAUUUUGGUAAAAAGAAUUUGCCAAUUGUGUAAUAUUUACACUCCCAACAAAUUUGAAUGAAACAAUCCUAAUGUUCACUUUCUUCUUCGAUUUCAUUUUACGACUUAACAAAAACGAGAUGCUCCUGAUGAGGGAAAGGAGAAGAAGACACAGCGAGUUCGCAAGAACGUGUACAGAGGAAUAAGGCAGAGGCCAUGGGAGAAAUGGGCAGCUGAAAUUAGAGACCCUUACAAGGACGUCCGCGUUUGGCUCGGCACAGCCGAAAAAGCUGCAAGAGUUUAUGCUGACGUCGCCAAGAAUAUCCGUGGCAACAAGGCCUAGCUCGACUUUGCUCACCGGCCGCCAGUAACUCCACCUCCAGGUAAGAAACGCUUCGUGCUAUCCCGUGAGUUGACUCAGCCGAGUUUCGGAGAUUACUUUUUUAUUGGUUUUCAUUGAUUUCUUUUCCUGCUCUUAUCUACGAGGUUGUGCUUUCCCUUGGAUGCCCUUUAAUAAACAGCUUUCCUAAUAACAACUGAAGCGAAAAGUCAUUUUAUCAAAUGAUUUGGUGAAAUUUCAAGUACUUUCAUCUUGGGAUGUGGUAUAUGUAUCAAGUUCUUAUUGCUGGUGAACAUUACUGGUUUAGUGUGCGAUCGUUUACUAUCACUGCAUGCAUUAUCAAUUUAUUUUAUUGAACUAUCCCAAAUCAGUAACGAAUCCUCAAUUCCCUCUGUUUUCUUUGGAUCCUAGUAGUGUUUGGCAUGCAUCAACUAGUGUUCAUGCAUGUGUCGGUUCAUCAUAGACAACUUCAGCACACAUACAACAGCCCUCAUUUCUCCUUGCUCCAACCAAUCGAUGGCAGAAUCAUCACAGACACCUUGAGCUCUGUCGAAUCAUCAUAGACAAUUUGUGAUUAGUGGGAGCAUUACAUGAAAGGUGCGACUACUUCAAACUGUUAGAUUUGUUAACAUGAUUCGGCUAUAGUUCUAUAAUUGGUGAGUUUUUGUGGGUUUGUUUGAUAUUUUUUUGUGGGUUUGUUUCUCAUAAUCUUUAUCCAGUCAAAGCAAACGUUCGCCUCUCACAUUGUCGGUUAGGCUAGAUGUUUGACCCUGAAUAAGAUGAUUGAGUUUAUUAUAGUCUUCUUAUAUUGUCGGUUCAAUAUCAUUUUGAAAUAUCACAUCAAUUCCGCUUUUGGAGUUUUAAUCCAUGCCCAGUUACACCUUUAUUUUACUUUUAAGCUGCAACAUUGAGUCACAUUCUUUUUCUGUUAUUAUUACGAUUAGCGACUGGUACAGUGGUAUUUGAACUGCAUAGCGUGUCAACAUUCACUCUAAAUGUCUUAGAAACUCUGUCUAUCACUAAUUUCCUAGAACAGGCCUCGUUGACAGUCAAAGAUUUGAGGCGUAUUUCUGGAUUGAAGGCUUUUCUCUAGUCAAUUUGAUGAUAAGCGCAUUUAUUAUCUCCAGCAUUAAGUAGUAAUUUGUAACUAGUAGUAGCCAGUACCUAAGAUGUUGCAUUUGACUGUCUUCUCUUUCUGGUUCAGUUUCGACCUUUGGAGCUGUUUUAGACAUGGUAACGGAUAGGUAAUUUCUCUCUACCCCACCCCCCAAUGUAUCAAUAGUCAUCAUUCGUUCUGGUUGGUGGAGAUACGCAUACUAAUUUGGAUUAUUGUCCGUGCCUUCGUCUUUUGUCAAUAAUCUUUUGCAUUUCAGGAUUAGUACAGCUUGUCUACUGGUAAUACAAAUGAAUUGUAAGAGGAUAUGGUUACUUUAGAUUGCAAUUUAAGAAUGCUUGAGUUCUAAAAGCACAGAAAUGGGACCAGUCUCUUGCUCGAGGGUAAACUCCUUCGUCAGUUAGUGAACUGUCCAUCAAAAGUAAAUAUUUAUGUGAUUGAGAGAAAUUUUGGAUUUUUGAUGAAAACAAAAAUCCUGUAUGCAUUUGCUUGCCCCCAAGGAGCUGAAGAUUCUCAAAUUGUUUGUAGACGUAAUAGUUCUUCUGAUAUCAUUUGGCUUGCUAAUCUUUCUUGCUCGAAAAUUUACCCGUUGUGUGGUCUUGAUGGUGGGUGAAAUUGAUGUGUGGUUUCAGAUGAAGACGGCAGCAGAUAUGUGUGUGCCAUAUGACAUCGAGAAAAAGCAAAAACCUUAAAGAGUUCAUCAACAUUUUCCAUUCAGAAGAAUCUGUUUUGUGGUUUUCAUGCUCGAGUGCCUACUUUUCAGUAUGCAAGCAGAGGAUUUGGCAUUAAUUUGGGGAAGCCUUUUUUUUGGGUAUAUGAGUGUGUGCAUUCCUUCAAUCACGUAGCUUUGUGCCAUUAACAUAAUGGCAAUUCCACAAUUGUGAUAAUGAUAAUUUUAUGAUUGGGGCAUAUUGUUAGGAACUCUUUACUGGUUUUUCUUUCCCCAUCUGUGUCUAUGAUUAAGGUUGUUUAAGGUGUUAUGGCUUUUAAUCUGCAAUCAUUGCGAAAGGGACUCACUAGCCGGCAAAUAGUAAAACAUAGUGCUGUCAAAUUUUAUAAGGAUUAUAUAUACAUACUCUUUCGUCUUCAAUGCACUGAAACUGGGGAACCAUCUAUAUGAUUUUCUUUCAGAAAAACCGGCGGGAACUAAUGACUUUCAUGAUUAAAAGUAGGAUUAUCAUAUUAUGGAGCAUUGUUAUGUAACGUUUUAUGGUUAUCUUAAGGCAAAAGUUGGCUUAGAAAUUAACUGAAAGGCAAUAUUCAUUCUAUCAUAAAACAAGUGUUUUUUAACAAGGGGAGAAGGUUCCCUUUAUAAUUUACUAAUUUAUGCAACCGUUAAUAUUAAAACAAAAAAAUUAAACAUAUGAUGUGGUAACCAAGGAAUCAAUUAGUAAAGUAUGUAUAUAACAUAUGAUGUGGUAAGCAAGGAAUCAAUUAUAUAUUUCUUGUUUCUGUAAAAAUGAAUAAUCCUUUAACGAGGGUUAUCAUCAAUUGCAGGUUUCUAGUUUGGUUGCUUAGUUUGAAGACCACGAAUAUUACAUUAUCAUAAUCAAAGGAAAGAAUAUAUGCUACAGUCUUUGCCUGAUCUACUUUCUUCUUUUUAAUUAACCACUUAGAAGGAAAGAAUUUUGUAUACAGAGCAGUUACCAAUUAUAGUAUAAGUUCAUAUUGAUUAAUUUGUCCUUCUUCAGCCAAAAAAAAAUAUAUAUAUUCUCAUCUCAGCACGUAUACAACAAUCCUUAUUUCUCUGUGCUCCAACCAAUUGAUAGCAGAAUCAUCACAGACACCUUGAGCUCUGUCGAAUCAUCAUAGACAAUUUGUGAUUGGUGGGAGCAUUACGAGAAAGGUACGACUACUUCACACUGACAGAUUUGUUUAUAUGAUUCAAAUUUAUAUGUGGUUAAUUUGUCCUUCUUCAGCAAAAAACAAUCCCAUUUCAGCACAUCUACGAGAGCCGUCAUUGCUCUUUGCUACAGCCAAUUGAUAGCAGAAUCAUCAUAGACAAUUGGUGAUUAGUGGGAGCAUAACAAGAAAGGUACGACGACUACAAACUGGUAGAUUUGUUUAUAUAUUUGGCUGUAGUUUUUAUAUAUGGUUAAAUUAUGACAAUAAUCAAGAGAUAAUCAUGUACAUCAUUAAUUACAUAAAUGUACAUACUAAUUUAUUCCUCUACUUGCCAGAUCCAUACAUAUAAAAAUGAGAUAAAUUUUAAGGUUUAAAACUUUGCAAUUCAUUGAAAAUCUAGUGGGAUAUUAGUUGGUAAAACCUCUCAGGGGUAGUACAAGAGGUUUAUGAUUCCCCAAUCCAUUUUUGUGGGUGGAGAGGGAAUUAAGUGUUUUUUUAAUAAAGAAUUAAUAAUCAAAUUAAUAACUUAUCAGUAGUGGAAUGGAAAUUUUUUGGAGAGGCUAUUUGGCUCGGAACAUAUAUUAAAAUGGGGAUAUUUGAACCCACCACAAUACUCUCUACAUCCACUUCUCAAUAAAAAAUUUUAUUACAAAAUUUUCCUUAAUUAAAUUACUAUUUUAGCCAAAUAUUACGUUCAUUUAUCUCCCUAUAAUUUUUAUGUUUUACACCCUUUUUCCUCUUUUCCUCUCUUUCUCCCCAAUUUUUUUCCAGUCCUAGGUGGUUCUUAUAUUUUAAAGCUUCUAUUGGGGUAAAAUCUCUAUUAAAAUUGCUUAUCAAAAAAAAAAAAAAGUCUCUUUUAAAAUUUGUCUUUCCUUUACCCUUGAGUUACUUUUAGAUGUAUAUGUUCACGAUGAAAGUUUAGUGAUUCGAUUUCUAUCAAAUAUUUUAAUUUCAAAAAAAUGAGAAGAUCACUAUUCAAAUAUCAAAAGAUCACUGUACAAAUAUCAAAAGAUCACUAACUUAAUUAUACUAGUAACAAUUAAGAUAAACAAAAGACUUACUAUUGCUGUUUGAAGUUAUUAUGAUAAAGAAAGAAAGGAAAAAAAAAUAAACAAGUCGCUGCAAUUGUAGCAAUUGAGGAUAUGUUAAUAGAAGUGUUAUAGAGAUAAGAUUUAAUUGAUAAAAAUAAGAUUUAAUGGAAAGUAGUGAGAGAAACAACUAAUAAAAAUUAAUGAUAUUUAUUAAGGGUAUAUUAGGAAUAUUUGUGGGUUUUGUUUUAGGUCAAUAAAUAAAUUUUAAAUUGUGAUAAUAUAUUUAUUACGUAAAUGGAUUUAUUCAGUACUCUAGAAGGUUUAAAUUGCCUCACCUCUCAUAUUAUAACAAAUUUUUAUAUUACUACAAUAACCCCAAUAGAGAGAACAAUGCAAUGAAAAUAUUGCUACUCUUAUACCCAUUGAAGAUACAAUAUCAUCUUUGUACAUAUAAAAACACUCUAGCGCCCAAGUAAAAUUUGUAGUGUAACGUAUAAGAACUCUAAGAGUAAAGAGAAUUUCGUCCAGGUAUUGUAGUAGUAUUUAAUGCUCUUCACUAGUGUAAACAUUGUGCCACGUGUUGUAUUUCGAUCUUGACAAGUGGCAUUGCAAAUAGUGACUCUUAUUUUGGGUUUUAUCGUUACUCUAGAGAUACAUCAGCUUUGGAGCUAGUAUUAGGUCUUCUUUUAAUUAAACAUGUGGUUUAUUUUAUCCUUUCAUCAGAGCAUUUUCUGCAGAAUAACCUUGUCAAAUUAAUGCUUAUUUAUCAAGGACACGUGUUGCGUUGUCAGAGCAUGGUAAAAAUAUGACAUGUUGACCCACGUGUAUUUAUGAAAAAUCAAAUGAAAAAAAAAAAAUAAAAGAAAUAAAAGUACAAAAGCUAACUAAUAAUGUUGGAGUUUAAGAAGAUUAAUAUUAUAAGAAAGAAGAGUAGGUUCAAUGAGAACUAUCCUAACAUUAAAACACUGUUUUAAAUAAAUUUUGUUUCAAAAACUUUUAUUCAAUAAGUUAUGGAGAUCGUUCAAAAUAUAUUUUAGGUACAAACUCAUUUGUUUGACAUAGUAGUAUGUCUCGUAAUGGGACUAGCAGUAUCAAAUCAACUUAUGUCGAUACGAUCCGUUGAAUUUAAUAUUUAAAAAAAAAUUAUCAUCCCAUUAUAGAAUACAUAGCUUUGACAUUUGGUAGAGAAUGGUUGGUUGGCACACCAUUACUUACAUGAAUAUUUCUAAUGUAUGAAUCCGCUAUUAGGGAAUUUUAAUCCUACCUAAGAUCCUGUAAGUACAAAUAUCAAAUAAAUAGUAAAUAGACAACAUAUAGAGAAUAAAACUAAUCAUACAACACAAUAAUUUAUGUGAAAAACAUACUAGAAAAAAGCUACGGCCGCUAAAGACGAUGGGAGAAAAAUCUACUAUAGAAAAAUUAUUACAAUCACUCUAAUAUUUUUCUCACACGCAAAAUCACAAUAACAACUAAUCUCUCAAUAGACCUACUGCUUCUCUCACAUUAGAAAUUGUCUACUUAUAGAGAACUGAUUGUUGUGUCAUGCAAACAAGUGAAUCCAACCUCCCAUAUAUACUAAUUAUUUUUUAUACGAUAAGUAUUUCUUUUAUUAUGUAAGUCGUAUUUCUCCUUAAAUAAGUUUUUUAGAAUUACUUAUUCAUUAGAAAUGAACCCCCCUGAAUAAGAAAACUAUUAAAUAAAAAAUUCUAGGAAAUAUCCUAAUCUAGGACUUACAAACUCUCAUUGAAAAAAUAGAUAUGUUUGCUAAAAAUCUCCACUUUGGCGAGUUUUUUAAUUAAGUGACAAAACAUGAUCCACCAUGUAUUCGUACAAGCAUGUCGUCUCCACCUUCUUUACUCCACCAAAACCACACUCACAUAGGCCUUAUGAGAAUCACUCCACUAUAGUAAAAUCUUAUCCUUUAUCUAGCAGCUCUAAUUCUCUACAUCGAAAAUCAUUGUACUUCACCUUAUCCAGUACACAUAUUCGGCACAUAUCGAACACCAUUAUUAAAAUACCCACUCUCAUGUUUGGCUUCUUUGAGGGUCCUUAGCAAUCAACAUAAAAAAUCCACCAUAUACUUUGCAUAAUUAUUAAACCAUGGCUUGUAUGCAAAUCUUGUGGACCUGUUAGUAGGAACAUAUCCUCUUCCAUGGCGCACAAAAAAGGAUAAACUAGUCUCUCAUGAAAAAGGAGACAACAUUAUCAUUAUCUCUUUCUAUUAAUUUAGACCUACUUACUGAAUCUGCUAUAUUACAACAAUGUUUUUUUAAUGUGCUUUUAUUGCCUACACUUCUCUAAGGGUUUCUACUAGUGGAAUGAGUUUUACAUUGCUCUUUGCUUUUCUUGUAUAACCAGAUUGAAUCAAUAUACUAUUGACUCGAAUUUGCCACUAGCCAAAAUUGAUUAUUUCGUCACACUUUUUUAUUUCUAUCUUCAUAGGUUUUGAAAACUUCAUCGUUGACAUAUUUGCUCAACAUUGCAGCCUUAACUAUGUUAUCACUUUUUAAGAAAUAGCUAAUCCCACACAAGACUUUGCAAGCAAAAAUAUCAAAUGCAAAGUUAAAAAAAAAUAGUUGGAAAAUAAAACUAAUCAAACAAUACAAGAAUUUACGUGUUCGAGAAAAACUAUGGCUGCCAAGGAUGAUGUGAGAAAAUCAACUAUACAAAAAUUAUUACAAUUGCUCUAGAAUUUUGCUCACACCUAAAACCCCAAAAGCACCUAAUCUCUUAAUAAAACUAUUGUUUCUCUCACACUAGAAAUUGUCUACUUGCAAAAAAUUUAUUGCUAUGUUAUGCAAACAAGUAAACCCAAUCUCUCUAUAUAUAGUGAUUAUUUCUUAUAAGAGAGGUAUUCCUUCCCUUAUAUAAUUUGUAUUCCUCAAACAAGUUAAGUUCUGAAGAAAAAAUUACUUAUUUCUUAAAUAUGCAUCAUCUUGAAUAAGAAGACUAUUAAAUAAGAAAAGUUUAGAAAAUAUCAUAAUUUAAGAUUUACAAAUCUUCUUUGAAAAAGGAGACGUAUUUCCUAAGAUCUUCAUAUCCUUCUACAAUGCCACCAAUCUUUUUUUGUUAAUCAUUGCUAACGGACUAGCCCAACUAAAACUUUUAAAUUGAUGGGUCGUAAUGGCCAAUAUCCAAAUAAAAUAAAUUCUUAUAGGUAUAUUGAUAGAUUGAAUGACAACUGAAAACAUAUGACUUAAUUAACUUACUUCCGAAGAAAAAAAGAAAAAAGAAAGGUAUAGUGGAUGAACAUAAGACUCUUGUGCAAUUCAUGGAAUUCGUCAAUAAUGCACUGGCGGAUCUACCUCAUAAUUAGUGGUCAAACCCUUGCUUAAUAAUGAGAAAAAUAUUUGAAUUAAUAAUUAUUCUUUUUAAGUAUAUUUAAAUUUUAACUUUAAAAAUUAUAAACGUCCACACUUUAAUUAAAACAAUACAAGUCCACCCGUUUGUAUUUAAAAUUUUUGUUUGAAUUUAUUCAAGAGCAAAAAAAAUAGUAUAGAUGGAAAAAAGAAAAAAAAAUACCAUCAAAUAAUAUUCCAUGACUCUGUUUCUUCAGUUUCAAGAGCAAUGGUGGAAUCAUUUUUUCCAAUUGAAAAACUUUUGGAAAAAUUAGGAAGCUUUGCUUAUGAAGAACUUUUAUUGUUCUGCGGUGUCAAAAAUGACUUAGAAAAGCUAAAAGAGACAUUAACCACUGUCAAAAGUGUGGUUUUGGAUGCCGAGGAAAAGCAAGUCCAUAGUCACCAGUUAAGAGAUUGGCUGGAAAAGCUUAAGGACGCUUGUUAUGAUGCAGAAGAUGCGUUAGAUGAAUUCGAGGUCGAAGAUCUACGAAGGCAAGUCAUGAAGCAAAGAAGCAUCGGAAGAAAGUUGCGUAACUUUUUUGGAAGCUCAAAUCCAAUAGCUUUUCGUUUUAGAAUAGGUCAUCAAAUAAAGAAAAUCAGAGAGAGGUUUGAUGAGAUUGCAAACAUGAUGGGUAAGUUUAAUCUCACUCUAAGACUUGACGAUCAUAGGCGAGUAGUGCACGAAGAAAGGGAACCUACUCACUCAUUUGUGCGUCCAUCAGAUAUUAUUGGAAGAGAUGAAGACAGAGAAAAGAUUAUUGAACUACUGAUGCAAACAAGCGAUGGCAAAAGUGAAACGGUGUCUGUUAUUCCUAUUGUGGGAAUUGGAGGUCUGGGCAAAACUGCACUAGCAAAAUUGGUGUACAAUGAUCAAAGGGUAGAAGAGCAUUUUGAGUUGAAAAUCUGGAUAUGUGUUUCUGAGGAUUUUGGUAAGAGGCAAAUUAUGACAAAGAUUAUCAAUUCUGUUACUGGUGGAAACCACGGUAACUUGGAUCCAGACAGAUUGCAAAAAGUGUUGCGAGAUUCUUUGAAUGGUAAGAGAAACUUGCUUGUUAUGGAUGUUGUAUGGAACGAAGAUCCUAGAGCAUGGGGUGAAUUGAAAAGCUUAUUGUUGGGAGGUGCUGAAGGAAGCAAAAUUCUGGUAACCACACGUAGCAACAAGGUUGCUUUAAUAAUGGCCACGAUGAGGGGUACUACUGGUUACAACUUACAAGAGCUGCCAUACAAGGACUGCUUGUCUUUGUUUAUGAAAUGUGCAUUUAAAGAAGGGCAAGAAAAACAUCCAAACCUCGUAAAAAUCGGGGAAAAAAUUGUGGAAAAAUGUAGAGGAAUUCCUUUGGCAGUGAGAAGAGUAGGAAGUCUAUUAUAUGGCUCAACAGAUGAACAUGAUUGGGAGUAUGUGAGGGAUAAUGAUAUAUGGAAGUUACGGCAAGCGCCUGAUGACAUUUUACCUGCUCUGAGGUUGAGCUACGAUCAAUUACCGCCUCACCUGAAACAAUGCUUUGCUUACUGUUCUAUCUUUCUCAAGGAUUAUGAAUUUGCAAGUGUUCAUUUGGUUCAACUUUGGAUGGCUCUGUUGUGCGCGGAAUGCGGAAUCAAGCGCACCAAAAAUUACUGAAAAAUAAAGGACACAAGAAUUUACGUGGUUCGGUAAUUAAACCUACAUCCACGGAGGCAAGAAAGAAUAAUUGUUUAUUUAACAAUUAAUAGAAUACAAUAUUUGAGUAACGAAUCUCACUUCCCAGAAACCCAAAUAUACCCAGUACUCUCACACUCUGCAGAAAAGAUAAAUUCCCCAGACACACUUCUCUUACUUCUCUCAAAAGCUUAGAAACUUAUAAGCUUAACAAUUUUGGGAUGAUUUCAAAUGAAUGAAAUCCUAAGCUAUUUAUAGGAAAAAUGUUGGCACUAUGCAAAGAAUAAAAUAAUUGAAAAUAUAAUAAAUAAUUAUUAUUAUUUUCAAUACAUCCCCUUUUUCCAUUCUUUCUUUUCGGCUAACAAAAACCAAAUUGGAUUUUGCUUCUCCAAAGCCUUCAUGCUAACAGUUGCAAAGUUGGCAUUUGCUUAUGACUUUUCAACAAUUCUCCACCUCGGCGAAAAUUUAUCCAAAUCUGAGCCGAUUGACAAUGAUCCGCCAAACUUCAUCCCUCACAUGAUCCUCAAAAGGAUCCACAUUGGCUGCAUCUAUCCGACUGCCUACGUACCCAAAAUUUGGGAUCAAGCCAACCGUAGUUCAUAAUUCCCGAAGGAUAUAUCUUAACACAAUCGAAGGAUUUGAAUUAAUUUCAAGCAAUGUUGAAAAUUAACUCCAGAAACUACCUUCGUCAACAUAUCUGAUGGAUUAUCUUUGGUAUCGAUCUUUCUCAACAACACAACACCGCUCUCGAUAAUCUCUCUCACAUAAUGAUAUUUCACAUCUAUAUGCUUCGUCCGAGCGUGAUAUGUUUGAUUCUUCGCAAGGAAUAUCGCACUUUGAUUAUCACAGAAGACCGCAAUGUUCUCCUGGAUUACUCCCAAAUCACCUAACAAGCCUUUCAACCAGAUAGCUUCUUUUACAGCUUCAGUUGCUGCCAUAUACUCUGCUUCCGUAGUGGACAGAGCAAUUGUCGAUUGUAGAAUCGACCUCCAGCUAACCGGACCUCCACCCAAUGUGAAUACGUAGCCCGUUGUUGAUCUUCGCUUGUCAAGGUCUCCAGCGAAAUCAGAAUCAUAAUACCCAACACAUUGUUGACCACAAUCCUUCUUGAACAAUAACCCAACAUCAACUGUCUCAUACAGAUAUCGGAGAAUCCACUUUACCGCAAGCCAUUGAUUUUUGCCCGGAUUGUGCAUGUAUCUACUAACCAUGCUCACUGCUUGAGAUAUAUCGGGCCUUGUGCAUACCAUAGCAUACAUAAGACUACCCACAGCACUAGCAUAGGAAACACGAGCCAUGUAAUCGCGCUCCUCUUGAGAUCUAGGACAUGAAGAAUAGCUUAAUUUGAAAUGAGGAGUUAGAGGUGUACAUACCGGUUUAGUUUUGUCAUCCAUACCGAAUCUUUCUAGCACUUUCUUCAAAUAAGACUUUUGAGUCAACCAUACGCUCCCAUUCUUCUUGUCUCUAUGAAUCUCCAUCCCAAGUAUUCUUUGUGCAUCACCUAAGUCUUUCAUCUCGAACUCAGAAGUCAGCUGCUUCUUUAAUCUUUCGAUCUCAUCUUUAUUCUUCGAAGCUAUAAGCAUAUCGUCGACAUAGAGUAACAAAUAGAUGAAAGCUCAAUCUGGUAGUCUUCUAAAAUAAACACAAUGAUCGUGUUCACUUCUGGUGAAUUUCUGCCCUUGUAUAAAUUGAUCAAAUCUUUUGUACCACUGCCUUGGCGAUUGCUUCAGUCCGUACAAAGAUUUAAUCAACUUACACACAUGAUUCUCCUUUUCAGCAACUCUGAAACCACAAGGCUGAAUCAUAUAGAUUUCCUCCUCCAAAUCUCCAUGUAAGAACGCCGUCUUAACAUCCAACUGAGCCAACUCUAACUCAUAUUCUGCAACUAAGGCAAGUAGGAUACGAAUGGAAGUAUGUUUUACAACUGGAGAGAAAACUUCAUUGUAGUCAAUACCUUCCUUUUGAGCAAAACCUUUUGCCACGAGCCUUGCCUUGUAUCGAGGAGUUGUUUGAUUCGGAGAUCCUUGCUUUUUGGUGUAGACCCAUUUAUUGCCAAUAGCCCUUUUCCCCUUUGGUAACUUUACAAGUUCCCAAGUCUGGUUUUGAUGGAGAGAUUUCAUCUCUUCCUCCAUGGCUAGCUUCCACUGAUCACUUUCAUUGCUGCGUAAUACUUCACCGAAAGUAUUGGGGAUGUCAUCAUCAAUAACUGGAAGUGCAUAGGCUACCACCAUAUCUUUAGUAAGCCAUCCGGGUUUCUUUAUCUCUCUUCUUGGCCUCCUUGUUGCUAUAAAAUCAUCAUCAUCUACAUCAUCAAUUGUUUCUUCAUUUUGUGGGACAUCAGAAGAAACAACCUAUUCUUCAAUUUUAGGUGUCACCUCCAUAGUUGAACCAUUCUUUGAUGUAGAACUAACUGGUACAUAUGGAGUUGCAUCAAACUCCACCCGCUGCAAUACCUCUGUGGUCUUGUUCUCCACCUACUGAGAACUUGAAGCUUUUAUAAUUGAAGCUUCAUCAAAUGUGACAUCUCUGCUACACACAAACUUUUUAUCUUCGAGAUCCCAAAGCUUGAAGCCCUUUACUCCACCUUUAAAUCCCACAAAGAUAGAUUUUCUAGCACGAGGAUCCAGUUUACCAUCUUUGACAUGAUAAUAAGCUGGACACCCGAAUACACAAAGGGAAUCAUAGUCUUGUGCAUGCUUUCCAGACCACAUUUCCAUAGGAGUUUUACCUCCAAUUGCAGCAGAAGGCAACCGAUUUACCAAGUGACUUGCGUAGCUCACAGUUUCAGCCCAAAACUUUUUAUCUAAACCAGCAUUAGAUAACAUACAUCGUACCUUCUCCAGUAAAGUACGAUUCAUAUGCUCAGCCACACCGUUCUGUUGCGGAGUAUGUCUCACCGUGAAAUGUCUUUUAAUACCCUCGUUCUGGCAUACUUGCAAGAAUGGAUCAGAAGUAUAUUCACCCCCAUUAUCAGAUCGUAAUACUUUGAUCUUUCUGCCAGUUUGAGUCUCCACCAAUUUCUUCCACUUCACGAAAAUCUCUAGAACCUCAUCCUUUGCUCGCAUGGUGUACACCCAUACACGUAUAGAGAAAUCAUCAACAAAUAUAACAAAAUAAUGGCUUCCACCAAUUGAUGCAGUCUUGGUUGGUCCCCAUACAUCACUAUGAACAUAUUCAAGGAUCUCACGAGUAUCGUGAUUAGCUGUACCAAACUUGACCCUUGUUUUCUUGCCUACUACACAAUGCUCACAGAAAUUUAAUUUACAGGUUUUGGUACCUUUUAAGAGUCCAUGCCUCAUCAGAGUUUGCAAAGACUUCUCUCCUGCAUGUCCCAGUCGUACAUGCUAUAGCUUGGUGGUGUCACUGUGCGCCUCAACAACAUUUGCUUCAUCAGUUGUACCUACCUUCAAAUAGUACAGAUUGUGAUGCCGAACCCCUUGCAGAAUCACCAUAGCCCCAUGUGUAAACUUUAUUGUGCCAUCUUCAAUUGUAACUUUGUAACCUUUAGCUUCCAAAGCACCCACAGAAAUUAGAUUUUUCUUUAUCUCUGGAACAAAUCUAACCUCUUUGAGUUCUCUGACCAUUCCAUCAAACAUUUUGAGCCGAAUUGUUCCUAUCCCUAUUGUGCGACAAGGUUGAUUAUUCCCCAUCAUAACUGCACCGGAUUCCAGAUUACGAAAAUCCGUAAACCAUUCCUUAAUAGGACACAAAUGAUAGGUUGCUCCAGUAUCAAGUAUCCACUCACUCGAACUAGCCACAUAUGCUGCAGGAGUAAUACUUAGUGAAUAAUCAGAGUUCUCAUCUUUCCGUGCCAUGUUUGCUGCUGCUGGUUUCUUCCCAUCUCUCUUUUGAGCCUUUGGACAAUCUUUUCUCCAAUGACCCUUUUCAUGACAAAAGGCACACUCAUCUCGAGCUAUAUUUCUGCUUCUCGAUUUGGAUCGAGAAUUCUUUCCACCACGCUUCUUCUGUUUCUCCAUCGCCCAAUCUCUGCUCACCAAAGCUUCAGACGAUGCUCGUUCAGAAUUUUUAUCAUUAUUCCGAAUCUCCAAACUAGUCAAUGCUGUGCAAACAUCUUUAAAGACGAUCACACUCUUCCCAUAUAUCAAAGUAGUCACAAAAUGGCUAUAUUCCUCUGGUAGUGAGUGUAACAGAAUCAUAGCCUUGACUUCAUCUUUAAUAUCUUCAUCAAGAUUCUUCAAAUCAGCAAGUAACUUUUCAAAUCUUGAAACAUGAUCGUGCAUUGACACCCCAGACUUCAUUCGAAAGCCAUAUACUUGGCUCAUUGCAUGAAGACGAUUUUCAGGACUUUUCACCAGGUACUUCUCUUCCAAUGUACGCCACAAAGUCACUGCACACUCCUCAUCUUUCACCAAGUAUUUCACCUCCUUGGUCAAACAAGAUCUGAUCUGACCACAGGCUUUCUCGUUCAUACGAUCCCAAAUUUCUUCAUCAUACAAGUGUCUUUUAUUUUUCAGGACAACAUCGAGAUCGAUUUGAAUAAGGGCAUCCAUAACUUCGCGCCUCCACAUGCCGAAGUUGAUUUUCCCAUCAAACUUUUCAACAUCGAUCUUCUGGCCUCCUAUAACAGGUGCUGAAUAGCGAUUUGACAAAUCUCGCCUCCCACCUGAAGUGUCUCCUGAAAUAGUCUCGGUAGAUCUCUCCCCAAUUCUGGAAGUUUCACCUUCUACCAUUUUUUCAACGAACUAUUUCCACUUGAAAAACAGCCUCUAUGAUGUUAAUUUUGCGUGAAUAAAUGCACCAGGAAAGUUCCCAGGAAACUGGACGGGAACUCGGUCCCAAUUAAAAACCAGAAUCCUUAGACUCUUAUCGCUUUGUUGACAGAACUUUCCUAGACAUGCAAAAAUACACACUACUUACAAUAGACUGUCUCCUAAGUACAAAUGGCCGUCUCUACCGUAUUCGUGAACAGUACCGUAUGUGAAUAGUACCGUAUACGGAAAUAGUACCGUAUACGGGAAUAGUACCGUAUACGGGAAUAGUACCGUAUACGGGAAUAGUACCGUAUACGGGAAUAGUACCGUAUACGUGAACAGUACCGUAUCCCCCCAAGUACGAACCGUCGGCUCUGAUACCACUUGUUGUGCGCGGAAUGCGGAAUCAAGCGCACCAAAAAUUACUGAAAAAUAAAGGACACAAGAAUUUACGUGGUUCGGUAAUUAAACCUACAUCCACGAAGGCAAGAAAGAAUAAUUGUUUAUUUAACAAUUAAUAGAAUACAAUAUUUGAGUAACAAAUCUCACUUCCUAGAAACCCAAAUAUACCCAGUACUCUCACACUCUGCAGGAAAGAUAAAUUCCCCAGACACACUUCUCUCACUUCUCUCAAAAGCUUAGAAACUUAUAAGCUUAGCAAUUUUGGGAUGAUUUCAAAUGAAUGAAAUCCUAAGCUAUUUAUAGGAAAAAUGUUGGCACUAUGCAAAGAAUAAAAUAAUUAAAAAUAUAAUAAAUAAUUAUUAUUAUUUUCAAUACAUCCCAUUUUUCCAUUCUUUCUUUUCGGCUAACAAAAACCAAAUUGGAUUUUGCUUCUCCAAAGCCUUCAUGCUAACAGUUGCAAAGUUGGCAUUUGCUUCUGACUUUUCAACAGGCUCAUGGUCUUCUCUAAUCCCCUAAUAAGAAUGAAGAACUAGAAAAUAUUGGUAUGCGGUAUUUCAAGGAAUUAUGUUCAAGAUCUUUCUUCCAAGAUUUGGGUGAUCUGUUACCAGGACUGGAGGUUUUCAAUUUUCAAAUACACGACCUUAUGCAUGAUCUUGCACUGCUAGUGGCUAAAGGCGAAUGCCUAACGGUGAACUCUACUGGUCAGUCUAUUCCCAAAAGUGUCCGCCAUUUGUCAUUUGUCGGUGUUAAUGCAUUAAGAAAUGAUUUUGCAAGCUUUUUACCUGACUUAGGUCGUGUGAGAACCAUCUUGUUUCCAAUUGAUGAUGAGAGGACAAGCCAGUCAUUUGUUACAUCGUGCAUCUCAAAGUCGAAGUCCCUGAGAGUGCUAGUUUUAACGAACUCUGCUAUUGAGGUUUUGCCAAGAAAGAUGGGUAAUUUGCGAUCUGCAGAGUUUACAAACACUGAAUCUUGGAGAUUGUCUGGAGCUAGAAGAGUUGCCUAAAGACAUAAGGUACCUUGUUAGUCUCAGAAUGUUUGUGGUAACCACAAAACAGAAGUCUUUGCUUGAGAGUGGAAUAGGGUGCUUGAGUUCUCUUCGCUUUUUGAUGAUUUCUAAUUGCGGGAAUUUAGAAUAUUUGUUUGAGGAUAUAGAUCAACUAAGUGUCCUUCGAUCAUUAGUAGUUAAUGCUUGUCCCCGUCUCAACUUAUUGCCACCUGCUAUGAAAUACCUCAGCUCAUUAGAGAGACUAAUAUUUGAUGAGUGUGAAAGCCUUAGUCUUAGUCUAAACAUGGAAAUGAAAGAGGAAGGAAGCCAUCAUGAUCGCAAAAAUGUUGGGUCUCACCUUCGGACGCUUUACGUUGCGAGACUAACACCGUUAUUAGAAUUGCCACAAUGGCUUCUUCAAGGUUCUAGUAAAACUUUACAGACCUUGGCUAUUGGAGAUUGUCCCAACUUCAUGGCACUACCAGGGUCUCUGAAAGAUCUCGAAGCUCUAGAAAAUCUUGUCAUUGGUAUUUGUCCAAAAUUGUCAUCGUUGCCGGAGGGUAUGCAUCACCUCACUACUUUGAAAACAUUGGCCAUUGAAGAAUGCCCUGCACUGUGUGAAAGAUGCAAACCGCUAACAGGUGAAGACUGGCCUAAGAUUGCACAUAUCCCUCAGAUUGUGUUUGAUGGCGAGAUGAUUAAAUCAAGUGAUAAUUAGGUAUGGAUUAAUCUCUCUUUUUCCUCUUUCAUUCAACUUUUUAAUUUUUUAUUUCUCAUACAACUACACUAUUUAUAGUUUAAUGCUUUGUUAUGUUUACCAAACAAAAACAUGUUGAAGGUUUAGUUAGUUAGUUCAUAUUUGUAUUGAUUUCUUUUCUUCUAAUAGUUGAUUAGUUUGUUAAUAUAGACUUAAAAAUAAUAUUUUGGAAACCGACCCGUUCUUGGGCUAUUUCUGUUUCUAACCAGCUAUCUUCGAAUGGAACCUUAUUCUCGUAUAAGUAGAUCUAGCUUCUGAAAUUUCACCCUUUGUUAAUACUUUAACUUGUGCCGAAACACCUAACAAUUUAUCCUUUGUUUUGUUUUGUUUUCUUUUCUUUUCCCCCAAAUAUUGCAGCUUUCUUUGGAGAGGUUCAGCCAAACUGCAGAGACCGUCAGCACAGAGGUUCAACGGUUUUUUAAUACUGCAUUUUAAAAUUACAUGUAUUAUAUAUUCAUUACUUGUGAUUAUGUAAUUUGCUGAUGAUAAGUACACUGAGUGAUGUAUAUAUGUGUGGCUGUGUGAUCAUUAUUGAUAAUCUUAAUCAUAUGUUUCAAUACCAAUAAUGUUUCAGAAUUUCUCAAAUUCUCGUUAUAUACUCUCAAAUUCAUGUUUAUACUUAAUUUGUUCUUUCUCCUUCCUCGGUAAUAUAAUUUGCAUAGACUGCAUUUCUUUUUUUUUUCACUCUACACUAUUUGCUGAUUUUUUUUUUUAAAGAUCAUUGAUGACUUACAUUUGCGGAGGAAGAAAUGAAAACAAAUCGGCUUCUUGAAAUUAACCAUUUUUUUUUUUCGAAUGGUAUUUCUAGCAAAAAAACUGCUUUUAAUUCUUAUUCAUAUUGUUGUCAUCAUGACAAGCAUCAACAUUCUUUUUCUUUUUUAAUCUAUGCAUAUUUUUCAAAAUUAAGAUUCUUUUUUUUAAAAAAAAUUUAUACAUAUUUUUCAAAAUGGAGUCGCACCAUUUAUAUAUCCAUUUUCAAACUCAAAAGCAAUAUUUAUGUGUAAUAAAUUAUGAGACAGGUGAUGGGCUUAUUUGUAACCGGUGCCUUGAAUGCAAUUUUAACAAUGGAACAUCGAAGGGAAAUGAUUCGUUAUCUAUAUAACCACCAGGUAUAUUUUUUAUUUAUAAAAGCUACAUAACUAAACAAUUCUAUUAACUGUGUAGAUUAAUUUCUCAACAAAUAUCUUACAAACUGAAGGUGUUUUUAUUGAAAUUAAGCCGUAACUUUUGCGGGAGUAAUGUGAAACCAAUAAUCUACAGAAUAUAGAUGGAGGAUGGGGAUUGCAUAUAGAAGGGUGCAGCACGAUGUUCUGUACUGCGCUAUUAUGUCACUUUGAGACUGCUUGGAGAGACAAUAUAAAAUGAGUAAUUCGAAAGAAAAUUUUAUUAUAGUAGAACCUACAACUUCCAUGUAUUUUAGGAUGAAAAUCCUGUACAAUAAAAAGUUUUUAAGUGUAAUAGAAAUUACAAUUAUCGGGUUUAAUUUGGGACAAUUUUGAUCAUUAAUCUUUGCCAUGUUUCGCAUGACUUUGUUCUGUCUCACAUAGCAGCUUCUUGGUAGCUCGUACUCAUCAAUGUGUCCUGAUCGUGGUAUGGGAGGCAGCAGUUACAUGGGUAAUGAUGGUUCCGGAUCAUGCUAGUGAUGUGGUAAAAAUUGAAUUGUAAGUGAAAUUUUCUUUUGUGUAAAAUUACAAUGAUCUAAUUUUCUUGGUGUAUCAUAAACUGAGAUAUAAUGGUUCACCGAAGACUGUGGCAUCUCUCAAGUUUGCUAAGACGUAUGGCUCACAACGAAGGAAUCUACGGUAACAAGUGAAUAUUCUAUGGAACAGACUUGAGAUGAUGACAAAGAGGGUGCUGUAAGUGUAGGGUGUGGACUAUAUGAAGCUUCUCACAUUAGGAUGCUUGCCGUUUUGGAGAGGAUCAAGUUGCUGAGCCUAACAGCCUCCAUAUGUCACGGGAAGGGCUGCACUGGUUUAGGCCAUUCUUGGUUCUACAGACUGAUUACUUUGUCAAGUCUUAAUGCUGCAAGGAAACUCCCCUCAGUGUGUGAUAUGUACGAAUUGCUUCUUUACUUUUCUGUAUAAGAACUCCACUUGAUGGACAGUGUGGAGGCAUCUGCAUAAAUCUGUUUAUUGGAACCGACCCUGUCUUGAUCCGAAUUUUAAAACCUAAUCGAAUUUUAAUAUCGAACCCAACCGGAUAUCUCGAUUCGAUUCGGUUUGAUUUUAAACUCAGUUCUAAUUUUUAGGAACCGCCAGCUUGGGUACGGAACCGAACCAAACUAAACCGUACACUGUGCCUCAGUAAAGAGUUUGAUUUCUCUAUUUUAACCUUAAUUAAAUAUUGAUUUCCAAUUUUACCCUUUAACAAAACUAAAUUAAAUAACAAUAAUUUUCACUUCCUAUUUCGAUUUCAUUUUACGGCUCAACAAAAUCUCUCAAAACCGUUGUUCUGAACUUCCGGCUGCUUUCAGUACAGGCGAAGGCUGAAGAUUCAAGCAAUAGAGCUGCUCAUGAUGAGGGUAAGGAGAAGAAGACUUAGCGAGUUCGCAAGAACGUAUAUAGAGGAAUAAGGGAGAGGCCGUGGGGAAAAUGGGCAGUUGAAAUUAGAGACCCUUUCAAGGGCGUCCGCGUUUGGCUCGGCACACUUUCAACACAGCCGAAGCCACCAAGCGUAUCCGCGGCAACAAGGCCUAGCUCAACUUUGCUCUGCCGCCGCCGGCGCCAAUAACUCCACCUCUAGCUAAGAAACGCUGCACGCUAACCCCUGCUAUCCCCUGAGUUACUCAGCCGAGUUUUGAAGAUUACCUUUUUUUUUCUUUUGGGUUUUCAUUGGUUUAUCAUUUGAGUCUACAAACAAAUGGUAUUCUUUUUCCCUAAAUUGUGAACACUUGGGCUUUUAUUGUUGAAAUGCUUUAUUAUUUUUCGAUGACCAAGUAAUGUGAAUCAAUGUUCUCUUUAAAUAAUUUUUCCCCUGUCCUUGCGUGUUCUACCGGUCUUUAUUUUUUAUUUGAAUUUGAAGAAACUUUCUAAGUGCAUACACCCAUAUGAAGUCGAAGAUCUUCCAGACAAGGUGGCAUCCAUCAAGAUCAAGAAAUUUUACUGCUUAGCAUGUGUUAUAUUUAUGGAUUGGCUAUUGAAGAAAUAAUGUUUGUACUGAUGCAGAUGCAGGAACUUUACACAUCUUAAGUUUACGAGAUAUUUUUUUCUUUUUUGACUCUGUUAGAUAGCUGUCAGUUAGUUAACCAAUUUAUGUUACUCUUCCUUGGCUAGCCAAUUAAGAACUUAUGUCUGCUGGAUUAUAAAGCCUACAUCUGGAAGCCACAGGUGAUUUGAUUUGAAGGCAAUUUGUUCUAGGCUAUAUGUGGAUUUCUAUCAUGAUUUCUGUAAGCUUGAAGGAGAUUUUUUUAUGCGUGAGAGCUUGAAAAUUAUACAUGUACAUGUUGAAACUAUUGGAUAUAUGUUAAGAAUCAAGCAUAAUUGUGUCAAGAUGAAACCAUAAUUUGGGUGCUGUUUUAUGAGUAAACUAUCUGCAAUUUGGGUGCAGUAAACCUAGGUUGAAUACCAGGACAUGGUAUAAAAGUGAAAUCACACAUUGAAUCUCGCAUAAAGAUUUUAAAGAUGCAAAUUCGAAUUGUACAUGAGAUGUUAUCUUGAUCGAAUUGCAGCGGCUUGGUUUUGGAUCCAGAAAACAAAAUUGUAAGCGCAGAGAAGUCUCUAUGGGAUGCUUAUAUUAAGGUGCAUAAUGGCCUCAUUGAGUUUUGUGCUGUUGUUCUACGUUGUUUGAGUUUUGUGCUGCUGUUCUUUGUUGCUGCUUUUGCUACCGAUUUUCGCUAUUUUCUGCCACUCUGUUAUUUGCUAUUUUUUACUACUUUGGCUGCUGAUUUUUACUGUUUUCGUUGCUUUAGCUGUUGUUUUAUCUGCUGUUUUUUUUUACUGCUUUUAUUGUUGAUUUUUGCUGUUCUCUAUCGUGUUUUACCCACUGGUUGUCGCAUGUUUAUUAAUAUUGUUUGCUGCUGUUUAAUUUGCUGUUUUUUGCUGCUAAUUUCUUUUUUUUCUGUUUUCUGCGGUUAUUUGCUGCCGUUGCUGUUUUACUCGCCAGUUGAUGAUGUUUUGUGGUUCUCCUCCUCCUCGAGUGCCUACUUUUUCCAGUGUGCAAGCAUAUCUGUUGAGAGUGGCUGAUGAAAUCACUAAACUAUUACAGUUGAUCUCAUGCUUCUCUAGAGAAGGAAUUAGACUUAUUUUGGUGAAGGGGGUUUUUCUGGUUUUUAUAUCAGUGUGUGCAUUUCUUCAAUCACGUAGCUUUGUGGCAUUACGAUCGAUAAUGGCAACUCCACAAUGAUGAUAAUGAUAAUUUUGUGAUUCAGACACGUUGUUAGGAAUUCUGUAUUGGUUUUUCUCUCGCCUUCGGUGUCUACGAUGAAGCAUAUAAUGGCUUUUAAGAUUAAAAGUGAGUACGAUUAAGCAUUGUCGUGCAACGUUUUACGGUUAUUUUAAGCCUGCAGUUGGUUUACGAAUUAAUUAAAUGACAAUAUUCAUUCUAUCAUAAAACAAGUUUUCAACAAGUGAAGAGGAGGUACUCUUUAUAAUUGGAUAAUUAAUGCAACCUUCAAUAUUUUCAACCAAAAAAAAAAAAGAUAUUUGAUAUGUAUUCAACAUUCGGGAAAAACCACCCAUAUCGAAGGUUUGCUUAAAUGAUCAAAUAAAUCCACUUAGUUUCGUAAAUGGUUAUACAUAUCUUCUUUUUGACUAUUUAUUGGGUUAUGUUUGAGAGUUAGGACUAAAGUGGCGUUUGUUUUUUAACUUAAUAACUUAAAGUGACUUAACUUAAUUAAUUAAGUUAAUUAGAGAUGUUUGUUUUUAUAACUUAAUGAGAUUUUUUAGAUAAUUUUGACUUAAUAAAAUAAGCCAAUUUUUUUAGCUUUUUACUUAAUGGAGAAAUUUGAAUUAAGUCAAUUACUUACUAAUGUCAAAAAUAUCCAUAUUUUAUAAUUUAUUUUUCAAACUCACCCAUAGACAUUUACCCCACAUAAAAAUAUCCAUAUUUUUUCUUUCUUAUAUUAUAUACGAUAAAAUUUGAAAUUUAUGAUAUUUUAUAUAUUAAAAUUCUAAAAUAAUUAUGUAUUCACUUGAAUAUAGUUUUACUUAUAAAUGUUAAAAUAUUUUGGUAUUUAAUAUAUUAUUUAUUUGACAUUCAAAUUUAAUAAGGAUACAAAUGUAAAAAUACAUAUUUUCAGUUUUUUCAGUUGAAAAAAACAAACAACUUAAUACUUAUUUUUCGAGAUUCAGACAAAAAAACAAACAUAUUAUUCAGAUUCAGACAUUCAGAUUUAUUCAGAAUUAUUCAGAAUUCAGACUAAUUCAGGUCUAUUCAGAUUUCAGACAAAAAAACAAACGCCACCUAAGUGUGGGAUUAUACUAACUUUGAGAUUAAAUAUUAUUCCAUAUUUAGCAAUUUUCCUUGGAUUGGAUUAUGAGAGACUAAAUUCUAAGUUAGUUGUUAAAUAAAGGGGAUUGGCAAUACCAAUUUAUAAAUAGAUUUAAAUAGGAUUAGAAUAAGAGGAAAAAAUGUUCAUUUGUAAUAUUUCUUUCAUAUAUAACACCAUCUUUUAUUUAUUACUUAAAAUUUAAUUAAUGAAUUAAUUAUUUUAUUCAUGAUUUACUUGAAAUAUAUUUUUUAUUUUGUUUUUAUAUUCUAAUUAAAUUGGUACUUUAAUUUAAUAAUUUGUUACAUUAAUUGAUUGUACUAAAUUUAAUAAUCACCUAUGUAAUAUUAAAAUAUAAUUAUGAAAAUUAAUAAUACUAGUAAUUAAUUGAUUUUAUAUAUUAUUUGCUAAUUUUUUGAUAAAAUAAAAUAUAUAUCUAAAAUAUCUAAAUAAUCAAUAACUUUUAUUAAUUUAUAUUUUUUAUUACAAUUAUGACUACCCAUAAGUAAUUUACUGUAUAUUUAAUGUUCUUAUUAAUUAUAUUUAAAUUAAUCUUAAUUAUUAUUCUUAAAUAUUCAUAAAUAGUUUUUUAUUUAAAUAUAAUUUAACAUUGUCUAAUCCAAUGUUGUACCAAACAUAAGACAGUAGUGUAUAAUCCAACAUAAUAUUUAGUCCAAUUUAAUCUUGCAUGCCAAAUGUAAUCUUAUACACUUUGAUUACAACAAGCCAAUAAUUGACUUAAAUAAACUUCUAUAACAAUUAUAAGUUAAAAUUAAAAUAAUAUGAUAUAUAAAAUAAGAUAAAAUUUAUAAAUUAUUUUGAUUAUUAGAAAAAUGAUUUUAACAUUAUUAAUUUGUCAUAUUCUUUUACUACUAAUAAAAUCUGUUUGACAAAUUAAUAAUAUUAAAAUAAUUAUACCUAACAUUCACAAUAAUUUAUAAAAUUUAUAUAUUUUGUUUACAAUUUUUUUAAUUAUGUCUAUAUUAAUAUAAAUCUUAAAGUCAAUUUUUGGAUUAAUAGAUUUUAGUAUAUAUAAUAAUAACUUAAUAUUAAAAAUAAUUUUCAUUACAUACGUUAUUCUAUUAAUUAUCUUAUUGUAAUAUUUUAUUUGUAUCAUAUGAUAUUUAUUAAUUAUUUUUUUAUCUUAUUACUAUAUUUAUAUUUAUUUGUGUUGUUGUAAUCAAAGGGUAUAGUAACUAAAAAUGUGUUUAUGUGACUAUUUAACCUAAAGGGUCUUUGUGACUAUUUAAGUAAACCUUGGGAAUGUGUGACAAUAGUCAUUCUAAUGACUUUCAAGAUUGAAAGUGAGUCGGAUUAUCAAAUUAUGAAGCAUUGAUACGUAACGUUUUAUGGUUAUUUUAAGGUUGAAGUUGGUUUAUUCAUUAAACAAGCUUUUAACAAGAGGAGAAGGUUCCCUUUAUAAUUUAAUAAUUAAUACAACCUUCAAUAACAAAAAAGUCAUAUAAUAAGGAUGAUGAUUCUUGCUCACUUGGACAAGAUAUAUAUAUAUAUAUAUAUAUAUAACCUAUGAUGUGGUAAGCAAGGAAUCAAUUAUGUAUUUCUUGUAUCUGAAAAAAUGAAUAAUCCUUUAACGAAGGUUAUCAUCAAUUGCAGGUUUCUAGUUUGGCUGCUUAGUUUUAGGACUACGAAUAUUACAAUAUCAUAAUUAAAGGAAAGAAUAUAGGCGGUAGUCUUUGCCUGAUCUACUUUCUUCUUUUUAAUUAACCACUUGAAAGGAAAGAAUAUUGUAUACGCAGCACACUAUAAUACUCUAAUUACCAAUUCUUUAUCUUAUAAUAUAAGUUCAUAGUGAUUAAUUUGUCCUUCUUCAGCCAAAAACAAAUCUCAUUUCAGCACAUCUACAAGAGCCCUUAUUUCUCUUUGCUCCAGCCAAUUGACAGCAGAAUCAUCACAGACACCUUGAGCUCCGUCAAUAAUCAUAGACAAUUGGUGACUAGUGGGAGCAUUACAAGGAAGGUACGACGAGUACAAACUGAUAGAUUUGUUUAUAUGAUUCGGCUGUAGUUUUUAUAUAUGGUUAAAUUAUGACAAUAAUCAAGAGAUAAUCAUGUACCUCAUUAGUUUCAUAAAUGUACAUACUAAUUUAUUCCCCUGCUUGCCAGAAUCACACAUGUAGAAUAAGAUAAAUUUUAAGAUUUCAACUUUUCAAUUCAUUAAAAAUCUAGUGGGAUAUUAAUCGGUAAAACCACUUAGGGGUAGUACAAGAGGUUUGUGGUGCUAACCAAUUUAUGUGAGUGGAGAAAAAAUUAGGCUUUUUUAAUAAAAAUUAAUAAUCAUAUUAAUAAAAAGACAUAAAUUUCAAGAUUUAAAACUUUAGACUUCAUUAGAAGUAAGAGGGGGAUCGUAAAAACUUUGAAUGAAACUUAUCGGUAGUGGAAUGGAUUUUUUUUUUUUUUUGGUUGAAGCUAUUUACAGUUUUACACACCUUGAACACAUGUUAGGGUGAGGGUAUUUUAGUAUUUUACCCACUUCUCAAUAAAAUAUUUUGAGGUGAUGCUACCACUAAACUACUCAUUAAAGGCAUUUACUUAACAAACAGACUUGUAAAAUUUAAAAUACACAAUUUUAUUUUACAAACCCAUUAAUACCUAAAAUACCCUUAUUAAGUUAAAUUAUCACAAUUUCUCUGAUCAUUUUCUUUUCCCAUCAUUUCUCCGUUUCUUCACUCUUUUCUUCUUCAUUUUUGGAGCUUUACCCAUAGCUUUUUUAUUCCAAAUUCUCAAACUUUUUAUUUUAUUUUUUAAUAGCUAUUUUUCCCCUUGAUAUUUCAUGCGUUUGGAACAACACCCUUAAAAAAUUUUAAUAAACAAACAAUAAAUUUAAAUAAACAGCUGAUAUUAAAAUUGCAUAUAAAUUUAGAAUAAAUAAAAAAUUUCAACUAAUUGCAGCAGUUCUUGCAUGGUUUUUUUUUUUUUUUCAUUUUAUUAUAUAGAAGAAAGCGUACUAACUGAGGAGAGAUCAAGAGAAUUCAUUGUCCAAUUCAAAGAAAUCAGAAAUGAUGAAAUUAUAUGGUGGAAGUCAAGAGGAAUUUUGCCAACAAUAAGCUUUUAUCCAAAUGCAUUAAAAUUCAUUGAAACUUCUUUCCGUCAACAAAAGUGUAAAUGGCAUAGAAAAAGUGAAUACAGUACAUUAAAUAAUGAAAAAUUUGGGAGAAAGGCAGUAAUUUUUUUAAUUUAAUUUAAUUACAUAGUCUUGUAUAAUAACUUUCUAUGUAGACAUUUUAGUAAUAAAAAAAUUUAUUAAAUAUUGGAUUUAAUGAGUAUUUUGUUGGGUUUGAACAAUCCCACCCAAAAUUUAAUAACAAAAUUUUUUUAAUUAAAUUAAUAUCUUAGUCAAAUAUUACAUCCAUUUCUCUCCCUAAAGUUUUUUUUUUCACAAUUUUUUUCUCUUUUCCUCUCCCUCUCUCUGCGCAGUUGUCUUCUAGUCCUUUGUGGUUCUUAUAUUUUGAAGUUUCUAUUGGAGUAAAACCUCUUUUAAAAUUUCUUAUAAAAAAAAAUUAAAAAAUGAAAGUCUCUUUUAAAAUUUGCCUUCCCCUUACCCUCGCGCUACUAUUAUACGUAAAUGCUCUCGAUGAAACUUUAGCAAUUGGGUUUCUAUUAAGUAUUUUAAUCUCGAAAAAAGAGAAGAUCACAAAACAAAUAUCAAUAGAUCACCAAUUUAGUUAUGCAGGUGGUAAUCAAUUAAAAUAAAAGACGUAGUACUUCGUUUUGAAGUUGUUAUGAUAAAGAAAGGAGAAAAAAGAGCAAGCCGCUGCAAUUGCAACAGUGGAGGAUUUGUAACAAAACUAUUACAGAGAUAAGAUUUAAUUGAUAAAAGAAAGAUUUAAUAGAAAGUAGUUAGAGAAACAACUAAUAAAAAUUAAUCAUAUUUAUUAUGGGUAUACUAGGAAAUAGAACCGCACUUCGUGCGGCUUUAAAAAAAAAUUAGUAUUAUUUUUUUAUUACUUUGUAAUUAAUGAAAUUAAUAAAAAAUAUGAAUUAUUUUUUUUAAAGAUGACGCAAUCUUAUAAAAUUAAUGUUAUUUAUGAAAGUUAAUUAUUUUUUGUUAGCAUUAAAAAUAUAUAUUAAUGUGUAUAGUUAAGUGUACACAACCUUUUCAUCAAUAAAAAUUAUGUUCACACUAAUCAACUCUCCAUUUUUCUUGGUAUAAAUGGCAUUGUUGAGGGAAGAUGAAGGAACAUUCCUUCCUAUAUUAAUUAAUUGAUGUAUUUUAAGCCACUAAAAUUUAAUUGUUGGCAUAAUAAAAUAAAUAAAUAUUUCAAGACUUAUAAUUAAUUAUUAUUAAUGGUUACAUAUUGUUGAAUUUAAAUAGAAAGAGGAAAAGACAUGUAAUCAUUUAUAAUCUAAUAAUUAUUUUCUAUUUUAAUAUUUUGUAAUGUAAUUAUUUUUUAAUUUCAACCAAUCUAUAUAUAUAUAUAAAGCUAGGACUUGAGGAGGUGAUGUGGCAUCACCUCUUGUAGUCCCAACUUUAUAUAUAUUUUCAACCAAUUUAUUAAAUAAUAGACAAUAUGAAAUGAUGAGAAAUGGUGAUGCCACAUCACCUCUUGUAGUCCCAAUUUUAUAUAUAUGUAUAGAUAGAUAGAUUAAUUCAUGUAUUUUAUGCCACUAAAGUUUAAUUGCUAGCAUAAUAAAAUAAAUAAAUGUUUCAAAAGACUUAUAAUUAAUUAUUAUUAAUGAUUACAUAUUUUUGAAUUUAAAUAAAAAGAGAAAAAAAGUACAAAGAAUAUCCACCAAUAUUUUAGAUAUUUUAUAUAAUAGAAAAUAUAAAAAGAUGAGGAAUAAUAUAUAUUAAUAAAGUUACUAUUUAUUAAAUGAGUUAAAUAUAAUCAAAUUAAUUAUGAGAAGAUGAAAAGGCACAUCUAAAAAAAAAAUCUCUAUUUAUUAGAUAAUAGAGAAUAUACAAAGAAGCAAAAUGGUGAUGCCACAUCACCUCCUCAAGUCCUAGCUUUAUAUAUAUAUAUAGAUUAGGAAUAUUUGUGGCCUCACCACUCAUCUUAUAAUAAAUUUUUAUGUUAAUACAAUAACUCCAAUAUAGUUUAAUAUUAAGGACAACGUAAUGAAAUAAUUGUUAUUCUUAUAUCCAUUAAAGAUAUAUUGUUAUCUUAUAGAUGCGAGAAUGCUCCAAUGCUCAAGUAAAAUUUUUAGUGAAACACAUAAGAAUUCUACGUGUAGAGAGAACUUCGUCAAGGUAUUUAAGUUGUCUGUAAUGCUCUUUGCUAGUGUACCACGUUUAAUAUUUGAAUCAUGACACGUGGCAUUGCAAAUAGUGGCUUUAUUUCAGGUCUUCGUAGGUGCUCCGGACAUAUGUGCGCUCCGGAGCUAGUAUUACUAUUAGGUCAUCAUGUGCUUUUUUUAGUGAUCCACGUGAUUCCUUUUAUCCUUACACCAGAGCAUUUCUUGUUGAAUAACCAUGUCAAAUGCUCGUUUGUCAAGGACACGUGUCUUGUCAUUGGAACAUAGUAAAAACAUGACAUGCUAACCCACUGCAUUUCUGAAAAAAAUAAUAAAUUUUAUUUAUAAAUUUUAUUCAAUAAGGUAUAGAGAUCAUUCCAAAUAUAUUUUAGGUGCAAAUUCGUCCGUUUGACGUAAUACUGUGUCUUAUAAUAAGACUAGCAAUAGUCAAAUUAGCUUAUUAAGAUAAGUUCUGUUAAAUUUAAUAUUUUAAAAAAAUUAUCGUCUCAUCAUAAAACACACUGCUCUACUAUUCGGUAGAGCAUGAGUGGUUGGCACAGACCAUGGAUUGCACAAAUAUUUCUAAAAUUUGAAUCCUCAAACCCUCCUGACAAUGCCACCAGUGGGGAUGGGCCAGAUUUUUCUAAGCUCGACCCUAAGUCCAUGUUAUCCAUGCAUUUUUAAUUAUUAUUUUAAAUAUUACUGAAUUUGUAAUGAGUUAAUAAUCAAUAAGUUGUUAUAAUCAACAAUAAAUUAAAAAUGACUAUUUAAAAUAAAAUAAUAAAUAAAAAAUAAAGUAAAUAAAAGUUUACAAAUAUAUUUAAUUUCUUAGUACUAAAUUCUCUAAUUUAAACAUUCUCUUAGUUAAUUAAGAUAUAAGAGAGAGUUUAGUGUCACAAUUUUAAAUUUUUUCAAUUACUAUUGAUUGAAUUAGGGUUUUAAGCUUUCUUUUUUUAAUUAUUUUUUUAUAUUUUGUAUUAAAAAAAUAGAGGACUUAACAUGUCCCGGACUUUUUUUCUUAAAGAAACCCUCAUGUAAAGGACUGGGGCUAAGCCCACUGGCCCUGGGCCGGACCCUUUGAGGCCCAAGGCUAGCCACCAGUCUCUUUUGUCAAUCAUUGUUAAUGAACUAGCCUAGUUGAAUACUUUUAAAUUGAUGGGUCGUAAUUGCCAAUUUCCAAAUACAACAAAUUUUUAUAGGUGUAUUGGUAGACUGAACGACAACUAACAACACGUGACAUAAUUAACUUACUUCCAAAGGAAUUUUUUUUAUUUAAAGAUACAGUGGAUGAACAUAGAAAUCUUGUGUCAAGUUUUGAAAUUUGUCAAUAAUGUGUAUACACACAUGAAAUCUUCCAUUUUUCAUAUGUGUAUACACAUUAUCAUGAUUGAUUGAAACAUAUACAUGAUAAAGAUUAAUGAAUUAAAAAAAAAACAGUGCUUUAGGAGAUAACACUCAAGAAUUUGUCCUACUUCAUCCAGUGGGAAUAUCUACCUCCACCUAAUUGUAUUCAAUAGGAGGAGGAAUUGUUGUGUCCCCUCUUGGGACUCAAACCAUUGUGUCUAUUACCACCCGUUUGUGUUUAAAAUUUUGGUUGAAUUUAUAGAAUACUAUAAAUUGUAAAAGAUGCAACCAAAUAAUAUUUCGUGACUCUGUCUUUUCAGUUUUAGGAACAAUGGUGGAAUCAUUUUUGCCACUUGAAAAACUUACGGAAAAAUUAGGAUCUCGUGCUUUCCAAGAACUUUUAGCACUCUACUGUGUCAAAAAUGACGCAGAAAAGCUAAAGGAGACCUUAACCACUGUCAAAAGUGUGGUUUUAGAUGCUGAGGAAAAGCAAGUCCAUAGCCACCAGUUAAGAGAUUGGCUGGAAAAGCUUAAGGAUGCUUGUUAUGAUGCAGAAGAUGUGUUGGAUGAAUUUGAGGUGGAAGAUCUACGAAGGCAAGUCAUGACGCAAAGAAGCAUCGGAAGAAAGUUACGUAACUUUUUUGGAAGCUCAAAUCCGAUAGCUUUUCGUUUUAGAAUGUGUCAACAAAUCAAGAAAGUAAGAGAGAGGUUUGAUGAGAUUGCAAACAUGAUGCAUAAGUUUGAUCUCACUGCACGACUUGAUGAUCGUAGUUGGCGAAUUGUGCAUGAAGAGAGGGAAUCUACUCACUCGUUUGUGCGUCCAUCAGAUAUUAUUGGAAGAGAUAAAGAUAAAGAAAAAAUUAUUGAAGCUCUGAUGCAAGCAAGUUCUGGCGAAAGUGAAACUGUGUCUGUUAUUCCUAUUGUGGGAAUUGGAAGUCUGGGCAAAACUGCUCUUGCACAGUUGGUGUUCAAUGACCAAAGGGUAGAAGAGCAUUUUGAGUUGAAAAUCUGGAUAUGUGUUUCUGAGGAUUUUGGUGAGAGACAAAUUAUGACAAAGAUUAUCAAGUCGAUAACUGGUCAAAACCAAGGUGACUUGGAUAUAGAGCAAUUGCAACGAAUCUUGCGAGUUUGUUUGACUGGUAAGAGAUAUUUACUUGUUAUGGAUGAUGUAUGGAACGAAGAUCCCAAAGUAUGGGAUAAAUUGAAAAACUUAUUGUCGGGGGGUGCUAAGGGAAGCAAAAUUCUGGUAACCACACGUAGCAAUAAGGUUGCUUCAAUCAUGGGCACGAGGGGAGGUACUACUGGCUACAACUUACAAGGUCUACCGUUCGAGGAUUGCUUGUCUUUGUUUAUGAAAUGUGCAUUUAAAGAAGAGCGAGAUAAACAUUCAAACCUUGUAAAAAUCGGGGAAGAAAUUGUGAAAAAAUGUGGAGGAAUUCCGCUGGCAUUCAGAACACUAGGAAGUCUAUUAUAUUGCUCAACGGAUGAACAUGAUUGGGAAUAUGUGAGGGAUAAUGAGAUAUGGAAGUUAGAGCAAAAGGCAAAUGACAUUUUACCUGUUCUGAGGUUCAGUUAUGAUCAACUACCGCCUCGCCUGCAACAAUGUGUUGCUUAUUGUUGUAUCUUUCCAAAGGAUUAUUAAUUUUCAAGUGUUUAUUUAGUUCAAUUUUGGAUGGCUCAAGGACUUCUCCAUCCACUUAAUGAAAAUGAUGAACUAGAUGACAUUGGCAUGCGGUCCUUGAAGCAACUAUGUUCAAGAUCUUUCUUCCACGAUUUGGUAUGAGGAUUUGAGAUGUUCACUUUCAAAAUGCACGACCUCAUCCAUGAUCUUGCACAGCUAAUGGCCAAAGGUGAAUUCCUAGUAGUGAACUCUGACUGUCAAUCUAUUCCCAAAAGAGUCCGCCAUUUGUCAUUUGUGGGUGCUAAUGCAUCAAGAAAAGAUUUUUCAAGCUUUUUAUCUGAUUUAGGUCGUGUGAGAACCAUUUUCUUUUCAAUUAAUGAUGAGAAGGUAAGCCAAUCAUUUGUUAGAUCAUGCAUCUCAAAGUCACAGUUCCUGAGAGUGCUAAAUUUAAGUGGCUCUGCUAUUGAGGCUUUGCCAAAAGAGAUAGGUAAUUUGAAGCAUAUGAGAUAUCUGGACCUAUCAAGAAAUUAUAAAAUCAAGAAACUUCCAAAUGCCAUUUGCAAGCUGCAAAGUUUACAAACACUGAAUCUUGAAGAAUGUCUGGAGCUAGAAGAGUUGCCUAAAGACAUAAGGUACCUUGUUAGUCUCAGAGUGUUUGAGGUAACCACAAAGCAGAAGUCUUUGCAGGACAGUGGAAUAGGGUGCUUGGUUUCUCUUCGUUGUUUGAUAAUAUCUCAUUGCAGGAAUUUGGAAUAUUUGUUCGACGAUAUAGAUCAACUAAGGGUCCUUCGAUCAUUAUUAAUUGCUGGUUGUCCCGUCUAAUCUCAUUGCCACCUGCUAUGAAAUACCUCAGCUCAUUGGAGACUCUAAUGUUUGGUGUGUGUGAAAGCCUUAGUCUUAAUUUGAGCAUGCAAUUGGAAGGGGAAGGAAGUCAUCAAGCUCGCAAUACCACAAGGCCUCACCUUCGGAAACUUCUCAUUGCCGGAGUAACACCGUUAUUGGAAUUGCCACAAUGGCUUCUUCAAGGUUCUACUGGAACUUUACAACACCUAUUUAUUGCAAAUUGUCCCAACUUCAUGGCACUACCAGAGUCACUGAGAAAUUUCGAAGCACUUGAGGGUCUUGUCAUCGGGAAUUGUCCAAAAUUGUCAUCGUUGCCGGAGGAUAUGCUUCACCUGAAAACAUUGAGGAUUAGAGGCUGUCCUGCACUGAGUGAUAGAUGCAAACCGCUAACAGGUGAAGAUUGGCACAAGAUUGCCCAUGUCGCUCACAUUAAGCUUGAUGACGAGAUAAUUAAAUCAAGUGAUAUUUAGGUAUGGAUUAAUCUCUCCUUUUUUUUUCCUCUUUUCAUUCAAGUUUUUACUUUUGAAUUUCUCAUCUAGCUAUACCGUUUAUCGUUUAAUGUUUUGUUCUGUUUACCGAACAGAAACUUGUUGAAUGUUUAGUUAGUUAGUUCAAAUUUGUACUAAUUUCUUUUCUUCUAACAAAUGAUUAGUUUGUUAAUACAAACUCAAGCAUAUUGUUUGGAAACCGAACCAUUCUUGGGGUUAUUUAUAUCUGUUUCUAUAUCCAAACGGUUCAGGAAUUUUCAGAACGGAAGUUAUAAUGGGAUUUUCUUAAUUAGCCAGUUAUCUUCGUAUGGAACCUUAUUUACAUAAAAGAUUAGCUUUUGAAAUUUCAAUUUUUCUUAAUAUUUUAAUUCGUGUCGAAACAUCUAACAAUUCAUCCUUUCUUUUCUUUUUCCCCAAAUAUUGCAGCUUUCUUCGGAGAGGUUCAACCGAGUUGCAGAGACAGUGAAAUCAUUUCUGUAAUGUUGUUCAGAAUAGAGAUCAACGAUUUCAAUGUUAUGUUUAAAAUUACAAGUAUCAUAUAUUCCUUACCGGACAAUUUAUCCUCUAUUUUCUCUUCUUUUCUUUUCUUUUCCCCCAAAUAUUGCAGCUUUCUUCGGAGAGGUUCAGCGAAGCUAUAGAGACAAUGAAAUUAUUACUGUAAUGUUGUUCGGAACAGAGGUUCAACGGUUUUAAUGUUGUGUUUAAAAUUGCAAGUAUUAUAUAUUCAUUACUUAUGACAAGUACAUCGAGUGAUGUAUAUAUGUUGGAGAAUUAACAAAAUAAAACACACAAAAAACACUAUUUUAUUUCUUCAACAACACUCCUCACCAAUUACAACUCUUAUUUUUCACUCUCUACACCUUAGAGAUUUUGCUACUUCACUUGAUGAUUAAACCAAAGGGGAGAGGGGGUAUUUAUACAUGAAACAAACUAAUCACAACCAUUCAUUUAUUCAAUUAAUACACAAAUCCUCACCAUCCAUUAAAACCUACCACUCACCUACUUCACCAACCACACCUAACACACCUAACACAAAUAAUUCAAAGCUCACCAACCAUACCUACUCAUGGAACCUUCCAUGAGUUGGGCUUGAUUUACUCAUCUUGGAUCAAGUUUAUGAUCCAACACCUCCCCUUAAACUUGAUCCUGUGACACCAAACAAACUUCUGAAUCUUGCAAAGUCUUCUUGCUUGAGUGGUUUAGUGAAGAUAUCAGCUGCUUGAUCUUGUGAUUUUACAUACUUGACUUGCACUUCUUUUCUUGCAAUACACUCUCUUAUGAAAUGAUAGCGAGUGUCUAUGUGUUUACUUCGAUCAUGAAAGACUGGAUUCUUGGAUAGGGCAAUUGCUGAUUUGUUAUCAACACAAAUCUCGGUUGGCUCUUCUUGUGCCAAACUCAACUCCUUCAGCAAAUUUCUGAGCCAAAUUGCAUGACAAACACUUGAUGUGGCAGCUACAUAUUCAGCUUCACAGGUGGAUAGAGUGACAAUUGGUUGCUUCUUUGACAUCCAUGUGAAAGUAGUAUCUCCCAUGAAGAACACAAAUCUUGUUGUGCUCUUUCGAUCAUCUACAUCUCCACCCCAAUCGCUAUCGCUAUAUCCAAUAAGCUUGUAGUCAUUAGAAAAUGAGUAUAACAAGCCGAAAUUAAUUGUACCUUUGAUAUAGCGAAGGAUUCUUUUUGCAGCUUUAAAAUGAGUGGUCUUUGGAUUCUCCAUGUAUCGGCUCACAAGUCCAACAGCAUAAAGAAUAUCUGGUCUUGUGCAUGUCAAAUAACGUAGGCUUCCAACCAAACUUUUAAAGAAUGUUGGAUCUAUAUCUUCGCCUUCAUCAUAUUUGGAUAACUUGACUCCGCAUUCCACUGGCGUGCUUAUAGGCUUGCAAUCAUUCAUCUUGAACCUUUUGAGAAUCUCCUUUGCAUAACUUUCUUGGGAGAUAAAUAUGUCUUCUUCCUUUUGCUUGACUUCAAUGCCGAGGUAAUAUGUCAUCAGUCCGAUGUCAGUCAUCUCGAACUCUUUGAUCAUCACUCUUUUGAACUCUUCAAACAAGUUUGGAUUACUUCCAGUGAAGAUGAGAUCAUCCACAUACAGGCACACAAUCAAAAUAUCUCCAUCUUUUUCUUUGACGUAGAGAGCAUGUUCAUAUGGGCAUUUGGUGAAGCCUUUCUCUUGAAAAUACUUGUCAAUUCUGCUAUUCCAUGCCCUUGGUGCUUGCUUUAACCCGUAAAGAGCUUUCUUCAAUCUCAAAACUUUGUCUUCAUGUCCUUUCACCAUAUAGCCUAAUGGUUGUUCGAUGUAAACUUCUUCUUCAAGGAAUCCAUUCAAGAAAGCAGACUUCACAUCCAUUUGAAAAAUCUUCCAUUUGUUCUGAGGAGCCAAAGAAAUAAUAAGUCUAAUAGUUUCAAGUCGAGCUACAGGAGCAAAUACCUCGUCAUAGUCUAUGCCAGCCUUUUGACUAUAGCCUUUUGCAACUAGCCUCGCCUUGUGCCUUUCAAUUUCUCCAUUCGCAUUUCUUUUUGUUUUAUACACCCAUUUGACAUCGAUCGCCUUAUGACCUUUUGGAAGAGUAGUAAGCUCCCAAGUAUCAUUCUUCACAAUGGCUUUGAUUUCUUCAUCCAUUGCAAUUCUCCACUUCUCAUCUAGUGCAGCUUCUUGGAAGUUGACUGGCUCACAAUCAGCAAAGAGGCAAAAGAGAGUGAGAUUAUCAUGUCUCUCAGUUACCUCAUAGAGAUCUUGAAGACUCCUUGUACGUUCUUCGGUUCUUUCAUUUAAGAAAGGCGGCGGGGAAUCUCCGCAUGUGGUUGGUACCGGUGAGAUAGGUGGAGUGGCAGGCUCUUGUUGUUCGUCUACUUGUUUUAUCUGUGUAUGAUCAUCUUCUUCAAUGGGAAAGAAGUUGAAGUCAUCCACACCAGAGCCAAAAUCCCAUUCUCCUUCUUCAUCAAAAACUACAUCUCGACUGAUCACGAUCUUCCCGUUGUUUGGAUUGUAAAGCUUGUAUCCUUUGGAGUUGUUGUCGUAGCCGAUGAAGAUGAACUUUUCACUUUUGUCAUCCAGCUUGGCUCUACUUUCAUCUUGUACAUGUACAUGGGCAAUGCUUCCGAAAACUCUUAGAUGGGUGAUGCCGGGUUUUCUUCCACUCCAAGCUUCUUGUGGCGUCUUGCCCCACACGCUUCUUGUUGGAGAUCGAUUGGAUAAGUAGACUGCACAUGCAACAGCUUCAGCCCAAAAUUCUUUAGGUAGCCUCUUACUCUUAAGCAUGCUUCUUGCCAUGUCGAGGAUGGUUCUGUUCUUCCUUUCUGCAACACCAUUUUGUUGAGGGGAUCUUGGAACUGUCAAAGGGCGUCGAAUUCCAUUUGCUUCACAAAACUCUAAAAAUUCUUUGGAAGUGAACUCUCCACCUCGAUCAGAUCUCAUGGCUUUAAUCUGGUAUCUACUUUCUUUUUCCACUGCAGCUUUAAACUUCUUGAAAGCUUUAAAAACUUCUGAUUUUUGCUUCAAAAAAUACACCCAAGUUUUUCUUGAAAAAUCAUCUAUGAAGAGAAGGAAGUAGUUACUUUUACCAAGGAAGUUUGGUUUGAAUGGACCGCACACAUGAGUAUGAAUGAGCUCGAGUGGCUUCUGAGCUCUUGAGUUUGACUCCUUUGGAAAGCUCUUUCUGAAUUGCUUGCCAAGUAAACAUCCUUCACAAAGUUGAUCAGGGUGAUUGAUGUAUGGUAAGCCUUUCACCAUGUUCUUCUUGAAUAGUAGCUCCAAUCCUCCAAAGUUGAGAUGCCCAUAUCGAAGAUGCCAAGUCCAGGAUUGAUCUUUGUGACAGGCUUUGAGACAUUUUGCAACAUCAUUUUGAAUAUUUAAUGGAAACAUUCUAUUCUUCGACAUUUUCACCUUUGUAAUUAGAUUUCCUUUGUCAUCUUUUAGGAAAAGACUAUAAUCUUUUAAGUGAAUAUCAUAGCCUUUUUCUAAAAGUUGACCCAAACUAAGAAUGUUGCUUUUCAUAUUGGGCACAUAGUAAACAUUCGAAAUUAUUUGGUGACUACCAUCUUUUGCACGAAAAAGAAUGUUACCUCUACCCUUCAUUGGUACUUUUGAAUCAUCUCCAAAAGCGACACUGCCAUUCAAAGAUUCACUUAGUUGCACGAACAUGUUUAUGUUUCCACUCAUAUGAUUGCUAGCACCUGUGUCAAGAUACCAUGUAUUUUCUUGACCUCCACUUGUGUCAUUGCGUGCUAGUAAAAGUGUGCCAUCUUCACUAUUUUUCUCUUCAGCAUAGUUCACUCUCUCUUCAAUUCUGGUGCUUGGAGCUCUGCAUUCUGAAGCAUAAUGCCCAAACUUUUGACAAUUAUAGCACUGUACUUGGGAUUUGUCAUACCUAGAUCUUGAAUUGCCUCUGCCUCGUCCUCUGGUUGAGCUUUCUCCUUUGGCAUAAUUGGAGUUGUUGUUGUUGAAAUUCCAACCUUGUCCAUGACCACGACCUCUACCUCGUCCAUGACCACGACCUCUACCUCAGACAUAGUGCCUUCUCUCAUUGUCGGAGCUUUCUUCUCUUUUCUUUGGAUUGACUUCCAUCUUGAGAAGUUGUUCUUCGAUUCCUUGCCUCUUUUUUUGUUUUUCUUCAUAGGCUUGCAACCUUCCUUGAAGUUGCUCGAUCGUCAUAUCCUCCAGAUCUCUUGUUUCUUCAAUUGUCACAACAAUAUGGUCAAACUUCGACUCUACUGAUCGAAGUAUCUUUUCAAUGAUCCUUACCUCUUUUAACUCCUCGCCAUUUCUUUUUAAUUCAUUGGAAACAGUCACAACCCGAGUAAAGUAGUCAGAAAUUGACUCUGACGCCUUCAUAUGUAAGGACUCAAAUUCUCCUCGUAAUGUUUGGAGACGAACCUUCUUAACUUGUUCCGCUCCUUUGUAAGAGGUCUCUAGUUUCUCCCAUGCUUCUUUUGAGGAGGUUGUACCAGCAAUUUUUUCAAAAGCAUCUUCAUCUAAUGAUUGAAAGAUGAGAUACUUUGCUUUAUUCUCUUUCUUCUUCAAGUCUUUUAAAUUCUCCUUCUGCGCCGCAGUUAAAGUGGCUUCAUUUUCUGGCACAAUAAAGCCUUUUUCCACGACAUCCCAUACGUCAUGUGCGCCCAAUAGAGCCUUCAUUUUAAUACUCCAAUUGUCAAACUUACUUCCCUUUAAUUGUGGAACUUGAAAUGACAUCAUACCACCGUUUGCCAUAACUCACAAAUUGAGUGAGAAUUUGGAGAUUCUGAAAGCACAAAUGGAUCCGGCACGUCGAAAAACCUUGGGAAUGACUCGAGUCAACUUUCGGUCAACGGUCAACGCUGGUCAACGGUCAACGUCGGUCAACGAUCAACACCGGCUUGGUAGUCUUGGUUCGGUCCGGAUUGGUUCAGCUCGAGUUGGCUCGGUUCGACUUGAUUCGGUUCAGCUCGGUUCGGCUUGGUUCAACUCGGUGAGUCGACUCAGCUUUAGGGCAGAAAACUUCCGGCGGCAAGUGUGGGCGCGUCCGGUCUCCGAUUGGGAUAAUUUUUGCGGCGUCACUUUCCUCUCGUCGAGAUCUUCGAUUUGAUAUGCUAUAUGACCAUAUAUAGCAUCACGUACUAGCUCUGAUACCACUUUGUUGGAGAAUUAACAAAAUAAAACACACAAAAAACACUAUUUUAUUUCUUCAACAACACUCCUCACCAAUUACAACUCUUAUUUUUCACUCUCUACACCUUAGAGAUUUUGCUACUUCACUUGAUGAUUAAACCAAAGGGGAGAGGGGGUAUUUAUACAUGAAACAAACUAAUCACAACCAUUCAUUUAUUCAAUUAAUACACAAAUCCUCACCAUCCAUUAAAACCUACCACUCACCUACUUCACCAACCACACCUAACACACCUAACACAAAUAAUUCAAAGCUCACCAACCAUACCUACUCAUGGAACCUUCCAUGAAUUGGGCUUGAUUUACUCAUCUUGGAUCAAGUUUAUGAUCCAACAAUAUAUGCGUGCCUGUAUGACCAUGACUGAUAACCUUAAAUAUAUAUGUGCCUGUGUUAUCAUGACUGAUGACCUUAAAUAUAAUACCAAUAAUGUUGUAGAAUUUCUGAAAUUCUCAUGACGCACAAUUUAUGUAAUUUAUAGUAUGUUCCUUCUCCUCCUUCGGUAGUCAGUAAUAUAAUUUGCAUUUUUUUUUUUGAAGAAUAUUGACGUGUUGUGUAAUGGAAUGGUGGUGCCUGUAUUUUGUGCUUUGUGAUUGAUGACUCACAUUUUCCCAAAAAAAAAAUGGAAACGGAUAGGCUUCCUUUUGAAUGGUGACCUUUUAUGAUAUGAAUCAUAUGUUCAUCAGUAGCAGUUGGCCUACUAACUAGAUAUUGCAUUUUGGCCUUGAGGUGAAAUUAGUGAGCAUGUUUCUUGAGGUUUUUUUAAAAUUUUUUAUAAGACACUUGAAGAAGGAAAUUCAUGUUCUUGCGAUGCUUCUUUCUCAAUAUAAAAUGAUUAAUUUGAAGAAUACUUAUUAUAAUAGAACGUAGAACUCGUAUGUAUUUUAGUAUAAAAAUUCUUUACAAUAAAAAGUUUUUUAUGUGAAGUCGAUCGACACUAUCACAUUAUCAUAUUGCCAUUCAAUUUUUUAUUUUUAUCUAAUUAAAAUGAUAAAUUAAAGUUGAUACGAGAAAAUUAAAGAAGAUUGGAACUUGGAGGGCAAUGUGAAUUUUGAAACGACACCAUUUCAACUCCACCUACUCUAUAACUAAAUGAUUAUGAGUGAUAGAACAAGAUCAGCUUGAUACAGAGAGAGACUCUCCACUCUUAACAAUGAGCAAAAAAAUGGUACGCAACUUCGUUUUGAUUAAAAUUUAAUGAUUUUUUCGUAUUAAUCAAAUUAAUCAUUAUUAUUAUUAUUAUUAUAUAUACACAUACAUAUAUAAAUACACACACACAUACAUAUAUAUAUAUAUAUAUAUAUUCAAUUUCAGAAGAAUCUGUUUUGUAGUUCUCCUCCUCAAGUGCCUACUUUUCAGUGUGCAAGGAUGUAUGUUGAGGGCAGCGGAUGAAAUCGCUAAACUGUUGGGGGUAGAGGAGGCGGGAGAGGAGAUGGUUCCCAUUUCCGCCCUUGCUUUCCUCCAUUUGGCUGCAAAAGUUCAUCACAAAUCAACUCCGUUACAUUGUUACUGGUCUUUUGCUUAUUUAUUUUCAAUGUCUUAUUAUGUUUUAAAUUAUUAGUUCAUGAGUUGAGUUUGAGUCUACCAAGUCAAGGGUUGUUAAGUUAGACCAAGUCUCGUGAAAAGAAUUAAUUUUUUUUUUCCGUUUCUUUGAGAUUUGAUCAAUAAAUCAGUUUCAAUUGUACUUGAUGGCCAUAUAAGCCAUGAAAGACAUGAAUAAAAGGAUUAUUCAAUUAUUUCAAAUCAAACCAACUCUUUUAAAAAAUAAUAAUAAUAAAACCAACUUAUGUUGUUGAGGGCAAGAUUCCUUUAUUAAUUAUCAACCUUAAACUGAUAGCUUUAAAUUCCCCUCAUGGUAGGUUCCAACAAAAAAAAAAAGAUUUCUCUAUUUUACCAUUAAUUAUAUAUAUUAAUUUCCAAUUUUACCCUUUACCAGAUUUAAAUGACACCACUUAAUUUAAUUUUCACGUGCUCGAUUUCAUUUUACUGGUCAACAAAAUCUCUCAAAAUUGUUGUCCUGAACUUGCGGCAGCUUUCAUCACCGACGGAGGCUGAAGAUUCAAGCAACAGAGCUGAUCGUGAUGAGGCGAAGGAGAAGAGGACCUAGCGAGUUCGCAAGAGCGAGUAUAGAGGAAUAAAGCGGAGGCCAUGGGGAAAAUGGGUAGCUGAAAUUAGAGACCCUUACAGGGGCGUCCGCUUUUGCCUCGGCACUUUCAACACCGCCGAAGAAGCCGCAAGAGAUUAUGCUGAAGCCGCCAAGUGUAUCCGCAGCAACAAGGCCAAGCUCAGCUUUGCUCUGCCGCCGCCGCCGCCAAUAACUCAAUCUCCAUGAUGGUUGUCGAAGCCAGCAAAAAUAAAUAUCUAUUCUAAAUAAAUUGUGUAUAGUGAUUGAGCAGGGUUGUGUCCACAGAGAUCGGUAAUUAUUUAAAUCCUUUUAAAUUGUAAAAUGCAAAAUGGGGGGAUUGUUGACAAUAAUAAAAAUCAAAUUAAAAUAACAAAUGCAAAUUCAAAUUGGGAAAAGCUCUGGUUGAAGGAAUUAACUCAGCUUGAUUCGACUAUUGAUCAUUGAUUCAAAUAUAAAUCAUUACUACUUAUGAAUAGACCGGUUAUAACUACUGAGACUCUCUAAUAACUAAUCUCUCCUUAACUAGUUGAUAAUCAAGGUACGACCAUUGAUUAUUUCCCUAAUCAAUAGACAACUCUAUAUACGAUCAUAGGGUUUAUCAAUUGACAGCCUGAAAAACCAGAGAGACCCAAAUCCUAAUCAACAAACGCAUACGAUGGUUCAUUUAAAUUAGAUUGUUUAUUCUCAUAACACAACGCACUGCUAUGCUAUUUGUCACAAACAUUAAAAUCCUCAUACGAUGAAUCUUUUAAUUGACAAUAGAUUAAGUUGAUAAUUAAAUAGUGGCCAAUUAUCUAAUUAACAAACAUAAUCAUGACAAUAAUUUAGAGAAUAAACAAAUACCCAAAAAGCAAUAAAACAAUUAAAGCAUAAGAAAGAUCUCACAGUAAUGAUGAAUCAAAACUUUAUUAACCUUCAACCAGAAUAAUAAGUUUAGUUCUUCAUAGAGAGAAGAGAAAAAUUUAGAUCUAGGGUUUCUUUCUUCUCAAAAAUCUCCUCUUUCCUUGUUUUUCAUGUCUCCUUCCUCUUAUAGAGUUUUUUUAUAAAUAAAAUACUAACAUCUAAAAUAUUAUCUAAAUAUUAAAUUCAAAAUUAUAAAAAUAACCAAAAAGACAAAACACGUUAAACUAAAAAUUGUAGGUCCGUAGUUGACAGCACGCGCCCACGCCUUAUCAACAAACAUCAUCUUGUAGCUCAAUUUUAGCACCAAUCAAUAGAAUUGCACCUACAAAAAUAAAACACAAGUAAAUCACUAUUAUUAAGUGCAAAACAUCGAAUUAAAGGAAGUAAACAAUGCGAAACUAGUACAUAAAUUGCACUCUUAACACUCCAGCUAAGAAACGCUGCAUGUUAUCCCCUGAGUUGACUCUGCCGUGUUUUGAAGAUUACUUUUUUAUUGGUUUAUGCAUUUGAGUUUACAAAGAAAUGGUAUUCCUUUUCCCUAUAUUUUGAACACUUGGGCUUUUAUUGUUGAAAAUGACCUUUUUUGCACUGUUCUUAUCUAUGAGGUUGUGCCUUCCUUUGGAUGCUCUUUAAUAAACAGCUUUCCCAAUGACAACUGAAGUGAAAAGUCAUUUAUCAAAUGAUUUGGUGAAAUUUCAGGUGCUCUCAUCUUGGUUUUUGCAGUUAAUAGGAAUAGGUUGGUGUUGGGAUGUGCUACAUGUAUCAAGUUCUUAUCGCUAGUGGAUGUGCCAUCAUUUACUCUCACUGAAUGUAUUAUUAGUUUCUUUAUUGAAAAGUCCCAAAUCAGUAAAGAAUCCUCAAUUUUCUCUGUUUUCUUUAGAUCCUAGUAGUGUUUUAGCAUGCACAACUAGUGUUUAUGCAUGUGUCGGCAAGUGUUUAGACAAUAAAUUUAAAGGUUACAGUGACAUAACUUGACUGCAGGAAAGGUAGGAUGUAUGCUGCAUUUGAAGGAAGGUGAAAGUUUUCCAUUUUUGUAAUUGAGUUUAAAGCAGGAUAUGUUUAGUUUCAUGAAAUGCUUUCUUAUUUUUCGAUGACGAAGUAAUGUGAGUCAAUAUUCUCUUUAAAUAAUGUUCCCCAGUUCUUGAAUGUUCUGCCAGUCUUUAUUUCUUAUUUGAAUUUAAAGAAACUUUCUAAGUGCAUACAUCCAUAUAAAGUUGAAGAUCUUCUAGAAAAGCUGGCAUCCAUCAAGAUCAAGAAAUUUUACUGCUUAGUAUGUGUUAUAUUUAUAGAUUGGCUAUUGAAGAAGUAGUAUUUGUACCGAUGCAGAUGCAGGAACUAUACACAUCUAAAGUUUAUGAGAUAUUUUUGUCUUUUUUGACUCAGUUAGAUAACUAUCAGUCGUUUAACCAAUUUAUGUUACUCUUGUUUGGCUAGCCAAUUAAGAAUUUAUAUUUGCUGGAUUGUAAAGCCUACAUCUGCAAGCCAUAUGUGAUUUUAUUUGAAGGCAAUUGGUUCUAGACUAUAUGCGGAUUUCUGUCAUGAUUUCUAUAAGCUUGAAGGAGAUUUCCUUUUUUUUUUUUAAAUGUCUGUGAGCUUGAAAAUUAUACCCGUACAUGUUGAAACCAUUAGAUACAUGCUAAGAAUCAAGCAUAAUUGUGUCCAGUUGAAACCAUAAUUUGGGUACUGUUUUAUGAGAAAAUUAUGUGUAAUUUGGGUGCAGUAAACCUAGGUUGAAUACCAGGACACAGUAUAAAAGCGAAACCACAUAUUGAAUCUUAUAUAAAGACUUUAAAGAUGCAAUUUUGAAUUGUACAUGAGAUGUUGUCUGGACUGAAUUUCAGCGGCUUUGGUUAGGAUUCAGAAAAGAGAAUUGUAACCGCAGAGAAUGCUCUGUGGGAUGCUUAUAUCCAGGUAUGUAAUGGCCUUAUUUUGAUUCUGGGCUGUUUGAGUUUUGUGCAGCUGUUCUUUGUUGCUGCUUUUGCUACUGAUUUUAGCUAUUUUCUGCUACUGUCUUAUUUGCUUUUUUUUUUUUUAAUACUACUUUUGCUGCUGAAUUUUGCUGGUUUCUGCUGUUUCACUCGCUGAUAGCUGCUGUUUAUUACUAUUGUUUGCUACCUUUUGAUUUGCUCCUUUUUUGCUGCUGAUUUUUGCUGUUUCUUUCCGCUGUUUUUGCUGCUUUUGUUGCUGUUUUUUUACUGCUUUUACUGUUGAUUUUUGCUGUUUUCUACUGUUUUGUACUCACUGGUUGCUGUAUGUUUAUUAAUAUUGUUUGCUGCUGUUUUAUUUGCUUUUUUUUGCUUCUAAUUUUUGCUGUUCUCUGCCAUUAUUUGCUGCUGUUGCUGUUUUAAUCGCCGGUUGAUGCUGUUUUGUGGUUCGCCUCCUCAAGUGCCUGCUUUUUUCAAUGUGCAAGCUUAUAUGUUGAGAGUGGCGGAUGAAAUCUCUUAACUGUUACAGUUGAUCCGAGGCUCCUCUAGAGAAGGAUUUGGUCUUAAUUUGGGGAAGGGGGUUUUUCUGGUUUGUACUCAAGCGUAUGCAUUCCUUCAAUCACGUAGCUUUGUGCCAUUAACAUAAUGGCAACUCUGUAUUGGUUUUUCUCUCGCUGUCUGUACCCAUGAUUAAGCAUGUAAUGGCUUUUAAUAAAAAAUAAUAAUAAGACAUAGUGCAGUCAAAUAUCAAGAUUAUAUUUUAAACAAAAAAAAAUUAUAUUUUAAACAAAAAAAAAAAUUAUAAUAAGUAUGAGGAUUCAUUGUCUGUUAGAUAAGACAUAAGAUAUGUGAAUAACAUAGGAAAAAGCCACCUACAUCCUCAAGAUGUGUUUAAAUGUUAAAUGGUUACACAGGUUCUUUUUGCUUCAUAAUAAUUAUAUAGACCCGUUUUGUUUAAUAUUAAACUAAUUAUACCUUUUAAUUACAAUAACCCAAUAAUUGAUUUUGAAUAAAUUUUUAUUAUAAAUAUAAAAUGGAACUGAAAUAAUAUUAUAUAUAAAAUAAGUUAAAAUUUAUAAAUUAUUUUGAAUAAUAAUAUUAAAAUUAUUUUACCCAACCCUCACAUUAAUUUAUAAAAUUUAUAUUGUUUUGCUUACUAUUUUUUUAAUUACGUCUACAUCGUAUAAAUCUUAAAAUCAAUCUUUAGAUUAAUAGAAUUUUGUAUUAAUAAAAACCGCUGGGUAUAUGUUAUUUUAUUAUACAUACUUGUUGCAAUAUUUUAUAUGUAUUAUAUGUUAUUUAUUUCUUAUUUUUAUCUCAUUACUAUAUUUAUAUUUAUUUGUAAUGUUAUAAUCAAAAGAUAUUAUCGCCCAAAUGGGGUUUAUGUGACUAUUUAUAAAGCCAAAAGGGUUUAUGUAAUCAUUUAAGUAAACCUUAAAAACGUGAGUGGCUUUUUCCAUAUAACAUAUGAUCCGAUAGCCAAGAAAUCAAUUAUGUAUUUCUUGUUUCUGAAAAAAUGAGUAAUCCUUUAACGAGGGUUAUCAUCAAUUGCAAGUUUCUAGUUUGGUUGCUUAAUUCGAGGACUAUGAAUAUUAUUGCGGAAAUGUGGGUUGAGUUUUCAACAAUUCUCCACCUCGGCGAAGAUUUAGUAAAUCUGAACCGACUAUCAACAAACUACAUUCCAGUUUCUGCCUUCUUUGGCUACUUUUAAACUUGUAAGAUGUUGAUCAAGUUUAAACAAUGCUCAAACUUGAUCGCCGUCACUACCUUGGUCAACAUAUUUGCGGGAUCAUCUGCAGUUUUAACUUUUUGAAGAAGAAUAUUCCCCUCAUCAAUAAUUUCCCGCACAAAGUGGAAUCGUACAUCGAUAUGCUUCGUACGCGCAUGAUAAACUUGGUUAUUCGUUAAGUGAAUAGCCCUCUGACUAUCGCAAUACACAUUAAUGUGCUCCUGUGCCAAUCGCAAGUUUUCAAGCAAACCUUGUAACCAAAUAGCCUCUUUAACAGCCUCUGUAAUUGCCAUGUACUCGGCCUCUGUGGUCGACAGUGCAACUGUAGACUGUAGUGUAGACUUCCAACUAAUUGGCCCUCUAGCAAAAGUAAAUACAUAUCCGGUGGUUGACCAUCGUUUGUCCAAAUCACCAGCAUAAUCAGAAUCAACGUACCCGAUCACACCUUGACCAAGUGUAUCGUCUCUUUCAAUCAGUAAACCAACAUCCAUGGUCUUUUGAAUGUAUCGUAGAAUUCAUUUCACAGCUUGCCAAUGGCCUUUACCAGAUUAUGUAUAUAUCUGCUCACUAUACCAACUGCAUGUGAAAUGUCAGGCCUUGUACACACCAUUGCAUACAUCAAGCUACCCACUGCAUUUGAAUACGGAACUUGUAACAUGUAUUCUCGUUCCGCAUCUGUUGAAGGAGAUAAUUGUGCAGAAAGCUUGAAAUGAGAAGCCAACGAGGAACUUACAGGUUUUGUCUGCUCAGUCAUACUAAACUGCUGUAGUACCUUCUUCAAAUAUUGCUUCUGAGACAAGCUUACUUUGCCAUGAGCUCUAUCUCUGCAUAUCUCCAUGCCAAAAAUCUUUCAUCUCAAACUCUUAAUUGAGUUGAGUCUUCAACUUCUCUAUCUCAUCUUUGCUCUUCGAUGCUAUUAGCAUAUCAUCGACAUACAAUAGCAAAUAAAUGAAAGAUCUUUCUUGUAGCUUGCGAAAAUACACACAAUGAUCAAAUUUGUUUCUUGUGUACCUUUGCCCUUUCAUAAAUCGAUCAAAUCGCUUAUACCACUGUCUCAGAGAUUGUUUCAAUCCAUAAAGCGACUUUGUCAAUUUGCAAACCCAAUUUUCUUUUCCAGCAACCUUAAAUCCAUCUGGCUGAGUCAUGUAGAUUUCCUUUUCCAAAUCACCGUGUAAAAAUACAGUUUUUACAUAAAGUUGAACUAGUUCAAGAUCAAAUUGUGCAACAAUGGCUAGCAAAAUUUGAAUAGACGAGUGUUUUACAACUGGAGAAAAUACCUCAUUGUAGUCUAUUCCUUCCUUCUGAGCGUAACCCUUCGCUACCAAUCUAGCCUUGUAUCGAAUUUCAUUUUUACGAGGAAAUCCUUCAUUUUUUGCAUAUACCCAUUUGCACCCAAUUGCCUUCUUUUCCUUGGGCAGUGUAACUAACUCCCAAGUUUCAUUUUUGUGAAGAGAAUGCAUUUCUUCGUUCAUUGCUUUCUUCCACUGUAUACUUUCUGGAUUACUUAAUGCUUCUUUGUAAGUGGAAGGAACAUCAUCAUCUACAAUUGGAAGUGCAUAGGCCACCAUAUCAACAAAGCGAGCAGGUUUGCGAAUCUCUCUGCGUGGCCUUCUAUAUGCAAUUAACUCUUGUUGCUGUGAAGGUUCCUGGGUUAGAACCUCUUCAUCAUUUUCGGUCGAUGGAGAAUCACUAUCCAUCUCAUCGACACCAGCUAGAUUAGCUUUAACUUUUUCAAACUUCACCUACUGCAAAGUGCUACUGGUCUUGUCAUCCUCUUGAGAAUCUUUUUGUUUCAACAUGGCUAAUUCAUCAAAAGUUACAUCUCUGCUGAAAAUAAUCGUCUUCGUAACAGGACACCAAAGACGGUAUCUGUUUACUCCACCAGUUAUACCCAUGAACAAUUCUUUCUUUGCUCUUGGGUCUAACUUAGAUUCUUUUACAUGAUAAUAAGCAGUGGAACCAAAAACACGUACAAAAUUAUAAUCAGUAGCAGGUUUACCAGUCCACAUCUCCAUGGGUGUUUUGCCCUCAAUUGCAGUUGAUGGCAAAUGGUUGAUCAGAUGGCACGCAUAUACAACUGCCUCAGCCCAAAAAUCUUUGCCCAAUCCAGCAUUGGAUAACAUACACCGAACUUUCUCCAGUAUAGUCCGGUUCAUGCGUUCUGUCACCCCAUUCUGUUGUGGUGUAUCUCGAAUAGUGAAAUGUCGUACAAUACCCUCAUCUUGGCAUAUUUAAAUAAAUGGAUCAUUUUUGUACUCACCAUCAUUGUCUGAGCGAAGUCUUUUGACCUUUCGACCAGUCUGAGUCUCGACCAUUUUCUUCCAUUUCAAAAAUAUGCCAAAAACUUCAUUUUUGUUCUUCAUUAAAUACACCCACACUUUUCUUGAAUAAUCAUCAACAAAAGUAACAAAAUAGUGCAUACCUCCCAAAGAAGCUAUUUUAGUAAGUCCCUACACAUCACUGUGAACAUAGUCCAUAAUUCCUUUUGUAUCGUGAAUUGCCGAACCAAACUUUACCCUUGUCUGCUUGCCCAGAACACAAUGUUCACAAAAUUUUAAUUUGCAAGAAUUUGUGCCUUUCAAUAAGCCUUGCUUCGCUAAAGUCUGCAAAGCUUUUUCACCAGCAUGUCCCAAAUGCAUAUGCCACAACUUGGUUGCUUCUGAAUUUGCAUCUUUUCCAGAAACUGUUGAUGCUGGUCCAAUAAUUGUACUUCCUUGAAAAUAGUACAAGUUAUUUCUUCUUGUGUCUUUCAUCACCAUCAGCGCCCCAGCUACUACCUUCAACAAUCCAUCUCUUAAAGUGAUUGUGAGCCCUUUAGAUUCUAGGACUCCUAAUGAGAUGAGAUUUUUCUUCAAGCUUGGUACAUAGCGAACAUCUGUCAAAAGUUGGAUUGAGCCAUCAUGAUUCUUUAAUUGGAUUGUACCUAUUCCCAUGGUUUUACAAGCAUUUUCAUUGCCCAUAAAAACAACUCCACCGUCUAGCUCCUUAAAGCUAGAAAAUCCACUCAUCUGAGUGACAUAUCAAUGUCAUGCCAACCAGACUAAAGUUUGACUCCUCAUCAUGCUCUGGUACACAUGCAUCAGAAGUAGCAUUGCCCUUUUGUAACUUAGGACAAUUCUUUUUCCAAUAUCCUUUCUCACGACAAAAAACACAUUCAUCUUUGGCAGGUCUCCCUUUAGACUUACUCUUUUUUCCAGGGUUGAGGCUUUGCGAACGACCUCUCGUUGUUAAUGCUUCUGUAAUUGUAUCUCUGUGAUCCUUUCUGUCUUUCUUUCUGGUCUCAGAGUUGUACAAUGCACUGUAUACAGCAUCGAACGUGACACUGUCCUUCCCAUUAAACAAAGUAGUGGUGAGAUGAUCAUAUUCAUCAGGAAGUGAAUUCAACAACAACAGUGCCUUUUCUUCAUCUUCAAAUCUCUCAUCCAGAUUUAGCAAAUCCACUAAUAUCUUGUUGAAUAAGUUCACGUGGUCAUUCAUUGACAUGCCAUGUGUGUAUGUAAAUCGAUAGAGUUUCUUUUUCAUAUAAAGCCUAUUUUUAAGACUUUUCUUCAUAUACUUUUCUUCCAGUGUCUCCCACAAUUUCUUUGUCGAUGUCUCCCUCAUGACAGAGUAUUUCUGAUCUUUAGCCAGACAUAGGCGAAUAGUACCACAUGCCUAUCUAUUGAUUUUUAUCCACUCCUUGUCAUCCAUCACGUGAGGCUUUUCUUCAAGAGCAACAUCCAACUCUUGUUGACAUAAGACAUCCAACACCUCACAUUACCAUAUACCAAAAUUAUUGGUACCAUCGAAUUUCUCCACUUCAAACUUUGCAUUAGUCACAGUAGUUCUCGCUGAUGAAGACGACAACGAUGCCUCUACCAUCAUUUUUAUCUCAAAUGAUCAGUUUCUUCAACAACUAUUUACACUUAAAAAACAGCCUCUAUGAUGUUUAUUUCGCGUGAAUAAAUGCACCAAGAAAGUUCCCAGGAAACUGGACAGGAACUAGGUCCCAAUUAAAAACCAGAAUCCUUAGACUCUUAUCGCCUUUGUUGACAGAACUUUCUUUGACAUGCAAAAAUACACACUACUUACAAUAGACUGUCUCCCAAGUAUAAAUGGCUGUCUCCACCGUAUUUGUAAACAGUACCGUAUACGUGAAUAAUACCAUAUCCUCCCAAGUACGAACCGUCAGCUCUGAUACCACUUGUUACGGAAACGUGGGUUGAGUUUUCAACAAAUAUUACAUUAUCAUAAUUAAGGGGAAAGAAUAUAUGCUAUAGUCUUUGCCUGAUCACUUUCUUCUUUUUAAUUAACCACUUGCAAGGAAAGAAUAUUGUAUACACAACACACUAUAAUACUCUAAUUACCAAUUCUUUAUGUUAUAUUAAAGUUCAUAGUGAUUAAUUUGUCCAUAUUCAGCAAAAAACAAUCCCAUUUCUCUUUGCUCCAGCCAAUUGAUAGCAGAAUCAUCACAGACACCUUGAGCUCCGUCGAAUCAUCAUAGACAAUUGGUGAUUGGUGGGAGCAUUACAAGAAAGGUACGACUCCUUCAGACUGAUACAUUUGUUUAUAUGAUUCAGUGAUAGUUUUAUAUAUGGUUAAUAGCAAUAAUGAAGAGAUAAUCAUGUACAUCAUCAGUUGCACAAAUGUACCUACUAAUUUAUUCCUCUACUUGCCAGAAUCACACAUGUAAAAUGAGAUAAAUUUUAAAGUUUAAAACUUUGCAAUUCAUUAAAAAUCUAGUGGGAUAUUAAUUGGUAAAAUCACUCAAUGGUAGUACAAGAGGUUUGUGAAUUGCGAUUAUGCCAGUUUAUGUGGAUGGAGUGAGAAUUUUUUUAAUAAAUAAAUAAUAAUAAUUAAUAAUAUUAUUUAUAAAAAGACAUAAAUUUGAAGGUUUAAAAUUUUACAAUUCAUUAGAAUCUAGAGAGAUAUAUUGCGUAAAUUUUUUGUCUCUAAUUAAUUUACAGGUAGGGGAUAUAUAUAUAUAUAUUGUGAGGCUAUUUGCACAAUCUUGGGCUUUGGACACAUACCAAGAUGAGAAUAGUUGGACCCACUAAAAUACACUUUGCAUUCACUUCUCAAUAAAAAAUUUUAUUACAAGAUUUUAUUAAUUAAACUAUUAUUUUUGCCAAAUAUUAUGUUCGUUUCUCUCCCUAAAGUUUUUUUUCCACCAUUUUUUCCCUUUUUCUCUCUCGCUCUCCCUCUCCCUAGUUGUCUUCUAUUCUUUUGUGGUUCUUAUAUUUUGAAACUUCUAUUGGAGUAAAAUCUCUUUAAAUUAUUCUUAUAAAAAAAAGGCUUUUAAAAUUUGGCUUAAUCUUACAUGUAUGUGAUUUCGAUGAAACUUUAGUAAAUGGGUUUCCACUAGAAAUGAAAAGAUCACAAAACAAAUAUCAAAAGAUCACCAACUUAAUCAUACUGGUAGUAAUUAAGAUAAAUAAAGACUUAUUAUUUCUGCUUGAAGUUGAUAUGAUAAAGAAACCAAAAAAAAAAAAAAAAGCAAGCCACUACAAUUACAACAUUGGAGGAUUUGUUAAUAAAACUAUUGCAGAUAUAAGUUUUAAUUGAUAAAGAAGAUUUAAUAGACAGUAGUGAGAAAAACAACUUAUAAAAAUUAAUGAUAUUUUUUAUGGGUAUAUUAGGAAUAUUUGUGGCCUCAUCCCUCUUAUUAUGAUAAUUUUUUUAUUACUACCAUAACCCUAGUAUAUUUACUAUUAAGGGCAACAUAAUGAAAAUUUUGUUACUCUUAUAUCUAUUGAAGAUACAUUAUUAUUUUGUGCAUGCCAGACUCCAAUGUCCAAGUAAAAUUUUUAGUGGAAUGUAUAAGAAAGUGUAGGAAGAAUUUCAUCAAGGUAUUUCAGUUGUAUUUAAUGCUCUUUGCUCGUGUAAACUAUUAUGUCACGUGUAAUAUUUUGAUCAUGACACGUGGCAUUGUAAAUAAUGCUCUUAUUUUAGGUCUUCGUAGGUACUUCGGAGGUACGUCCGCUCUAGAGCUAGUAUUAGGUUAUCAUGUGCUUCUUUUAAUGAACCACAUGAUUCCUUCCAUCCUUACAUUAGAGUAUUUUCUACAAAAUAGUUGUGUCAAAUGUUUGUUUAUCAAGGACACAUAUUGUGUCGGCAGAACAUAAUAAAAAUAUGAAACUUUAAUCCAUUAGCAUUUAUGGAAAAUCAAAUGAGAACAAAAAUUAAAAAAAAAGUAUAAAAGCUAAUUAAUUGACAAUGCAAAAAUAUAAAAUAUUAAUAGAUAAGAGAAAUUAGGUUUUUGAAUUAUGAAAAUUUAUUAAAAAAUUCUAAAUGAACAAAACUAUGGUUUUGUGCCCUUUUUUAUACUAAACCUGAAUAUCAUGAAUUUACUAAAAUAGGUCAAUGUAAAAUAUUAUUUUAUAAUAAAAUUCUAAUAAUCUAAAUCAGGAGAACAAAACAAACUCUGUCCAAAUUCGAUAUCUAAAAAAAGAUAAAAAAUCUAAAAGUAAUAGGAAAAAUAACUUAAAACUAUAAAAUGACUAGGGCAAAAUAACAUGUGCAAUUUUGGUUUGAUUUGUCUCAUCGCAAGCUUCGAAAGGAUAUAUUAUACACUUAUAACGAAUACUUGUAGCUCAAGUUAUGACCUUCGAACAGUAACCCGCUUAUCCUACGCAACCAUCCUACAUCAAUCCCCCUCACUUGGAAAAGAACUCAUCCUUGAGUGGGGCUAGUACAACCACUUAUUAUUUGGAUGAUAUUCAAACAAAUCGGCCAUGUUAAAAGUGUGGGAGAUAUUUCAACUAUCCGGCAGCUAAAGCACAUAAGAUUAUCAUUAAUCUUCUUAGCCACAUGAAAUGGACUGUACUUCAACCUCUCUAAUUUAGUGCAAAUGCCAGGAAAAUGGCUAUGUUACAGAUGUGCCAUCACCAAAUCACCUUCCUAAAACACUUUCUUGCAUUGGUGCUUGUCUGCAUUAGCCUUGUACUCAGUAUUGGCAGUCUUUAAAUGAGCUCACACCUCAACAUGAAUCUGCAAAGCCUUUUCUGCCACAUUAUCCACUGCUUUACUGCCUCUAGCUACUGUUGGUAUAGCAGUUAGAUCAUAGACAUGGCUUGGAGAACAAGUGUAGACAACUUCGAAAGGAGCCUUGCUAGUAGAUCCAUUCAUCGUGCUAUUGUAAGAAAACUCAACUUGAGGCGACACGAUUUCCCAAUUUUUUUGUUUGUCACCACAAACAUAGCGCAACAUAUUAGCCAAAAGUUCGAUUGACCACUUUUGUUUGUACAUCUCUUUAGGGAUGGGAAGCACUAUUAAACUAUAAAUGUGUCCCGAACCUAUCUCACAGAUAAAGCUAAAAUUUGCUGAUGAACUUCACAUCCCUGUUAGAAGUAAUAGCCUUUGGAAUACCAUGCAAAUGCAUCACUUCUUGAAACAAAAGAUGUGCCAUAGAAAAAGCAUCUUUAGUCUUUCUGCAAGUAAUAAAAUGCGCUAUCUUUGACAAUCUGUCAACAACAACUAGUAUAGUGUCUCAACCAAUUCUUGUACAAGGCAACCUCAACAUAAAGUUCAUGGAUAAAUCUAACCAAAUAUUCUCUGAAACAUGUAAUGUGUGUUUAAUCUCGUGUUCUACGAUCCCUUACCUUCUUGACAAAUCUGGCACCUCUGCACAAUCCUUCGAACAUCUUUAUUCAAUUACAGCCAAUAAUAUCACUUUUUGACAAGCACUUUAUGCAGCUCAUGGAUAAUGUGCUCCCUCAAAGAAUUACGAGGCAUACACAAUUGUUUAUCCUUAAACAAAUAUCCAUCUUGAAUGAGAAAGUCUUUCAUAUUUUAAUAAUCGAUACACCAAUCCCAAAUGUACGAAACAGUAACUUCAUUCACGAGUGUUGCUAGUAAGGUUGCUUGCUUACUUAGAACGUUCACAAUUGUAUUCUGCUACUUAGACUUGUGUUUCAGAACAAACUUAUGCUUAUAGCUCACCCAUCUCACAUGUAUCUUCUCAGAUUUUCUUGGCUGUUAAAGCACUUUAAUACUUGAUGGUCAGUGUAAAGCACAAACUCCUUUUGAAUCAAGUAAUGCUCAAAUGACUUCAAUAUUUUAAAGACCGCAUAAAAUUCAUGGUCAUACAUAGAUCACUUCUAUUGUGCUUUAUUCAACUUCUCACUCAAAUAAUUAAUUGGUUAGACUUUUUGAGAAAGGACAGUCCCUACACCCUUACUAGAAGCAUUACACUCGACUUUAAAUGACUUGUCAAAGUUUGAUACGGUCAACACAAGAGUAGUAUACAACUUCUCCUUUAAUAAAAAUAAAACUCGCCUCUUGGUCUUCCCCUCAUUUGAACUUUCUUUCUUCAAACACUCUAAUUGGUGCAGUUUUAGUGUUAAAAUUGUGAAUGAAUCUCCUAUAAGAUAUCACUAGCCCAUAAAAACUCCUAACUUUACCCACAGUUUUAGGCAUAGGCCAUCCUAUAAUAGCUUGUAUCUACUCAAUAUCUCUAAGUCCAUCUGUACCAACUAUAAAACCUAAAAACUCCAUAUUAAUACAAAGAAAGCUAUAUUUGUUCAGGUUAAUGUAAAGUUUAUUUUUCCACAAUAACUCCAUAAGGAUUCUCAAAUAUGUGUCUUGAUACUAAUAGAAUAAAUCAAAAUAUCAUCAAUAUAUAUCAUAAUAAAUUUACAGGAAAAAGGUCUGAAAACUUGAUUCAUUAAAUGCAUAAAGGUACUUGGCACAUUCGAUAACCUGAAUUGCAUCACGAACCACUUAUACAAUCAUUCUUUCAUUUUUAGCGUUGUUUUCUGUUCAUCUCCAAGCCUAAUUCUUAUUUGAUGAUACUUGCUGCAUAAGUCUAUCUUUGGCACCAUCUGACUAACUAGUAAAUCUUGAAACACCGAAAUAGAAAAUCCAUACUUUAUAGUAAUCACAAAUAAAUCUUUUUUGCAACAACUUAUUAACUUGUUCUUGUAAGAUUGCAUGCUCGUGAGGAUUCAUAUGAUAAUGAGGCAUGUUAGGUAUACUCGUACCAAAAACUAGGUCCAUAUAAUGGUGUAUAUCUUAUAAAAACGUAAGCCAUCUGACAUUUCAAAGGGUGUAAUAUCAGUAAACUUAGCCAAUAAAGGUUGCACUUUGUCAUGAAUAGUCUUUACCUCAAAUUCUUCCUCUUUUUACAGCUUUUGGCAACCAUCACAAUCAGCCUUCAAAUAACUCUUUACAAUGGCUAGAAAGUUCUUCCCUUGAGCCUUAGAAUUCUUUUUCUAGUUCUUUUAAAGGUCCUUAACGAACCUUUUUGCUAUUUCACUAAAAUUCAUAUAUAUUAUCCCUUGUUUUAUGAAUUGCAUCAAUAUUGAAUUGCCAAGGUCUACCAAGUAAAAGAUAACAGGCAUCCGCAUCCACCAUGUCACAUACCACGUCACUUUUAUAGAUCUUCCCAAUAGAGAAUAGAACACGACAAACCUCUAUUACUUGUGUUUUUGUCUCUUUCUUUAUUUACCUUAUGUUGUAAAGUAUUAGAUGUUUUUCUGUUAACAGUUCUAUCAUGUCAACCAGUGCCUUUUAAACUAUGUUCUCGCUAUUGUCACUAUUGAUUAUCAUGUUGCACACCUUAUCAUUGGUGAUGCCAUGUUCCUAAAAAUCUUAUUACGUUGGUUAUCCUUAUCAAGCUUCACUGCUAAUAAAAUCUUAUGCACAAUACAACUCAAUAUCUCUCAUUCAUCUAUACUUAACUCUACUGUUUCUUUGUCAUCUCUAUUCUCAAUAGUGUUUGUCUUUAUCUUGUUGGCUUUAGCUUUUACCAAAUUUAAAACUUUACUAUGACAUUCAUUUGAUUGAUGCUUGUGCCUUAUACUUUAAACACUUGUUUAGCAUAGGCUUUGCAUAUAGAUUAUUUUGAGAUUGUUGUCGGUACUGCUACUGUUAGGAUGGCUGCUACUGUCUAGGAAGCUGCUACCUUGUUUAUUACUAUUGUGGUUGUUAUGAUUGACUACUUUCAGCCAUGACUUCUGUUUAUUCUCAACCCCACCAUUAAUCGACUUAUUCUGCAGACCAGGGAAUUAAUACUGUUGCACUUCAGAAACAACACACUUAUUUCAUUCUUUCUAUUUCUUUGCCCUUGCAACCAUCAUGCCCAUAUUCCAGAGUGGCUUUAUGAUCUCAUCUCGAAGCUUUUGUUCCAAUUCGCCAAUAUACUUUGCAAUUGUUCUAGAUUUCGACUCAUUCAUAUUUUUUUUGGCAUUUGUACUCUGCUGGCAAGAAAUACUCUUCCAUUAUCCUUUGCAUUCUAGCCCAUGAUCUGAUCAUUAGCUUUCCUGCAAUUCUUAUUCAAUUUUCUAUGUGUUGCUGCCAAGUGAAUGCUAAUGCCUUUCAACUUAAACGCCACUAGCUUAACCCACUUCUAUUAGGGGAUUUGCAAAUACAUGAAGAAAUUCUCUACUUAUGUUAUCCAAUCUAAAAAUUCUUCAAUAUGCAUCCACCAUAGAAAUCUGGAUGAUCUACACUGAUCUAGUAAUCUGAAUUCUUUCCACGCCUUCUUUCAUAAUCGACAAACUCGUCUUCUUCCUAAGCACUUACAAAGGAAUCUUUGAAUGCACGAGGAUUCAUCUUACGAGACGUAAAUAUUGAGGCAUUACACUGCGAUUGGUGCCCUAAGGCAUUAUUUCAUGAUUAUAUCCUUGCAGUAUCUUCUCAUGGUUAUAAUUUUGAGAUUGUUCUUCACACUUGACUCCUUAAAGUAUUUUCUUGCUAUUAUCCCUAAGAUGUUGAUCUCUCUUCCUAUUUAUAUCAUCAAUAGAAAGCCCAAGACCCUCAAUUGCUGGCUUUAUCACCUUCAUUCUCAGGUUAUCCUCAAUGGCUUGCAAGGCUGCUUCUCUGGCCAUCUAUCUAAUAUCCUCCAUAGACUGUGCUUGUAUAUGAGGUUAUGGGUUUGAUUUAUCUUGUCGUAAACUUCAAAACGAUAUAUUAUACGCCCAAAAUGAACACCUAUAGUUUAAGUUAUAACCUUCAAUGUUUAUCCUGCUCAUCUUAAGCAACCAUCCUACAUCGUUAAUAACGUUUGAGUUUGAGAUGUUGAAUAUUUAAUUUCAUAGGAGUAAAGAGAGGAAAGAAAAGUACGCUAAAUUCAGGCUAUUUUACUAUUAAAUGACAAUUUAAAAUAAAUUUUGUUUUAAAAAUUUUAUUAAAUAAAGGUAGGAAAUUGUUCAAAAUAUGUUUUAAGUAUAAACUCGUCCAUUUGAAGUAAUAGUGCAUGAUUAGCAAUAGUUAAAUCAACUUAUUAUGAUGAGACUCGUCAAAUUUAAUAUUUAAAAAACUUGUCAUCUCAGCACAGAGCACACAACUCUCCAUUUAGGCAGCGUUUACAUUUUGCAUUGAAGUGAGAAUCCCGAGGAGUGAGAAUCCUGGGAUUAGGAGUGUGGAGUGGAAGUGGAAGUAUGUUGUUUAGUUACACUGGAAUGAGAGCAUAAUAUUGAAAUUAGAAUCCAAUUUAUGUGUUUACAUAGUCUUGGAUUGGGAGUAAAUAAUUUCAAAUUAUAGUUUUACCCUUAUUUAAGAAUUGUAGUUUUCAAUUACAAAAAUAAUAAAAAUAUAUUUGAAAAAUAAAAUAUUUAUUUUAUUAUAUUUGUACAUUAAUGAUAAUUAUUAAUAUUCUUAAUUAUGUAAAUCAAAAAUUUUAUUAAUUUUUUUUAAUUAUGUAAAUAAAAAAUUAUUAUUAAGAGCAAUACAAAUGAAACAUUAUCAUUAAUAAUAUAAUACAAAAUUAAUAUUUUCUUAGAAUAAAAUAUUGAUUAUUAUUAAUUACUAAUAUUAAAUAAAUAUAAUACUAUUAUUUUUAAAUAAAUAUAACCAUAUUAUAUUUUCAAAUAAAAAUAGUGUAUAGUAAUAUUAUUUAUUCUCUAUGAGUAUAAUAAUAUUAUUUUUAAGUAAUUGUAAUUUAGAAUAAAUGUAAAUUAUUAUUUUUAAUAAAUAUAAUUUAUAAAAUAAUAUAAUCAUAUUAUUUAAAUAAAUAUGAUAUUAUUUAUUUUAGCUUAUUAAAUAUAAGAGUAAAAAGGGAAGAGGGGGAAGUGGAUUCCCACUUCCACCUCCCCCAUGGGAGUGGGAAUCCCACUCUCCACUCCAAAGAAAGGCGGGUUCCACGGAGUGAGAUUCCCACUCCCCCUUAAAAUUGGUAAGCAAACGUUGGAGUGGGAGAAAUCCAAACUCCUCACUCCCACCUCAGGAAAUAAACACUGCAUUAGUAGAGUAUGAGUGGUUGGCAAACACCAUGGCUUACACAAAUAUUUCUAAUAUUUGAAUCCUCAAACCCUCCUUAAAAAAAAAAAAAAACAGUGUCUUUUGUGAAUCAUUGCUAACGGACUAGCCCAGUUGAGUACUUUUCAAUUGAUGGGCUAUAAUCGCCAAUUUCUAAAUAGAACAAAUUUGUACAGGCAAACUAGUAGAUUGAAUGACAACCGACAACAUAUGACAUAAUUAACUUAUCUAAGAAGAAUUAAAAAAACCAAAAAAAUACAGUGGAUGAACAUAAGACUCUUGUGUCAAGUUUUUGAAUUCGUCAAUCAUGUAUAGGCAAACCAACCUUAAGAUAAGUGGGGUUCACAAGAAAAUAAUUUGAAAAAAUAAAGAGAAACUUAUUUGAGUUAUUUAUUACUUUAUGUUAAGUCUAUUAAAAUAUCUUGUUAAAUUUAUAAAAAUAGUAAACUCAUAAAUCUAUCAAAUUUAAACUUUCAAUUUGAGAAUUAUAAAAGCGCACACUUUAAUUUUAAAAAAUAAAAUCCUACUGUAACUCAUAUGGGUGGUUUUACUAGUAUUUAAAUUAGUCCUAUUAAAUUUAUUAAAAUAACCUUUAAAUAAAUUUUAGUUUUUACUUCUCGUCAUUAUAUAAUUUAGUCCCCAAUAAAUUAUUUUACUACAUUAAUGUCAAUGAUCCUUCAACUUCCUUAAAAUUGAUGUUUAGCCAUAUUGACACAUUCACUCUUACCACUUUUUUCAGAACCCAUAUGCAUUAUUCUAAUCAGACAUUAAUUUAGCUACUGACAAAUUAAGUCUAUCGAUAGAUUUCCAACUUCACUACUAAUUGAGAGAUAUUUAUUCCUCGAGAAGGUUUUUGGUAUUUAAUCAAUAUUUGCCACGUGUAUGAACAUUAUCAUAAUUAGUUGAAACAUACACUUGAUAAAGAGGGAAUGGAAAAGGAACAAUAUUAUUUUAGGAGCUAGCCCUCAAGAAUUUUUCUUACUCUAUCCAUAUGAGUGAAGGAAAUGUCUACCUCCACCCAAUUAUAUAUUAUUGGACGAGGAGUUGUUGAGUCGCCACUAGGGAUUCGUUGGUCCAUUUACCACCACUUUGUAUUCUAAAAUUUUGGUUGAAUUUAUUCAACAGCAACAAGAAUCGUAUAAAUAGGAAAAAAAUACAUUCAAAUAAUAUUCCAUGACUCUAUUUCUUCAAUUUCAGGAACAAUGGUGGAAUCAUUUUUACCGCUUGAAAAACUUACGAAAAAAUUAGGGUCUCGCGCUUUCGAAGAACUUUUAUUGUUCUACUGUGUCAAAAAUGAUGGAGAAAAGUUGAAGGAGACCUUAACCACGGUCAAAUGUGUGGUUUUGGAUGCCGAGGAAAAGCAAGUCCAUAAUCACCAGUCAAGAGAUUGGCUGGAAAAGCUUAAGGAUGCAUGUUAUGAUGCAGAAGAUUUGCUCGAUGACUUCGAUGUGGACGCUCUACGAAGGCAGGUCAUGAAGCAAAGAAGCACUGGAAGGAAUUUGCGUAACUUUUUUGGGAGCUCAAAUCUGAUAGCUUUUCGAUGUAGAAUGGAUCAUCAAAUCAAGAAAAUCAUAGAGAGGUUUGAUGAGAUUGCAAACAUGAUGCAUAAGUUUAAUCUCACUCCAGGACUUGAUGAUCGUAGAGGGCGAGCUGUGCAAGAGAGGGAACCUUCUCACUCGUUUGUACGUCCAUCAGAAAUUAUUGGAAGAGAUGAAGAUAGAGAAAAGACUAUUGAACUAUUGAUGAAAACAAGCAAUGGCGACAGUGAAACGGUGUCUGUUAUUCCUAUCGUGGGACUUGGAGGUCUGGGCAAAACUGCACUUGCAAAAUUAGUGUACAAUGAUCAAAGGGUAGAAGAGCAUUUUGAGUUGAAAAUCUGGAUAUGUGUUUCUGAGGAUUUUGGUGAGAGACAAAUUAUGACAAAGAUUAUCAAGUCGAUAACUGGUCGAAACCAAGGUGACUUGGAUACAGAGCAAUUGCAACAAAUCAUGCGAAGUUGUUUGAAUGGUAAGAGAUAUUUAUUUGUUAUGGAUGAUAUAUGGAACGAAGAUCCCAAAGUAUGGGAUGAAUUGAAAAGUUUAUUGUUGGGAGGUGAUAGGGGAAGCAAAAUUCUGGUAACCACACGUAGCAAUAAUGUUGCUUCAAUCAUGGGCACAAUGAGAGGUACUGGUGGUUACAAAUUAGAAGGUCUUCUGUACGAGAGUUGCUUGUCCUUGUUUAUGAAAUGUGCAUUUAAAGAAGGGCGAUAUAAACAUCCAAACCUCGUAAAAAUUAGGAAAAAAAUUGUGAGAAAAUGUGGAGGAAUUCCUUUGGCAGUGAGAACACUAGGAAGUCUAUUAUAUGACUCAACGGAUGAACAUUAUUGGGAAUAUGUGAGGGAUAAUGAGAUAUGGAAGUUAGAGCAAAAGGAAAAUGACAGUUUACCUGCUCUAAGGUUAAGCUACGAUCUGCUACCGCCUCACCUGAAACAAUGUUUUGCUUACUGUUCAAUCUUUCCCAAGGAUUAUGAAUUUUCAAGUUUUCGUUUGGUACAAUUCUGGAUGGCUCAUGGUCUUCUCCAAUCCCCUAAUGAGAAUGAAGAAUCAGAAAAUAUUGGUAUGCGAUACUUGAAGGAAUUACUGUCAAUAUCUUUCUUCCAAGAUUUAUCUGAUGAAGGAAUUGGGAUAUUCUUUGAAGGAUUGGGGAUGUUCUUUUUCAAAAUGCACGACCUCAUCCAUGAUCUCGCACAGCUAGUGCCCAAAGGUGAAUUCCUAAUAGUGGACACAAGACCUCGUCUAUGAUGUUGAUCUCUCUUCCUACUUAUAUCAUCAAUGGAAAGCCCAAGACCUUUAAUUGCUGGCUUUAUCACCUUUAUUCUCAGGUUACAAGCUUCCUCAAUGGCUUGCAAGGUUGCUCCUCUGGCCAUCUAUUUGAUAUCCUCCAUAGACUAUGCUUGUAUAUGGUUCUGGUUUUGAUUCAUUUUGUCGUAAACUUCGAAACGGUAUAUUAUAUGCCCAAAACGAAUACUUGUAGUUCAAGUUAUAACCUUUAAUGUGUAUCUAGCUCAUCCUAAGCAACCAUCCUACAUCGUUAUUAACGUCUGAGUUUGAGGUGUUGAAUAUUUAAUCUUAUAGGAGUAACGAUAGGAAAGAAAAUUAGGCUUAAUUCACGCUAUUUUAAUAUUAAAUGACAAUUUAAAAUAAAUUAUGUUUUAAAAUUUUUAUUAAAUAAAGGUAUGGAAAUUGUUCAAAAUAUGUUUUAAGUAUAAACUGGUCCGUUUGAAGUAAUAGUGUGUGACUGGCAAUAGUUAAAUCAACUUAUUACGAUAAGACCCGUCAAAUUUAAUAUUUAAAAAACUCGUCAUCUCAUCAUAAAACACACAACUCUCCAUUUAGUAGAGUAUGAGUGGUUGGCAGACACCAUGGCUUACACAAAUAUUUCUAAUAUUUGAAUCCUCAAACCCUCCUAACAAUGCCACCAGUGUUUUUUCUAAGUCAUUGCUAACGGACUCGCCUCAAUUGAUGGGUCAUAAUUGCCAAUUUCUAGAUAGAACAAAUUUGUACAUGCAUACUAGUAGAUUGAAUGACAACUGACAGCAUAUGAUAUAAUUAACUUAUUUUCGAAAAAAAUAAAAAAACAAAAAAAAAUACAGUGGAUGAACAUAAGACUCUUGUGUCAAGUUUUCGAAUUCCUCAAUCAUGUACAAGUAGAUCAACCUUAAGAUAAGUGGGGUUUACAAGGAAAUAAUUUUUAAAAAAUAAAGAGAAAAUUAUUUGAGUUAUUAAUUACUUUCUGUUAAGUCUAUUAAAAAUUUAUAAAAAUAGUAAACUCAUAAAUCUACCAAAUUUAAAUUUUCACUUUGAGAAUUAUAAAAGCGUACACUUUAAUUUUAAAAAAUAAAAUCCUACAGUAACUCAUAUGGGUGGUUUUAUUAGUAUUUAAAUUAGUCCUAUUAACUUUAUUAAAAUAACCUUUAUGAAUUCAUUAACCUAUAAAAUUUUAGUUUUCACAUCUUGUAUUAUAUAAUUUAGUCCCCGACAAAUUAUUUUACUGCAUUAAUGUCAAUGGUCUUUCAACUUCCUUAAAAUUGAUGUUCAGUUAUAUUGACACAUUCACUAUUGCCACUUUUUUGAAAACUCAUAUGCAUUAUUAUAAUCAGACAUUAAUUUAGCUACCGACAAAUUAAGUCUAUCGAUAGAUUUCUAACCUCACUAAUAUUUGAGAGAUAUUUAUUCCUCGAGAAGGUUUUUGGUAUUUAUUCAAUAUUUGCCACGUGUAUGAACAUUAUCAUAAUUAAUUGAAACAUACACUUGAUAAAGAGCGAAUGGAAAAGGAACAAUAUUAUUCUAGGAGCUAGCCCCCAAGAAUUUUUCUUACUCCAUCCACAUGAGUGAAGGAAAUGUCUACCUCCACCUAAUUAUAUAUUGUUGGGCGAGGAGUUGUUGAGUUCCCACUAGGGAUUCGUUGUCUUUUAAAAUUUUGGUUGAAUUUAUUCAACAGCAAUAAGAAUAGUAUAAAUGAAAAAAAAAACAUUCAAAUAAUAUUCCAUGACUCUGUUUCUUCAAUUUCAGGAACAAUGGUGGAAUCAUUUUUGCCGCUUGAAAAACAUAUGGAAAAGUUAGGGUCUUGUGCUUUCGAAGAAUUUUUAUUGUUCUACUGUGUCAAAAAUGACGUAGAAAAGCUAAAGGAGACCCUAACCACUGUCAAAUGUGGUUUUGGAUGCCGAGGAAAAGCAAGUCCAUAAUCACCAAUUGAGAGAUUGGCUGGAAAAGCUUAAGGAUGCAUGUUAUGAUGCAGAAGAUUUGCUGGAUGACUUCGAGCUGGAAGCUCUACGAAGGCAGGUCAUGAAGCAAAGAAGCAUUGGAAGGAAUUUGCGUAACUUUUUUGGGAGUUCAAAUCUGAUAGCUUUUCGAUGUAGAAUGGGUCAUCAAAUUAAGAAAAUCAGAGAGAGGUUUGAUGAGAUUGCAAACAUGAAGGGUAAGUUUAAUCUCACUGAACGACUUGACGAUCAAAAGCGAGUUGUGCACAAAGAGAGGGAACCCACUCACUCGUUUGUGCUUCCAUCAUCUAUUAUUGGAAGAGAUGAAGAUAGAGAAAAGAUUAUUGAACUGCUGAUGCAAACAAAUGACGGCGAAAGUGAAACUGUGUCUGUUAUUCCUAUUGUGGGACUUGGAGGUCUGGGCAAGACUGCACUAGCAAAACUGGUGUACAAUGAUCAAAGGGUAGAAGAGCAUUUUGAGUUGAAAAUCUGGAUAUGUGUUUCUGAGGAUUUUGGGGAGAGGCAAAUUAUGACAAAGAUUAUCAAGUCAAUAACUGGUCAAAACCGAGGUGACUUGGAUACACACCAAUUGCAACGAAUCUUGCGAGGUUGUUUGAAUGGCAAGAGAUAUUUAUUUGUUAUGGAUGAUGUAUGGAACGAAGAUCCCAAAGUAUGGGAUGAAUUGAAAAUUUUAUUGUUGGGAGGUGCUAAGGGAAGCAAAAUUCUGGUAACCACACGCAGCAAUAAUGUUGCUUCAAUCAUGGGCACAAUGAGAGGUACUGGUGGUUACAAAUUAGAAGGUCUUCCGUACGAGAGUUGCUUGUCCUUGUUUAUGAAAUGUGCAUUUAAAGAAGGGCGAUAUAAACAUCCAAACCUCGUAAAAAUUGGGAAAGAAAUUGUGAGAAAAUGUGGAGGAAUUCCUUUGGCAGUGAGAACACUAGGAAGUCUAUUAUAUGACUCAACGGAUGAACAUUAUUGGGAAUAUGUGAGGGAUAAUGAGAUAUGGAAGUUAGAGCAAAAGGAAAAUGACAUUUUACCUUCUCUAAGGUUAAGCUACAAUCAAUUACCGCCUCACCUGAAACAAUGUUUUGCUUACUGUUCAAUCUUUCCCAAGGAUUAUGAAGUUGCAAGUGUUAUUUUGGUUCAAUUUUGGAUGGCCCAUGGUCUUCUCCAAUCCCCUAAUGAGAAUGAAGAACCAGAAAAUAUUGGUAUGCGAUACUUGAACGAAUUACUGUCAAGAUCUUUCUUCCAUGAUUUUACUAAUUAUGAGAUGCCUGAAGGAUUUGAGAUAUUCUUUUUCAAAAUGCACGACCUUAUGCAUGAUCUUGCACAGUUAGUGGCCAAAGUUGAAUUCCUAAUAGUGAGCUCUGAUAGUCAAUCUAUUCCCAAAAGAGUCUGUCAUUUAUCAUUUGUUGGUGGUAAUAUAUCAAGAAAUGAUUUUUCAAGCCUUUUAUCUGAUUUACGUCGUUUAAGAACCAUUUUGUUUUCAAUUAAUGAUGAGAAGACAAGCCAAUCAUUUUUGACCUCGUGCAUCUCAAAGUCGCAGCUCCUGAGAGUGCUAGAUUUAAAGGACUCUGCUAUUGAGGUUUUGCCAAGAGAGAUAGGUAAUUUGAAGCACAUGAGGUACCUUGAUCUGUCAAGAAAUUAUGAAAUCCGGAAACUUCCAAACUCCAUUUGCGAGCUGCAAAGUUUAGAAACACUAUUUCUUGAUGAUUGUCUGGAGCUAGAAGAGUUGCCUAAAGACAUAAGGUACCUUGUUAGUCUCAGAGUGUUUAUGCUAACCACAAAACAAAAGUCUUUGCAAGAGAGUGGAAUAGGGUGUUUGACUUCUCUUCGCAGUUUGAUGAUUGUUAACUGCAUGAAUUUAGAAUAUUUGUUCGAGAAUAUAGGUCAUCUAAGCGUCCUUCAAUCAUUACUUUUAGUUAAAUGUCCUCGUCUAAUCUCAUUGCCACCAGCUGUGAAGUACCUCAGCUCAUUAGAGAUACUGGCUUUGAUCCAGUGUGAAAGCCUUGAUCUUAAUCUGAACAUAGAAAUGGAGGGGGAAGGAAGUCAUCGUGAUCGCAAUAACACAAGGCUUCACCUUCGGAAGCUUACCGUUUUGGGACUAACACUGUUAUUGGAAUUGCCACAAUGGCUUCUUCAAGGUUCUACUAAAACUUUACAAAACUUGGUUAUUAUAGGGUGUCCCAACUUUAUGGCACUCCCAGGGUCACUGAGAAAUCUCGAAGCACUUGAAACAUUGGCCAUUGGAGCAUGUCCUGCACUGAGUGAAAGAUGCAAACCACAAACAGGUGAAGAUUGGCCCAAGAUUGCAGAUAUCCCUGAGAUUUUACUUGACGACAAGAUGAUUAAAUCAAGUGAUAAUUAGGUGUGGAUUAAUCUCUCCUCUUUUUAAUUUCCACUUUUCAUUCAGCUUCGUAAUUUUUAAUUUCUCAUACAGCUAUGCCGUUUGUAGUUUACUGCUCUGUUAUGUUUACCAAACAAAUGCUCGUUGAAUGUUUAGUUAGUUAGUUCAUAUUUGUUCUAAAUAAUUUCUAAUAUAUGAUUGGUUUGUUAAUACAAACGCAGACAUAAUAUUUUGAAAUCAAAGCGUUCCUGGGGUUAUAUCUGUUUCUAAAUCCAAACGGGUUCAGGGUUUUUCAAAAAGGAAAUUAUAAUGAGAUUUUUCUUAAUUACCCUGUUAUCUUCAUAUGGAACCUUAUAGCUUCUGAAAUUUCAAUCUUUGUUAAUAUUUAACUCGUGCCGAAACAUCUAACAAUUCAUUCUAUAUUUUCUUUUAUUUUCUUUUCUUUUUCCCAAAAUAUUUCAGCUUUCUUUGGAGAGGUUCAACCAAGCUGCAGAGACAGUGAAAUUAUUACUGUAACGUUGUCCAGAUCAGAGGUUCAACGGUUUUAAUGUUGUGUUUAAAAUUACAAGUAUUAUACAUUCAUUAUCUGUGAUUAUGUAAUUUGCUGAUGAUAAGUACAUUGAGUGAUGUAUAUAUAUGUGCCUGUGUGAUCAUUACUAAUAACCUUGAUCGUAUGUUUUUAAUACCAAUAAUAAUGUUUCAGAAUUUCUCAAAUUCUCAUGAUGUACAAUUCAUGUUUAUACUAUGUUUCUUUCUCCUCCCUGAGUAGUCAGUAGUAUAAUUUGCAUUGACUGCAUUUUUUGGCUCUACACAAUUUGCUGAUUUUUUUGAAGGAUAUUGAUGCGUUGUGUAAUGGAAUGAUGUUGUCUGCAUCUUGUGCUUUCUGAUUGAUGACUUACAUUUGCCAGGAAGAAAUGAAACCGAAUAGGCUUCUUAAUUUUAUCUAUUUAGUUUUUUGAAUGGUAACCUUUUUAUGAUAUAAAUCGCAUAUUAAUUAGUAGCAGUUGGCAUACUAAUUAGAUAUUGCAUUUUGGCCUUGAAGUGAAAUUAGAGAGCAUGUUUCUUGAGUUUUUUUUUUUUUUUUUUUUAAACAAGACACUUGAAGAAGGAAGUUUAUGUUUUUGCAAUGCUUCUUUCUCUAUAUAAAAUGACUAAUUGGAAAGAAUAUUUAUUAUAAUAGAACCUGGAAUUCCUAUGUAUUUUAGGAGGAAAAUUUAUUGUACUACCACAUCAUCAGGUUACCAUUCAAUGAGCACACGUUCUUCAUUUUCUCCUCUAUUUUUAAUUUCCCAUUGUUAUCCAGACUUUUAUAUGGUAAAAUUAAGAAAUUUAUUGAUUGACUACAUUUUUAAGUUCUUUACAAUUUGUAGAUUAUUUUAAGAACAAUUAGCUACUGCUGCGUUCUGAUGUAAUGUCGGUGUCUAGCAUGCUUUUACCCAAGAUUCAACUAAUUAGAGAUAUGCUGGUACAUUAAAUUAUCCACUUUUAUUAUAUUAAUAUUGGAAAGCAAUCUGAAUGUUGAAACGGCACCGUUUCAGCUCAACCCGCUAUAUGUGUGCGUAUAUUAACAUAUUUAUGCCAUACAGAUAAUUUGAUUGGUCGAUUAAUAUACGUAGUUAGAAAAUUCUAAUCAUCCUAUUAGGUUACAUCACAGUUAUUUCAGAGAAUAACGGGUUUCUAAAAGCUAUUUUUGCUACUAAUUUCUUUGUUAAUGUUCAGGCAGAAAGAAUGGUAAAUGAAUCUUAAUUCCUUUUUCUUUAAAAAUUGCCAAAAAAUUCCCCAGGUUAUUGAGUCUAUGUUAAAGUCCCUUGUGUACUUCAGGUAGCUCUAAGUCAAAAUUAACUAGCACAUUUGCGUAAUCUUGGCAUAAUAUUCAAAGUAGCUGAGGCAGUUUAUGCAGCUAUUUGUACAAUAUUUACUUUUCAUCUUCUUCAUUUCUACAGUCACGCAGGUUUUAUUUAUUUAUUUCUUUUAUAUAAUAAAGGAUGGAUAAAGUUUAAAUCAAAAUUUUCAGCUCACAAUUCGAACUCAAGAGAACAGCAAGUAGCUUGAAAAAUAAAAAUCACUCGGUUAAAUGCCUGGGGCAAUUGUCACAUAGGUUGAAUUAAUGAAAAGAUGCAAUAAAUUUAUUAACAACACAAGCUUGAAUCAAUUUGUCACACUCUCUCUUUCAUUAUUAAUCAGACGAGUAAAAAACAAAAAAUGACAUCUCACAGUCCUGUCUAGUCAAUGGAACCCAAUUUUUUGAGACGAGCGCUGCAUCUUCUCGAACCACCCAACAUCGUCCCUGCCGUCAUGUUUGGUGAAAAAUCAACCUUUAUUUCCUCACACGAGGCUUUGAGACGAUAUCUGGUGUCUGCAGUCUCCGCAAUUGCGUCAACUUCGAUCGUAAAGUUCACAGCUCCGAUUGACGUCCAUUCUUCAACAAUGGCAUCCGCAACAGAGGAAUUGAUGCUCGCCGAGGCAACAUCAACAGUCGCAUUAAUCAGCGUCGUGUGCUCGUGCUCAAAAUACUUAGGAUAUAAAGUAACCAUGGAGGAUAUAUUUUGAUCCAUGUACAAAAGUGAAACGUCAACGUCUCCCAUACCCAGGGACUGAACAUAACACCCAUACAGGCGCCUGCAACUCUCAGGAUUUCUAACAGAGAAUAUAACGCUCCAAUUGGCUGUUAUAUGUUGAAAAGUCAGCAAUCAAAGCCAACUUUUCAAAAAGAAACACACAGCUAGCAUACAAGCUUUGGAGAAAAUACAAAACGUGUUGAAACCAUUGGCCAAAGUUGGCACCGACCCUUGACAAUUAAUUGGCAAGUUGAUGGAGGAGCCACACGCAUUUCUUUUGUUUUUCAAGUCGGUGCCAAAUUGCAAGACUUUUGCCAACUACUUGAAGACUUUUUGCAGUGAAGCUCAACUAUAAAUAGAGCUUCAUUCAGAGAGAAAUUUGCAUCCCAAAAUUGUUAAACUUAUAAGUUUCUAAGCUUUUGAGAGAAGUGAGAGAAGUGAGAGAAGUGUGUCUGGGGAAUUUAUCUUUCUUGCAGAGUGUGAGAGUACUGGGUAUAUUUGGGAUCUGGGAAGUGAGAUUCGUUACUCAAAUAUUGUACUCUAUUAAUUGUUAAAUAAACAAUUAUUCUUUCUUGCCUCCGUGGAUGUAGGUUUAAUUACCGAACCACGUAAAUUUUGUGUCCUUUAUUUUUUAAUAAUUAUUUGGUGCGCUUGAUUCCGCAUUCCGCGCACAACAAGUGGUAUCAGAGCCGACGGUUCGUACUUGGGGGAUACGGUACUGUUCACGUAUACGGUACUAUUUACGCAUACGGUAUUGUUCACAUAUGAUACUGUUCACAUACGGUACUGUUCACGAAUACGGUGGAGACGGCCAUUUGUACUUGAGAGACAAUCUAUUGUAAGUGGUGUGUAUUUUUGCAUGUCUAGGAAAGUUCUGUAAAAAAAAGGCAAUAAGAGUCUAAGGAUUCUGGUUUUUAAUUGGGACCGAGUUCCCGUCCAGUCUUUUGGGAACUUUCUUGGUGCAUUUAUUCACGCGAAAUUAACAUCAUAGAGGUUGUUUUUCAAGUGGAAAUAGUUUGUUGAGAAAAUGGUAGAAGGUGAAACUUCCAGAAUUAUGGAGAGAUCUACCGAGACUAUUUCAGGAGACACUUCAAGUGGGAGGCGAGAUUUGUCAAAUUGCUAUUCAGCACCUGUUAUAGGAGGCCAGAAGAACGAUGUUGAAAAGUUUGAUGGGAAAAUCAAUUUCGGCAUGUGGAGGCGCGAAGUUAUGGAUGCCCUUAUUCAAAUCGAUCUCGAUGUUGUUCUGAAAAUAAAAGACACUUAUAUGAUGAAGAAAUUUGGGAUCGUAUGAAUGAAAAAGCAUGUGAUCAGAUUAGAUCUUGUUGGACUAAGGAGGUGAAAUACUUGGUGAAAGAUGAGGAGUGUGCGGUGACUUUGUGGCGUACAUUGGAGGAGAAGUACAUGCUGAAAAGUCCUAAAAAUCGUCUUCAUGCAAUGAACCAAGUAUAUUGUUUUCGAAUGAAGCCUGGAGUGUCAAUGUACGAUCAUGUCUCAAAAUUUGAAAAGUUACUUGCUGAUUUGAAGAAUCUUGAUGAAGAUAUUAAGGAUGAAGUGAAGGCUAUGAUUCUGUUACACUCACUACCAGAGGAAUAUAGCCAUUUUGUGACUACUUUGAUAUAUGGAAAGAGUGUGAUCGUCUUCAAAGAUGUUUGCACAACAUUGACUAACUUGGAGAUUCGAAAUAAUGAUAAAAAUUCUGAACGACUAUCGUCUGAAGCUUUGGUGAGCAGAGAUUGAGCGAUAGAGAAAAAAAAAAAGCGUGGUGGAAAGAAUUCUCUAUCCAAAUCGAGAAGCAGAAAUCUAGCUCGAGAUAAGUGUGCCUUUUGUCAUGAAAAUGGUCAUUGGAGGAAAGAUUUUCCAAAGGCUCAAAAGAGAGAUGGGAAGAAACCAGCAGCAGCAAACAUGGCACGGAAAGAUGAAGACUCUGAUUAUUCACUAAGUAUUACUCCUGCAACAUGCGUGGCUAGUUCGAGCGAGUGGAUACUUGAUUCUGGAGCAACCUAUCAUUUGUGUCCUAUUAAGGAAUGGUUUACGGAUUUUUGUAAUCUAGAAUCCGGUGCAGUUGUGAUGGGGAAUGAUCAACCUUGUCGCACAAUGAGGAUAGGAACAAUUCGGCUCAAAAUGUUUGAUGGAAUAGUCAAAGAACUCAAAGAGGUUAGAUUUGUUCCAGCUUUAAAGAAAAAUCUAAUUUCUGUGGGUGCUUUAGAAGCUAAAGACUACAAGGUUACCAUUGAAGAUGGCAUAAUGAAGUUUACACAUAGGGCUCUGGUGAUUCUGCAAGGGGUUCGGCAUCACAAUCUGUACUAUUUGAAGGGAGGUACAACUGAUGAAGCAAAUGUUGUUGAGGCGCACAGUGACACCAUCAAGCUAUGGCAUGUACAACUGAGACAUGCUGGAGAGAAGUCUUUGCAAACUCUGAUGAGGCAUGAACUCUUAAAAGGUACCAAAACCUGUAAAUUAAAUUUCUGUGAGCAUUGUGUAGUAGGCAAAAAAACAAGGGUCAAGUUUGGUACAGCUAAUCACGAUACUCGUGAGAUCCUUGAAAAUGUUCAUAGUGAUGUAUGGGGACUAACCAAGACUGCAUUAAUUGGUAUAAGCCAUUAUUUUGUUACAUUUGUUGAUGAUUUCUCUAGACGUGUGUGGGUGUACACCAUGCGAGCAAAGGAUGAGGUUAUAGAGAUUUUCGUGAAAUGGAAGAAAUUGGUGAAGACUCAAACUGGCAGAAAAAUCAAAGUAUUACGAUAUGAUAAUGGGGGUGAAUAUACUUCUGAUCCAUUCUUGCAAGUAUGCCAAAACGAGAUUAUUAAAAGACAUUUCACAGUGAGACAUACUCCGCAAUAGAAUAGUGUGGCUGAGCGUAUGAAUCGUACUUUACUGGAGAAGGUACGGUGUAUGUUAUCUAAUGUUGGUUUAGAUAAAAAGUUUUGGGCUGAAGCUGUGAGUUACGCAAGUCACUUGAUAAACCGGUUGCCUUCUGCUGCAAUUGGAGGUAAAACUCCUAUGGAAAUGUGAUCUGGAAAACAUGCACAAGACUAUGAUUCCCUUCGUAUAUUCGGGUGUCCAGCUUAUUAUCAUGUCAAAGAUGGUAAACUGGAUCCUCGUGCUAGAAAAGCUAUCUUUGUGGGAUUCAAAGGUGGAGUAAAAGGCUUCAAGCUUUGGGAUCUCGAAGAUAAAAAGUUUGUGUGUAACAGAGAUGUCACAUUUGAUGAAGCUUCAAUGAUAAAAGCUUCAGGUUCUCAGUAGGUGGAGAACAAGACCAAAGAGGUAUUGCAGCGGGUGGAGUUUGAUGCAACUCCAUAUGUACCAGUUAGUUUUACAUCAAAGAAUGGUUCAACUAUGGAGGUGAUACAUAGAGUUGAAGAAGAGAUUGUUUCUUCUGAUGUCCAACAAAGUGAAGAAACAAUUGAUGAUGUAGAUAAUGAUGAUUUUAUAGCAACAAAGAGGCCAAGAAAAGAGAUAAAGAAACUCGGAUGACUUACUAAAGAUACGGUGGUAGCCUAUGCACUUCCAGUUAUUGAUGAUGACAUUCCUAACACUUUCGGUGAAGCAUUACGCUGCAGUGAAAGUGAUCAGUGGAAGUUAGCCAUGGAGGAAGAGAUGAAAUCUCUCCAUCAAAACCAGACUUGAGAACUUGUAAAGUUACCAAAAGGGAAAAUGGCUAUUGGCAAUAAAUGGGUCUACACCAAAAAGCAAGGAUCUCCGAAUCAAACAACUCCUCGAUACAAGACAAGGCUCGUGACAAAAGAUUUUGCUCAAAAGGAAGGUAUUGACGACAAUGAAGUUUUCUCUCCAGUUGUAAAACAUACUUCCAUUCGUAUCCUACUUGCCUUAGUUGCAGAAUAUGAGUUAGAGUUGGCUCAAUUGGAUGUUAAGACGACGUUCUUACAUGGAGAUUUGAAUGAGGAAAUCUAUAUGAUUCAGCCUUGUGGUUUCAAAGUUGCUGGAAAGGAGAAUCAUGUGUGUAGGUUGAUUAAAUCUUUGUACGGACUGAAGCAAUCGCCAAGGCAGUGGUACAUAAGAUUUGAUCAAUUUAUACAAGGGCAGAAAUUCACCAGAAGUGAACACGAUCAUUGUGUUUACUUUAGAAGACUACCAGAUGGAGCUUUCAUUUAUUUGUUACUCUAUGUCGACGAUAUGCUUAUAGCUUCGAAGAAUAGAGAUGAGAUCGAAAGAUUAAAGAAGCAGCUGGCUUCUGAGUUCGAGAUGAAAGACUUGGGUGAUGCACAGAGAAUACUUAGGAUGGAGAUUCAUAGAGACAAGAAGAAUGGGAGCGUAUGGUUGACUCAAAAGUCUUAUUUGAAGAAAGUGCUAGAAAGAUUCGGUAUGGAUGACAAAACUAAACCGAUAUGUACACCUCUAGCUCCUCAUUUCAAAUUAAGCUCUUCUUUAUGUCCUAAAUCUCAAGAGGAGCGCGAUUAUAUGGCUCGUGUUCCAUAUGCUAGUGCUGUGGGUAGUCUUAUGUAUGCUAUGGUAUGCACAAGGCCCGAUAUAUCUCAAGCAGUGAGCGUAGUUAGUAGAUACAUGCAUAAUCCGGGUAAAAAUCAAUGGCUUGCGGUAAAGUGGAUUCUCCGAUAUCUGUAUGGGACAAUUGAUGUUGGUUUAUUGUUCAAGAAGGAUUGUGGUCAAUAAUGUGUUGGGUAUUGUGAUUCUGAUUUUGCUGGAGACCUUGACAAGCGAAGAUCAACAACGGGCUACGUAUUCACAUUGGGUGGAGGUCCGGUUAGCUGGAGGUCGAUUCUACAAUCGACAAUUGCUCUGUCCACUAUGGAAGCAAAGUAUAUGGCAACAACUGAAGCUGUAAAGGAAGUUAUCUGGUUGAAAGGCUUGUUAGGUGAUUUGGGAGUAAUCCAGGAGAACAUUGCAGUCUUCUGUGAUAAUCAAAAUGCGAUACUCCUUGCGAAGAAUCAAACAUAUCACGCUCGAACGAAGCACAUAGAUGUGAAAUAUCAUUAUGUGAGGGAGAUUAUCGAGAGCGGUGAUGUGUUGUUGAAGAAGAUCGAUACAAAAGAUAAUCCAUCAGAUAUGUUGACGAAGGUAGUUUCUGGAGUUAAGUUUCAACAUUGCUUGAAACUAAUUCAAAUCCUUCGAUUGUGUUAAGUUAUGUCCUUUGGAAAUCUUGAAUUACAGUUGGCUUGAUCCCAAAUUUUGGGUACGUAGGCAGUCAUAGAGAUGCAACCACUUUGAGGAUGAUGGUUCGUUGAUAGUCGGCUCAGAUUUGGCUAAAUCUUCGCCGAGGUGGAGAAUUGUUGAAAAGUCAGCCAUCAAAGCCAACUUUUCAAAAAGAAACACACAGCUAGCAUACAAGCUUUGGAGAAAAUACAAAACGUGUUGAAACAAUUGGCCAAAGUUGGCACCGACCCUUGACAAUUAAUUGGCAAGUUGAUGGAGGAGCCACACGCAUUUCUUUUGUUUUUCAAGUUGGCGCCAAAUUGCAAGACUUUUGCCAACUACUUGAAGACUUUUGCCAAAUUGCAGUGAAGUGAGAGAAGUGAGAGAAGUGUGUCUGGGGAAUUUAUCUUUCCUGCAGAGUGUGAGAGUACUGGGUAUAUUUGGGUUUCUAGGAAGUGAGAUUCGUUACUCAAAUAUUGUACUCUAUUAAUUGUUAAAUAAACAAUUAUUCUUUCUUGCCUUUGUGGAUGUAGGUUUAAUUACCGAACCACGUAAAUUUUGUGUCCUUUAUUUUUCAAUAAUUGUUUGGUGCGCUUGAUUCCGCAUUCCGCGCACAAAAUUAUACAACUAGAAUUAUUCGAGAUGUUGAACUUGAAUGGAUGUACACUCAAUGAAUCAACUUUGAACGUUAAAGGUCCGCCAGAGUAUUCUUUUCCAAUAAAGAUAUGGAGACUAAACCAGAUUGCCAAACAUAAUCUAAAGAAAGAGCAGCAAGCUAGUAUGCAAGAACAGAAAAGCUUACAGCAACUAGUAGCAAAGUCCUCGUCCAUUGUCGAAGAUUGUGCUUCUGCACGUUGAUUCCACGUAAUGCUGAGAAUUAACAAAUUCAAAAACUCACCUUUGGAGACUGAAAUAAUAUUUUAACUAGAAUCAACUACUAAAGACUACAAAAGAAAUCUAUUUAUAUUAUUAGCAAUUAUCCUCAAAUAUUUAGGAAAAGGGAAAAAUUUUUCCUACUAACAAUAAGGAAACUGCAACCAAUCUAAAUAGUGAUAAGGAAAGCUAGUCCUAAUCUGCGUUAAUAUAUCUAUAGAGAGAGAGAGAGAACAAAAGUGGACGAAGGUUUAUUAAGAUUGUUGAGGAUUUAAUUUGAACAAAUUGAAUGUUGAUUGUUCAAAUUUUAAACAAAUUUGCGAUACUGAAUCUAAGUUUUGAAGAACACCAAUUAUACAAUUAGGGUGUGUUUGGAACAAGAGAUUAUAGGGUAUUAAAACAUUAUUCACAUUAGCUUAAUACCAAUAUCAUUGGAAAGAAAUUGUAAUGGAUUAAAGAGAGUGUGCUAAUGCGGCAGUUGCCACAUUAAUGUUUUUUUAAAAAUAAUAAUAAGUAAAUAUAACUUUUUAAUUCAAUGUAAUAUUAUAUAAUAUUCAUCUUUCUUUUCUUUUAUUUUUACAUUAUAAUUAUUAAUAUAAACUAAUAAAUUUAUAAUUUUAUUAUUGAUAUUUUAAUUUUUUUAUAUUAAGAAUAUAACUAAAAUAAUAUAUUAUUUAAUUAUAUAAUAAUUAAUAUAUAAAAUUGAUUAAUAUUUAAUAAGUUAAUACAACUAAUAAAAAUACUUAAAUAAUAUAUAAAAAUAAAAAUAUAAGAUAAUAUUACAUUAUUCAAUUAUAUUAUAGUAAUUAAUCUAUAAAAUUGAUUAUUAUUUAACAAUUUAGUAUAAAUAAUAAUAAAUAUUUAUAUAUGAAUAAAUUUAAAUAAUAUUAAUUUAAAAUUAAUACCAAUAUAAAUAAUAAUAUAAAAUAAUAUUACAUGUACUAUGGGAUUCUUACUUGGAUUAUUUAGCACAAUUCAUUUUAUUGGUGAAUAUAUUACAACUAUUGUAUCACUUUAUUAUUUUCUGAUUAUCUUGUGGCAUAUAUAAACACUUUUAUUCUAUCAUCCGAAGAUAACUUUUAAACUAAUCUUGUAGGUUUUAACCAAUUUAUUUAUCAUUUAGAAAUUAUGUUAUUAAAUUAUUUACUUCGAUCUUUAUUUCACAAGUUAUAUAUUAAAAAAUACUAAAAAAUAAAUAUUAUGCUGCCGAAAAUGUAAGGUUAUAAGCUUCAAUCUUUAUGAAAAAAUUUCUAAAAUUUAAGACUUCUAUAUUUAGUAUUUUUCUACAUACUAAUAAAUAUUAUUUUCUAAAUAUAUAAUUUAAAUUAAUCACAAAAAAAUUAAUACAAUACAAUGUAGCACCAAGCGUUGUACAUCAUUAUUAUAAUAUAGUGUCAAUGCAAUACAAUAUACAUGUAUUAAAAUAAUGCAAUACAAUAUAAUACAAUACACUAUGCCAAAUGCACCCUUAAUACAGAAUUGAUCCAUUGCUUUAGAAUCGUUCAAAAUCUUUCAUAUUAACCUUGGUCUGAUUCAAUUCUUGGAACCAAUGACAAGCCUUUGAUGUUUUUAGUCCACUUAAUAUAUAUCUUAUAAAGAUUUUAUAAUUAAUUAAUGGGAAACUAUCAAUUUGUCAUUUAGGUUUUUUAGAUGAUAUAUCAAUUUGAUAAAUUUGUAAGAUAACACAUUAUAAAAAAAAAAAACUCUUAUAAUUUCUUAUACUGUUAACAUUUUUGAAAAAAUAAAUACUUGUUUUGGAAAAGGUAGAUAAACCACAUUAGUUUUACUUGUUUAACCAAAAUACAAGUAAGUUAGUUCAUAAAACAAAAAAUUUAAAUCGCUUAAUUACAACAAAAGAACAUGAGAUUAAAUUUUUUAGGAAAAUAAAAAAAUAUUUUCAUUAAAUAAGUAUUUAUUAAUUAAUACAUAAUUUUAUAAUUUUAUAAUUUUUGAUUAAUUAAAAUUCAUUUAUUUAAUAUAUUUUUUGUGGAUGGUUCUUGAGUAAUACCCAAAUAUUUUUACCAUAAGUGCUAAGGUGGUACACACGCCCAUUGAAUGAUCAAUUUCAUGAUUAAUUAAAUUAUCUUUUAUUCCAUUUGACUAUCUAAUGAAAGAAUAUAUAUCACUUUAUUUAGUAUUGUAAUGGUUAAGAUACGGCUUGAGAAGUAUAAUUGGUCAACUAAGUCAUAAGAUGGGCUUGACGGUUUUUAAGUAACUUUAUUUAGUUAGCCACCCAAAUUUAAAUCUUGAAAGAGGUUGACAAUGACAAAUUAAAAUAAAAAAGUCAUGAAAAUGAGCCAUUGGAGUAACCUAAAUUGUCUCAUAUUUUGUUACCUUUUUUCAUAUAGUAACGAUAUUGGUUACAAUGUAGGGAUAUAUAUGAAGUUUGUACUUCAAAUUAUGCAAAAUGACAUGACACUUGAUGGGUUAUUUAUUCAUUUUUUUUAUCAAAUUAUCUUAUUUAUGAUUAGUAUAAAAAAUCAACUACUAACAAUAAUGAUUCAUAAAAAAUUAAAAAUAAAAUCAAUUAUUAAUGAAAGAACAAAUUCAAUUAAAAUUUUUAAUUCAAAAAAAUUAAAAUAAAAAAUGUAAUUUACGCUUGCCACUUACCUCCACAACACGCUUGAGUCACGUGAAGUGUAAACAAAAACCAACUUUCCCAAAACAGAAGCUCAAACAAUUAGUUUCAACAACUAUAUCUUUGAUGCCCUAACCCUAACUAACACCGCCAAAUAAUGGCUAGUUGCUGGUGCUUAAACUUUUGGCACCAAUUGAAUGAAUUUUUCUUCAUUAAUAAACUUGUUGAUACAGCACCCGAAUUCAGGAUUCAUAUAGCACUACUUUAAAGAGAUUUCACAGCGAUUAUAUCGUUGAGCCAAAUUUUAGUAUCAAAAAAUUAAACUUAAUGUGCACUUAAGAGAAUACUCACCUGGUUUCCUGAUUCCAUUCGAAUUAGAUAUCAAAUGACAACAAUUCCCCCAAUAUCCUGCUUCACGUACACAAACGCAACAACACUUGAUUUCCAAGUAACUGAGAGAGUUUCCAAAUUUUGCUUUUUUAUCUCGUCAUUCAUUCUCUCCAAUCAAAUUUACCCACCAAAAGUCUUCCUAAUUCCAUCUCUAAUUCUUUCAUUUUAAAUCUUGCUUUCCGAUUUCGUGGACAAAACAACAAAUAUGGCUCAAGUUAGAGAUCAACAAGAGCUGUUGGAUUACUGUCUCUUCAACAAGAUGACACAAUACCCUCUUCUUCAUGAAGAUGGGAAAUGGUAUUCCCGUAAGAAAUUGCAAUCUUUAUGUCUUCAACGAGCCAUCUAUAAUUUGGAGUUUGUACGAAGGAGACCAAUUACUUGAGAAUCAAGCUUUCUACGUUUUCACCAGGAUGAAGAAACUAUCUCCAAAGACUUCAAGAUUUACAGAAAGAUUGGUUCUAGUGUGUGGCGGGGAAAGGAUGGAGCCAAGCUUGUUCUUGCUUCUGGCUCUGUUGAUCAGAUUUUAGGGUUCAAGAAGAGGAUCUUGUAUCAAAGUAGUAAAAACCCUAGAGAAGAUAGAGGAUGGAUCAUGCAUGAAUUUACUAUUAAUCCAACCUUGUUGGAGUAGCAAUAUUCGCAUAAAGCCUUCAACUUUGUUCUCUACUGCAUUAAAAAGAAUGAAUCUGAACGACAAGCAAAUGACUUGGAUUAGCCAUAUUAAUCAGAAUGAUGAGUGCUUUCAAAAUAAGCACUUAAGAGCUCAACAAGCAGCAGUUCUAGUUCAACAUAACCCACUCACCAUGUUUAAGCUUUGCCAGUAGUGGAAUAUGAAGGGGAAUUCUGAUACCACUAUUGCUUUCUUUAUUUUGAUAUGAUUUUAGGAAGCAUAAAAUUGAUUGCCGAUGUAUGUAAACAUUUUUUUAAUUGUUUUUAAUCAUAGUCAAUUGUAUUACAAUCUCAUCUUGGUGGGAGUGCUUAAAUACUUAUUGGGAAUGCAGCUGCCUUUAUAUACUUGUUAGGAAAGUUUUGUCGCUCUAUUGGUCCUACCCUACUUGAAUCUGGAUUAGUUGAGGCACAAUACAAUCUUCACUAUAAGGAUGGCAAUUGUGCCCGCAAACCUACAAAUCUGCCCAAACCCGCCCGCCAAAACCCACCAAUUGCGGAUAAUUUUGCGGUUGCGGGUGGGUUUGGUAUUAUAAAUUGAAACCCGCACUUGGAUGUGGGUGAGUUUGGUAUUAGCUCAAUAUCCUGUGGAUACCCGCAUGGAUAUCCGCUAGACCCGCAAUUUUUUUAAAAUAUUUUUAAUUUAAUUUUAAUUUAAAAAUAUUUUAAUCUAAAAAAUAUAUAAAGAAAAUAAUACAAUUAUGCAAAGUGCCAAAUAACCGAAGUGUUUUUGUAUGGUCUAUUUUUCUUUAACUUAAUGCAUGAAUUAUUUCAUUAUUAUAAUUUUUUUAUUCGAAUUAAUAUUUAAAAAGUAUUAUUCUUUGGAAAAUAUUAAUCUUAGUAAUUAUUGUAGGCAUCAUGUUGGAUAUGUGCUAAUGAUGGUGAAUGAAAUGAAAAUCUUCUCUUGGAGGAACUUAUGUUGAAUGAUAAUAUGAAAAAUUAUUAUUAUUUUUAGAUACUAGUUUGUGGGUUUUUUUUAAUGGAUUUGUGUAUUUGAUACUUAAAUUUGAGAAUAUGUGUUGGAUUGAUGUUGAAAUUUUAAUUUUUCAUUUACAUUGGUUAAAUUUAAAAUUGAGUAUGUUAUGUCGAAUUUGAGGUUAUUAUUGUAAAUUUAUAUAUUGAACAUUUGUGAUUUUAAAUGUACAAACCCGCAAAAAAUCAGUUGGAUACCAUUGCGGGUUUGGUAAUUGUCAAAACCCACAGCGAGUGGGGUUUCUUAAAAAAAUUAAAACCCGCUAUGGGUUGCGGGUGGGUUUGGUAAUUUAAACCCGCUGUGGGUUUGCUAACCACUAAACAGAAGUCUUUGCAAGAGAGUGGAAUAAAGAGCUUGGGUUCUCUUCGUUGUUGUCAAUUUCUAGUUGUAGGGAUUUAGAACAUUUGUUCGAGGAGAUAUAUCAAUUAAGUGUCCUUCGAACAUUAUUAAUUGAUAGUUGUCCUCGUCCAAUCUCAUUGCCACCUGCUAUCAAAUAUCUCAGCUCAUUAGAGACUCUGUCUUUGACUGGGUGUGAAAGCCUUGAUCUUAAUCUGAACAUGGAAGGUGAAGGAAGUCAUCAUGAUCGCAGAAACACAAGGCCUCUGUAACACCCCAGUCUGAAUUCCAUGGACAAAUAUGUCCACAACUCACAUAUGAAUUUAAAUAACUCUUUAUAAACGCUAAAAUUCGAGCCUUAAAUACAAAAGCCAGCAGAAUAACUUAAAAUUUUAGUCAAACCAUCUACCAUCCUCAAUUUAAAUCCAUCUUCUCGCUCAUCACGAAUCAAUCAUGACUUCUGGAAACUGAAUCACAAUAAACUAUAAUGAGUACAAAACCCAGUAAGCAAACUAGUUUUUCUUAUACGAAAAUACAUACAUACUUAUAUAUAAUGCAAUGGAUGAUAUGACAUGAUCUUUUGGAAAUAUUGUAAAACAAAUUCAUCAAUUUUUUUUUUUUUGUCGCUUUCAAACUUUCACAUUUUCUUUCCAUAAAAUACGUAUCCUGCAAUGUGGCACUUUGCGCUGUGCGUGGCACUUUGCGAUGCUUUGGCCCUCAAGAGGUGGCCCCUGCAUAGUCUCAAGAGGUGGCCCCCACACAACUUCAAGAGGUGGCCCUUAAUGUAAAAUCUCAUAAAACAGAAAUUUCAUUUGGUAAAAUCCACUUUUUCUUUCAUAGAAAACUCAAUGCAUUUUCGUGCUUAUACAAAUGAACCAUCACACAUGCAUAUGCCCAUGUAUAUAAUCACACCCAACACAUAAGAACACAUCACAUAAACACAUGAGCAGAGACAUAUAAAUCCAUAUUCGUACAUAUCAAAAUAGGCUUUUCAUACAAAUCAAACAUAUAUAUUGUUUAUUGUGAUUCGUUUUAUAAUCCAAUUUACUUACCUCUUGGCAUCCUUAUGUAACAAAUGCGUACUGAUAUCACCAACCUAAAAUCAUCAAUAAAUUUCUCAUAAGAUAUAAUCGAGUCUCAAUCAUAAACUCUAAUGUCCUCAAAUAUCUCAAUUUACACAUCUCCUAAGCUCAACCUCAAAUGUCCUCAAUAAUCGGCCCUCAAAACAGAACAGUCCAUAUUCUCCCAUUUUUUUAAUAAAUUAUUCCCUCGUUGGAAAACUCUCAAAUUUUACAGACCAUAUGCUGACAUAUUGAAAGUUCAUUGAUAAAAAUUUCAUAACUUGAUUCCUUCAAAAACUAUUGAAAAUAAUUGACGUUUCAGACAUCAUCAAUGUUGUCAAACAGUUUUCUGUUUUGCACACACUUGGUUUAAAAAUACAAAACAAUUGAUUGCUUUAUCAUAAAAUCAUGAACAUUUACAUAAUCAUACUAGACAUAUAUAAAAAUCACUGAUCCAAUUUUCAUAAUUUUUGAAGAAGUCUAGCUAUGGUAAAAAUAAUUUCGUAAUUCACGUUAUGCACUGAAAUCAGAAAUUUUCAGGUUUUCAGACUUGAAUUUGAAAAAUCGUAACUAAUUGAAAUCUUAUCCGAUUAACUUGAAACAAGUUUCAAAACAUUCUAGACGAUGUCUAGUUUAACAUAUCCAAAAAUCAGAAUCAAAAUCAAUUUGUACAAAUUACUAAGAUUUUCGUAAUAAUUCACUGUUAGCAUAUUUCUGCAAAAUCUUAAGUUUAUACUUCUAUUGCAAUCAUACUUCUCCAUAACAAAUUAAUAAAAAUCAAGAAUUAAAACUUACCUCCAAAUCCAAAUCUUCUCUCAACAAUACCCAAUUCAAAUUAUGCAAUUUGAUCUCAUGUGUUGUCAUGGCAGAACAAAGAAGAAGAAGACUUUCUUCUUCUCUUUUUCUUUUCUUUUCUCUCCGUCUCUCUCUCUUUUUUUGUCGUUUUUUUUUUGUCUUAGCCGAUUUCUCCUUCUUCCUCUCUCAUAAUGGAAAAGACAUCUUGUUCUAUUUAUACUAGGGUAAAAGAGAUCACUAAAAACUAAAAAGACUUAAAUACCCUUAGGAGAUUUGGGGUAUUACAGCCUCACCUUCGGAGGGUUGUCAUUGGGGAAAUAACACAAUUAUUAGAACUGCCACAAUGGCUUCUUCAAGGUUCUACUGAUACUUUGCAGAACUUGUUAAUUUUUGGUUGUCCCAACUUCAUGGCACUACCAAGGUCUCUAAAAGAUCUCGAAGCUCUUGAAACUCUUGUCAUUAUAGGAUGUCCAAAAUUGUCAUCGUUGCCGGAGGAUAUGCAUCACCUCACUACUUUGAAAUCAUUGGCCAUUGGAGGAUGUCCUGCGCUGAGUGAACGAUGCAAACCGCCAACAGGUGAAGAUUGGCCCAAAAUUGCACAUAUCCCUCAGGUUAAUCUUGAUGGCAAGAUGAUUAAAUCAAGUGAUAAUUAGGUAUGGAUUAAACUCUCUUCUUUUUUAAUUUCCUCUUUUCAUGCAGCUUUCUAGUUUUUAAUUUCUCAUACAGCUAUACCGUUUAUAGUUAAUGUUUUUUUAUGUUUGCCAAACGAAAACUUGACUUUGAAUGUUAGUUAGUUAGUUCAAAUUUGUACUGAUUUAUUUUCUUCUAAUACAUAACUAGUUUGUCAGUACAAAACACAAAAAUAAUAUUUCGGAAACCGCACUGUUCUAGGGGUCAGAUCUGUUUCUAAAUUCAAACAAUUCAGGAUUUUUCAAAAUGGAACUUAUAAUGAGAUUUUUUUUAAUUGCCUAGUUAUCUUCAUAUGGAUUUUCAAUCUUUGUUAAUACUUUAACUUGUGCCGAAACAUCUAACAAUUCUUCCUCUUAUCCUUUUUUUCCCAAAUAUUGCAGCUUUCUUCCUCUUAUAAGGCAGAGGCCAUGGGGAAAAUGGGCAGCCGAAAUUAGAGACCCUUACAAGGGUGUCCGCGUUUGGCUCGGUACUUUCAACACAGCCGAAGAAGCCACAAGAGAUUGUGCUGAAGUCGCCAAGUGAUACACCUCUACGAAACCAAGAAUGUAUCGGAUUAAACUUGCACUCUUCGAGUGAGUGUUGACUCCAAAAAUAGAAAGAUCAGAGAUGAAUAUUAAGAAGGGAAGAGAGGUUGAGAAAGAGAGAAGAGCCAAGAGAAAUAGAAAGAGAUAUUUUAUUUCCUCAUGCCCCACACGAAUUCGUUCUGCUCUACAUAUAUUCCUCUGUCUAAGACGUUAGCAAAAAUAUUACAGCUCAGCAACUUCUAACAGAAAAUAUGACAGCAAAAACAAACCAGCAAUCAUAAGGUACUAGCAAUUUCACUACACGACAUAAUCCUUAAACCACCCAGGGGAUCUUCUAACUCGUGUGCUUGUGUGCCGUUCCUCAUGGGCUGAUUCUUCCUCAACCUGUAAUGUGGCUUCCUUCAUGGGUUGUUCAUAAUUGGACUCGCUGUUGGGCUGCCCUUCUUGUAAGCAAUCCGGUUGAUCCGACUGAAUGUGAAAGGUUGUAUCACCAAGCGUAUCCGUGGCAACAAGGCCUAGCUCAACUUUGCUCACCGGCCGCCAAUAACUCCACCUCCAGCUAAGCAACGCUUCAUGCUAUCCCCUGAGUUGACUCAGCCGAGUUUCGAAGAUUACUUUUUUAUUGGUUUUCAUUGAUUUCUUUUCCCUUAAAUUGUGAACACUUGGGCUUUUAUUGUUGAAAAUCACUUUUUUGGCGCUGCUUUUAUCUACGAGGUUGUGCUUUCCUUUGGAUGCUCUUUAAUAAACAGCUUUCCUAAUAACAACUGAAGUGAAAAGUCAUUUUAUCAAAUGAUUUGGUGAAAUUUCAAGUACUUUCAUCUUGGUUUUUGCAGUUAAUAGGAAUAGUUUGGUGUUGGGAUGUGGUAUAUGUAUCAAGUUCUUAUUGCUAGUGAGCAUUACAGGUUUAGUGUGCGAUCAUGUACUAUCACUGCAUGCAUUAUUAGUUUAUUUUAUUGAACUAUCCCAAAUCAGUAAAGAAUCCUCAAUUCCCUCUGUUUUCUUUAGAUCCUAGUAGUGUUUAGCAAGCAUCAACUAGUGUUCAUGCAUGUGUCGGUUCAUCAUGGACAACUUCAGCACACAUACAACAGCCCUCAUUUCUCCUUGCUCCAACCAAUCGAUGGCAGAAUCAUCACAGACACCUUGAGCUCUGUCGAAUCAUCAUAGACAAUUUGUGAUUCUCACAAUGUAGAGAUAAAAUAUGCAAAACAUCAUUUAUGUCCUGUAUCAAUUUCAAGGUCAAUAAUCCCCAUCAAUCCCUCUCCAUGAAUUAAUUAAUAUAAGAGAGUUUUGUAACAGAAACUAAUUAAGAGAUUAAGAAAGCUUUGAAGAGGGGACACUUGAAUGUUCGUAAUGACAUCCCAAUAAUUGAUGUGCUUUUACAAACAGGUCAUUUUAUUUUAGUAUGAUGGCAUAUCAGUAUAAGGAGUUUAAGUAGAGAAUCAUCGUGACAAUUCUUAAGUUAGAUUAUUUGUAAUUUAUAAUUGACUUAAAAUUAAUUUCUCAUAAUUUUUUUAAUUAUUUACCAACCAACCAUUGAAUUAUAAAAAAAUUAAAUGUAAAUUAGAUAUUAUGUAAUUCUAGAAGGGUCAACAACUAACUACAAUAAUUUUUACAGAGACAAUCAUGUACGUCAGUAUUUAAAUAAAUGCAUACUAAUCUAUACAUCUACUUGCCGGAAUCAUAUAUGUAAAACGAGAUAAAUAUUAAGGUUCAAAACUUUGUAAUUCAUUAAAAAAUUAUCCAUCUUUACGUUCCAAAUAUAAUUGGUGAGUUUUUAUUGGUCUGUUUGAUAUUUUAUGAUUUCUGGCUUUAUGGGUUUGAUGGAAUUUUUCAUUUUUACGUUGUGAAUGUUAGGGUACGCGAGAGUGCUCUUGAAUUGCAUUGCCUUGGCUUUUUAUGUUUUCUCUGUUCUUUACUUUAUCAGCUGAGAAUAUAUUUUAGAAGUUUACUUUGAUUUCUAGCUUUAUGGCCUCUGUUUGAUGUGUGUAGUAUUUGACUAAUGCGAGUAUUGUGUGUUUUCAGCUUUGUAUGUGAUGCAGUAGAUAGUUGGUGUGCUCGUAAAUUCAAUCAAGGCAUGAAGUGACUGCUAUCUAUCUUUCGGCAAAUUAAGCGUCGAUGAUUUAUGCUAAUGGAGCUGCUAAAAAUUGUCUUUGUGUGUGAUUGAGUACAUGUUAGUGUGAAUUCUCGUAAUCUUUAUCAGUCAAAGCAAACGUUCGCCUCUCACAUUGACGGUUAGGCUAGAUGUUUGGUCCUGUAUAAGAUGAUUGAGUUUAUUAUAGUCUUCUUAUAUUGUCGGUUCAAUAUCAUUUUGAAAUAUCACAUCAACUCCGCUUUUGGAGUUUUAAUUCAUGCCCAGUUACACCUUUAUUUUACUUUUGAGCUGCAGCAUUGAGUCACAUUCUUUUUGCUGUUAUUAUUUCGAUUAGCGACUGGUACAGUGGUAUUUGAACUGCAUAGUAUGUCAACUUUCGCUCUAAAUGUAUUAGAAAUUCUGUGUAUCACUAAUUUCCUAGAGCAGGCCUCGAUGACAGUCAAAGAUUUGAGGCAUAUUUCUGGAUUAAAGGCUUUUCUGUAGUCUAUUUGAUGAUAAGCGCAUUUAUUAUCUCCAACAUUUUAAGCACUAAUUUGUAACUGCUAGUAACCAGUACCUAAGAUGUUGCAUUUGACCGUCUUCUCUUUCUGGUUCACUUUCAACCUUUGGAGCUGUUUUAGACAUGGUAACCGAUAGGUAAUUUCUCUACCCCACCCCCCAAUGUAUCAUUAGUCAUCAUUCGUUCUGGUUGGCGUAGAUACGCAUACUAAUUUGGUGGAUUAUUGUCUGUGUCUUCGUCUUUUGUCAAUAAUCUUUUGCAUUUCAGGAUUAGUACAGCUUGUCUACUGGUAAUACUCUCUCAAGUAUACAGGUAAGACUUUGUUACGUUUUCUUGACCCGUAAUCUAAUGCUUUAAGAUGAAUGCAUAAUUCAGCUAUUUUGCAUCCCCAUGCAGGCCUGGUUUGGUUUUUGUGUCACUACUUGCAUUAGAUAUUGGCAGUCAAUGGCUGCGGAUGUAUAGGUGCCUCUUCGUUUCCCUGACAUAAUCUCAUGUAAGAUGACAUUGCUUGUGGAACUGGAAGAUAUUUGAUUUUUUUUUUCAUUUUUGCUAAAGAAAAGUGUUACUUGCGUUGGGAAAUAUGCCUACCACUCUGGAUCUCCGUUGCAGUACAUUCUUGAGAGGAAAAUCUAGCCAUAAAAUGUAAAAGACAACACAAAUUGGCUUUUAAAAGCCUAUUAUGGGAACCGGAUGUUUAUGGGUUAUAGUUGUGUGGCAUGUGAGGUAAUUGUAGCUUUCCGUGUUAUUAUCCAUAUCAGGAUUUGCAAAUGUUAUCAGUGCUUUUUACCUGAUCCAACUGUUUCAACCCUGCAGCUUCUUUACCUAAUCCUAUUUCUUAUUGCGGAGACGCAGAGUGAAAGUUUGGUGGAUGUAGGAUCUCAUUUUCUUACUAUUAGAUUGUUCUGCAUAUAGAAAGAUUUCCCCUGUUUCUCGCUUUGCAAACAAUCUCUUCUUUCAGGUAGUGGUGAGUGCUGUGCAACAGGGCUCGCCUCUUUCCUUCCUAGUUGCAUUGAGUUUAUUCGGAUGGGCAAUCAAGCAAACGAUCAAUGUCAUACAGGUAACUUCAACCCCAUAUGAUGGUAAUGUUCGUUUAUCCUGAUACUUCUUGACAAUAAGUAAAUUUCUUGAUGUCUACAAAUUAAGGAGACUUUUGUAUGGGUAAAGUUGACAUUUUACAAUGGCAUUCUGGAUCCUGAAAUCGGUCGGUUUGAGAUUCACAUGCUGUGAUAUGCUCUAAUGUUAAAACUCAAACCUUUUCUGUAUCUUAAAUGGAUUUUCGUGGAUAUGCCUGGGAUGAUCAUUUUCUUCCUCUUCAGCUCAUCAUCUUUGUCAUAGUAGUUAUAAUUGAUUGAGGAGUGAGAAAACGCAUUGUGAUGAAUGAAUGCACAAGCUAUGUGAUUAAGACUGCAUUUAUUAGGUUGGUGACGGCAAAUAUCAGGCAGGAUAUUCACAAUGAGUAAUGAUAUAGCCACAAACUCUUGUACAAAUUUAUUUUGUACAAACUUAUGUGGCAUGAUAAGAUUGGUUGAAUUAAAUAUCACUUGGGCCACAUGAUUUGUUUUCAUUAUUUUAUAUUUUCAUUCAACCAAUGAAUUAGUGCCACGUCAGUUUGUACAAAAUAAGUUUGUACAAUAGUUUGUGGCUGUAUCAUUACUCAUUCACAAUAGUGCUACUGAAGCUUUAUAUGGAAUAAGGAGACCAAACCUCUAUAUGAUAAGAGUUGUACGAAUACCAAAUGAAUUGUAAGAGGAUAUGGUUAAUUUAGAUUGUAAUUUAAGAAAGCUUGAGUUCUAAGAGCACAGAAAUGGGAUCAGUCUUGCUCAAGUGUGAACUCCAUCAGUUCGGAAGCUGUCCAUCAAAUGGAAAUAUUUACGUGAUUCAGAGAAAUUUUGGACUUUUGAUGAAAACAAAAAUCCUGUAUGCAUUUGCUUGCUCCCAAUCCUGUAUGCAUUUGCUUGCCCCGAAGGAGCUGAAAGUUCUCAAAUUUUUUGUAGACGUCAUAGUUCUCCUGAUGUCAUUUGGCUUGGUAAUCUUUUUUGCUCGAAAAUUUGCCCAUUGUGUGGUCUUGACGGUGGGUGAAAUUGAUUUGUGGUUUCAGAUGAAGACAGCAGCAGAUGUGUGUGCGCUAUAUGACAUCGAGAAAAAGCAAAGGCCUUAAAGAGUUCAUCAACAUUUUCCAUUUCAGAAGAAUCUGUUUGUGGUUCUCUUGCUCAAGUGCCUACUUUUCGGGGUGCAGCAUAUAUGUUGAGACCGGCAUAUGAAAUCACUAAACUUUUACAGUUGAUCCGAGGCUUCUCUAGCAAAGGAUUUGGAAUUAAUUUGGGGAAGGGGUUUUUUUUUGGGUAUAUGAGUGUGUGCAUUCCUUCAAUCACGUAGCUUCGUGCCAUUAACAUAAUGGCAAUUCCACAAUGGUGAUAAUGAUAAUUUUAUGAUUGGGGCACAGUGUUAGGAACUCUUUACUGCUUUUUCUUUCGCAUUUGUGUCUAUGAUUAAGGUUGUUUAAGGUGGUAUGGAUUUCAGUACAUUGAACAAAAAUUUAUUUAUUUUUAUUCAAAUUAAAAUACCUAAAAAUCAAACCUAAGUUAAAAAAAUAAAGUUAAAAAAAUUCUGAAAUUAAUCAAAUUUUAAAACUUGAGACUUUUAACAGAUUAAUCCAACCUUUGAAUAAAUAAACUAAAUGGGGGUCAGUUUUUCUCGUGUCAGCUUGUUCAAUCGACACUAUCUUUUCAACCUCUCACGAAUAAACAAAUCACUAAUGAUGUGUCCAUUUCUUCUACUUUAUACUAAUUUUUAAUAAAAAGAUUAUUAAAUUGGUUCGGCUGUGGGAGCCACACGUGUCUGUGGCAGCGCACACCCAAGAGAAGCCAGUCUGGUUCCAAGAAGAAAGUGAACAUGUGAUGAUGAGAUGCCGUAUCAAAUGGGGCCACGUAGACAGAGGUGCUUCGAGGUGACAUGUCAGCAGAUACCUCCACCGACGAUCUUCAAAAUAAUUUGAACGGUUGGGAUUUUAUUUUCAACUUACCUGUGUCCAGGCUACUGUUGAUUGUCGCUAUCCUGAAUUGUCCACUUCGAACAACCGAUGGGAACUAAUGACUUUCCAGAUUAAAAAAAAAAAAAGUAGUCUUUGAGGGAAAUACAUCGAGGCGACCAAACAUGAUGAGCAGGUGGUUGGUGGCAGGGUUCUGCGAGCAGGUGUAUCCUGCAAGAGUCAAGUAGCAGGAGAAUAGGAGCAAGAGUAUUCUACUCGUCCACGAAUAUGCCAUUCGUGAGGCCGAACUCCUGUUAGAGGCAUAAGGUCAUUCCUGCUAGGCAUCGAGGCGAGGAGACCCAGUCAACGACAGUUGGCAGGACGUGCAUUCCUAUCUGAGAAUUAAGGCACGAGGUCCAUCUCCAUUCGCCGACAAUGGCGAUAAUGGGGCGUCCACACCUGAGAGUGGGGAGAAUGACGUGCGUGGACUGCGGAAGAUCUGGAUUCAGAGGAAGCCUAUAAAAAGGUAGCCAACGAAGGUAAAAGGGUGAGAAUUUUUGCUAUUUGAACUAAGAAAAGAGAACUCUAAGAACUGAGAUUAUAGAAAAGCCAUAAGACCUGUGGCAAGCGUUCCCCGAACCUUCACAUAUGACUUGAGCAUCGGAGGGUUUGCGCCGGAAAAACAACCGGCGUACUCUGACUUGUCUGUGUGCGCAGGAACCUCUGGAGAAGAAGCCUUACGAGGAGACCUUCUGGUCGUGGUGAAGUUGAUCGAGCAGAGAGCCUGGUCGUAGAACGAGGAGAACCAGAAUCUCGCAUCAACAUUUUGGCGCCGUCUGUGGGGAACUGAUCAAAAAGCUUCUGUUGAUAGCAAGAAGGGGAGUAAAGCAAGUGAAAAGCGAUGGAAACAGGGGAAGCAAUGCAGAUAACAUCCCUCGAUACCCGAGUGGAAAACAAGAAUGGCAGACAAGAACCUGUAGAGGAUCUGGAAACUGUAAGCCUGGGACCAGAGAAUCCGGGAAAGACAAUCAGAAUCGGGUCGAGACUUAAGGGAGAGCAAAAGCAGGAGUUGGUGAAAUGCUUACAGACUCAUGCAGAUGUGUUUGCUUGGACACAUGAAGACAUGCCAGGGAUUGAUCCUGAGGUAGCAUGUCAUAAGCUGGCAAUAAAGAAAGGUGCUCGGACAGUAAGGCAGAAGAGGAGGUGCUUCAACCAGGAGAGGUAUGAGGCUAUAAAUGGCGAGGUGGAGAAGCUCUUGAGAGCAGGGUUCAUUCGGGAAGUCAAUUACCCUGAAUGGAUAUCGAAUGUGGUGUUGGUAAAGAAAGCGAAUGGCAAGUGGAGGAUGAGCGUGGAUUUCACAGACCUCAAUAAGGCGUACCCAAAAGACAGCUUCCCUUUACCAAAGAUCGAUCAGCUAGUAGACUCAACGGCUGGACACGCUCUGCUUAGCUUCAUGGAUGCGUUCUCGGGAUACAACCAAAUCCCCAUGUACGAGCAGGACGAGGAGAGCACGGCUUUCAUCACUAACCAGGGUUUGUUCUGUUAUAGGGUAAUGCCAUUUGGUCUCAAAAAUGCUGGGGCCACCUAUCAGAGGCUGGUGAACAAAGUCUUUAAGCCAUUGAUUGGGAAAACCAUGGAGGUGUACGUGGAUGACAUGAUCACCAAGUCCAAAAUCCCGAAGGAACAUGUCAGACACCUCGAGGAGACAUUCGAGCUUUUGAGGAAGUAUAAGAUGAAGCUCAACCCGGAGAAAUGUGCUUUUGGGGUCGAGUCGGGGAAGUUCCUUGGAUUCAUGGUGAGUUAUCGGGGGAUCGAAGCAAAUCCCGAGAAGAUCCAGGCGAUCUUGCAGAUGAGGUCUCCUCGUAGCCUGAAGGAAAUACAAAGCCUUACGGGGAGAUUGGCGGCAUUGAGCCGAUUCAUAUCCAAGGCUACAGAUAAGUGUCAACCAUUCUUUCAAGUGAUAAGGAGGGGAAAGAAAACAGAGUGGACCCCGGAAUGCGAGGAAGCCUUUCAGAACUUGAAGCAGUAUUUACAGCAAGCCCUUCUGCUAUCCACACCGAGGGAUGGGGACAAGUUAUUUUUGUAUCUGGCGAUAUCGGAACGGGCCGCCAGUUCUGUUCUGGUGAGAGAGGAAGAAGGAGUUCAGUAUCCAAUAUACUACACCAGCAAGGCCCUGCUCGACGCUGAGACUAGGUACCCACCGUUGGAGAAAUGGGCACUUGCCCUUGUGGUUGCUGCUCGGAAGUUGAGGCCAUAUUUUCAGGCAUUCCCAGUCUCGGUUAUAACAAACCGGCCAUUGCGUCAAACUCUGCACAAGCCCGACGCUUCUGGUCGGCUCGUCAAGUGGGCUAUAGAGCUGAGCGAGUUCGACAUAGACUACAAACCCCGAGCAACGAUCAGGGCUCAGGCAAUGGCCGAUUUCGUAGCAGAAUUCACAGAGCUUGAAGUAUGUUUACACCAACAAGAUGUAGUUGCAGACAGUGGCGAAGCUCAAGUAUGGCAAAUGUCUGUAGAUGGGUCAUCAGGGGAGCAGGGAUCAGGAGCAUGGAUUGUAUUGGAAGGCCCAGAGGGGGAGGAGAUCUCUUAUGCUGUAAAGUUAGAAUUCGCAGCAACGAAUAACCAGGCAGAGUAUGAAGCCUUGAUAGCAGGAUUAGAACUGGCUAAGGCCGUGAGAGCAGAUAGAGUGAAAAUCAGAACUGAUUCCCAGCUGGUUGCGAAUCAUGUCAGUGAAAGAUUCCAACCGAGAGAGGAGAAGAUGGAGCAGUACCUGAAGAUAGUCAGGCAGAUGAUGGGGAAAUUCGAAGCGGUGGAGGUGGUACAAAUCCCUAGGGAGCAGAAUAGUCGAGCAGAUAUUUUGGCCAGGAUGGCAGCGGUAGCAGACCCAAAAAAGCCAAAGUCGGUCCCUUUGGAGGUGAAGUCCAGCCCGAGCAUCGAGCAGAAUUUGGGGGUGCUGCGAAUAGAACAAAAAUGCUCGUGGAUGGACCCAAUAGUUUCAUACCUCAGAGACGGGGUACUACCACCAGACAAGCUGCGAGCUCGGAAGAUUAGAGCCCAGGCCUCGAGAUACACGAUGAUUGAUGGGAUACUGUAUCGGCGAGGAUAUACACUACCGUUCCUUCGAUAUUUGGAUGAGGACGACGCGGAUUACGUACUGAGAGAAGUACAUGAAGGAAUUUGCGGGAAUCAUUCUGGUGGGAGAUCCCUGGCGCACAAGGUUCUAAGGCAGGGAUAUUUCUGGCCGACAAUGCACCAGGAUGCACAGGAGAAGACCAGGAGCUGUGCAAGCUGCCAGAGUUUUGCAAGUUUCCCCAGCCAACCACCAGAGAAGCUCACCUCUAUGGUCUCCCCUUGGCCAUUUGCUCAAUGGGGAAUUGAUUUGAUCGGCCCGCUGCCAAAGGGACGAGGAGCAGCAACACAUGCAAUAGUUGCUAUAGAUUACUUCACGAAGUGGAUAGAGGUCGAAGCCCUUAGCAAGAUCACAGAGAAGAAAACAACAGACUUUGUGUGGAGAAACCUGGUCUGUCGAUACGGGAUCCCUUACGCCCUGGUAACGGAUAAUGGCAGGCAGUUCGAUAAUCACAGCUUCAGGGAUUUCUGCCAGAACCUCGGGAUAGAGCUGAAGUAUUGCUCGCCUGCUCACCCGCAAUCGAAUGGACAAGUAGAAGCAGCCAACAAGACCAUCAAGAGGCUUUUGAAAACCAGGCUUGGAGCAAAAAAGGGCACAUGGGUUGAUGAGCUAUCAGGUGUCCUAUGGGCAUACAGGACAACCCACAAAACAACAACUGGGGAGACACCGUUCGCCCUGGCUUUCGGACAUGAAGCGGUCGUACCAGCUGAGAUAGGAACGACCACGCACCGGACAGACCAUUUCAAUGAGCAGGAGAACGACGAGCAGAUGUGUUUGAAUCUUGAUCUGCUAACGGAGAAGAGGGAGCAAGCAGCUGGCCGAUCAGCCAUUUACCAGCAAAGGGUUGCUCGCUAUUAUAACCAGAAGGUGAAUGUACGGCAGUUCAGGGUCGAAGACUGGGUACUGAGGAGAGUGAAUCAGAACACCAAAGACUCGACUCAAGGAGUGCUCGGUCCGAAUUGGGAAGGGCCAUAUAGAGUCAAGCAGCUAGUUGGUCCGGGAGCUUACAAGCUGGUUCGCAUGGAUGGCCACUAGGUGAAGCGCCCAUGGAACGCAGCACACCUCAGGAAAUAUUUCCAGUAAGAGUCGUUAAUAUUCUCAAGUUCUUUCUGUUCGUAUUUGCCGUUAUUUAUUUUAUGACUAAGCAAUUUCAUGUAAGUUGAAUCCUACCAUUAAUGGAACGUCGAGGAAUUUCAUUCGCUUGAAACUGUGAAAAUUUCCUAAGGCAUGCAAAGGCUCAUCAAAGUCUCAAAGCCUGUUUUAUGGCGAGACAGAAGCCAAGCGUGCCAGGAUCUGCUCGACCACGAGAAGGCGAGCAGAAUCCCAAUCAUUGAAGAAUUGAAGGCUUGCAAAGGCUUAUCAAAGUCUCAAAGCCUGUUUUAUGGCGAGACAGAAGCCAAGCGUGCCAGGAUCUGCUCGACUAUGAGAAGGCGAGCAGAAUCCCAAUCAUUGAAGAAUUGAAGGCAUGCAAAGGCUCAUCAAAGUCUCAAAGCCUGUUUAUGGCGAGACUAGAAGCCAAGCUUGCUAGGAUCUGCUCGACCAAGCGAAGGCGAGCAGACUCCCAAACGUUGUAAAAAUUCCUAAGGCAUGCAAAGGCUCGUCAAGUCUCAAAGCCUGUUUUUGCGAGACAGAAGCCAAGCGUGCCAGAAUCUGCUCGACCACGCGAAGGCGAGCAGAAUCCCCAAGCAUCGAAAAAUUUUCCAAGGCAUGCAAAGGCUCGUCAAGUCUCAAAGCCUGUUUAUGGCGAGACAGAAGCCAAGCGUGCCAGGAUCUGCUCGACCACGCGAAGGCGAGCAAAAUCCCCAAGCAUCGAAAAAUUUUCCAAGGCAUGCAAAGGCUCGUCAAGUCUCAAAGCCUGUUUAUGGCGAGACAGAUGCCAAGCGUGCCAGGAUCUGCUCGACCACGGGAAGGCGAGCAGAAUCCCCAAGCAUCGAAAAAUUCUCCAAGGCAUGCAAAGGCUCGUCAAGUCUCAAAGCCUGUUUAUGGCGAGACAAAAGCCAAGCGUGCCAGGAUCUGCUCGACCGCGCGAAGGCGAGCAAAAUCUCAAGCAUCGAAGAAAUUUCUAAGGCAUGUGGCAAAACCAUAUGCCAAGCCAGAACCUGCUCGACCAGACAAAGACGAGCAGGUUCCCAAACGGAAAAUAAGUGAUGAUUACAACACGAGAAAGUAAUCAAAAACAUCUUUAUUAAUUGUUAGUAAUUAACAGAAGAGAUAAUCGCCACAAAAAUUGUUCAUUAUAAUACAAGAAAUAUAUCAAGAAGAUGGUGGAUCAGUAAGCCGAGCAGCAUCUGUUGGCUGGACCUCCUCAGGUGCAGGGGGGUAUCACCAGUUGCGUCCAGAGGGGUACUCGCCUCGCCAACAUCAGCAGGGACUGCACGAGGAGGAGAGUUUUCCUCCUCAAUCACGAUCGGCUCUACCCCUUCAGCAUCAUCCUUGGCCGCCUCCUCGUCCAUAUGUUGAGCAACACCAGCUGCAAGGUCAUCCAUUUUCAGAUCAGGGUGUUGCUUCCCGAGGACAGCCAUGAUGCAACGAUAGGAAUGCCGAAGUCCCUGGUCGUACUGGUUCUCGGCCUCCCUCUCCAAGUUCUCGACCUGAGCUCGGUUGGAGUCGCGGAGAGAUUCGAGCUGGGCGUCAUACAUAGCCUUCUGCCUUUGCAGAUCCUCCUUGACCUUGGUGGUCAUGCAGCUGAGGUGGAAGGCGCUAUACUGCAUGGCCCCCACCAGCUCACCCAAGGUGCAGCCGUCAAAGUCCUCCAGGUCCUUCUUGCUCACGAGUUUAGAGAACUCAUUAAGGUAGGGGACCAAGUGUUCUGCUCGGCUGUCAGGUAAGUGAGAUCGAGGCCCGACAGGGGGCGAAGAGGAAGCAGGAUCCGUGGCUGCUCCACUAGUCUCCCCAAUUUUGGCAGGAGUAGGAGGUAAAGUCUUCAAGGGCGUCCUUGUUCUGGUCCCUCUUCGUGGUUUGAGGUCGAGAACGUUUCCUGUUCAGAGCCCCAAUCACAGCGUCCUCCAUCUUAUGGCCAGGUAGUAUCAAGCGAGACUCGAGCAAGUUGUAAGUAGUUAACAGCUCUCGGCUCGGGCAGGAAUUGACUAGCACAGCCUCAACCUGUUUGAGCUGGCCAGGUUGGAACGGGAAAUGAACACCCCAAGAAACUACAACACAAACAGACACUUGGUUAGAGACAAGCCAAUAAAGCAAGAACAAUUAUGGAUACAGGACAUUUAAAGCGAGCAGGCAACCUGGGACCGUGAAAUGGGGUGGGACCCGAUAAUCCUUCCCGUCCAUUUGUGCAACCUGACCCCAAGGGCCUCGUAACCAUUGGUUUGACAUUCAAAUAGAGGGGCAGAUUUCUGCCACAUCACCUCGUACGCAAUUAAAUGCGACACGACUCUUGGCAGCCUUUUCCAGUCCCACGCGAGCAAGAACCGUUGAGUUUCUACUACUGGUCCAUUACAUUACCCAACACCAGAAACUGGGGGACCGGUGUUUGAGGGAAAUACAUCGAGGCGACCAAACAUGAUGAGCAGGUGGUUGGUGGCAGGGUUCUGCGAGCAGGUGUAUCCUGCAAGAGCCAAGUAGCAGGGGAAUAGGAGCAUGAGUAUUCUGCUCGUCCACGAAUAUGCCAUUCGUGAGGUCGAACUCCUGUUAGAGGCAUAAGGUCAUUCCUGCUAGGCAUCGAGGCGAGGAGACCCAGUCAACGACAGUUGGCAGGACGUGCAUUCCUAUCCGAGAAUUAAGGCACGAGGUCCAUCUCCAUUCACCGACAAUGGCGAUAAUGGGGCGUCCACACCCGAGAGUGGGGAGAAUGACGUGCGUGGACUGCGGAAGAUCUGGAUUCAGAGGAAGCCUAUAAAAAGGUAGCCAACGAAAGUAAAAGGGUGAGAAUUUUUGCUAUUUGAACUAAGAAAAGAGAACUCUAAGAACUGAGAUUAUAGAAAAGCCAUAAGACCUGUGGCAAGCGUUCCCCGAACCUUCAUAUCUGACUUGAGCGUCGGAGGGUUUGCGCCGGAAAAACAACCGGCGUACUCUGACUUGUCUGUGUGCGCAGGAACCUCUGGAGAAGAAGCCUUACGAGGAGACCUUCUGGUCGUGGUGAAGUUGAUCGAGCAGAGAGCCUGGUCGUAGAACGAGGAGAACCAGAAUCUCGCAUCAACAAGUAGGAUUAUCAAACUAUGUAGCAUUGUUAUGUAAAGUUUUAUGGUUAUUUUAAGGCUAAAAUUGGUUUAGAAAUUAAUUAAAAGACAAUAUUCAUUCUAACAUAAAACGAGUUUUUAACAAGAGGAGGAGGUUCCUUUUAUAAGUUACUAAUUUAUACAACCUUUAAUAUUAAAACAAUAUUUUAUAUAUUAAGGACGAUGAUUCUUGCUCACUUAGUAAGAUAUGUACAUAACAUAGGUUUGUUAAGCAAGGAAUCAAUUAUGUAUUUCUUGUAUCUGAAAAAAUGAAUCAUCCUUUAACGAGGGUUAUCAUCAAUUGCAGGUUUCUAGUUUGGUUGCUUAGUUUGAGGAAAGAAUAUAUGGUAUGGUGUUUGGCUGGUCUGCUUUUUUCUUUUCAAUUAAUGUAAUAUUCUUAUGCUAUGGAAUUGAUUAUCAUAAGUACUAAAGGAAAGAAUAUAUACUAUGGAAUAUAUGCUAUGGUCUUUGGCUGGUCUACUUUUUUCUUUUCAAUUAAUGUAUUAUUCAUAUGCGAUGGAAUAUGAAUAUUACAUUAAGGGAAAGAAUAUUUUUACACAGCACACUAUAAUACUCUAAUUACCAAUUUUUUAUCUUGUAAUACAAGUUCAUAGCGAUUAAUUUAUCCAUCUUCAGCCAAAAAAAAAGUCCCAUUUCAGCACAUAUACAAGAGCCCUCAUUUUUCUUUGCUUCAGCCAUUUUAUAGCAGAAUCAUCACAGACACUUUGAGCUCUGCCGAAUCAUCAUAGACAAUUUGUGAUUGGUGGGAGCAUUACAAGAAAGGUACGACUACUUCGAACCGAUAGAUUUGUUUAUAUGAUUUAGCUAUCGUUUUAACUUUUAACAAUAAACAAGAGACAAUCAUGUACAUCAUUGGUUACAUAAAUAUUAAAAUGAGAUAAAUUUAUUCCUCAACUUGCCAGACCCAUACAUAUUAAAAUGAGAUAAAUUUUAAGGUUUAAAAAUUUGCAAUUCAUCAAAAAUCUAGUGCGAUAUUAAGCGGUAAAAUCACUUAGGGUUAGUACAUGAGGUUUAUGAUUCCCUGACUCAUUUAUAUGGGUGGAGAGGGAAUUAGGCAAUGAAGAAUUGAUACAAAUUAAUAAUUAUAUUAUAAAAAGAAAUAAACUUCAAGAGAGAUCAUAAGUUCGUAGAAGAUUGUAUGUCAGUUAUUUGUAGUGGAAUGGAGUUUUUUUGGAGAGGCUAUUUGGCUUGGAAUAUAUAUUAGAAUGAGAUUAUUUGAACCCACCGCAAUACUCUCUAAAAUCCACUUUUCAAUAAAAAAUUUCAGUACAAAAUUUUCCUUAAUUAAAUUACUAUUUUAGCCAAAUAUUAUGUUGAUUUAUCUCCCUAAAGUUUUUAUUUUUUUUCACCCUUUUUUCUCUUUUCCUCUCUGUUUCCCCAAUUUUUUUUUUUCCAGUCCUAUGUGGUUCUUAUAUUUUAAGGCUUCUAUUGGAGUAAGAUCUAUAUUCAAAUUGCUUAUCCAAAAAAAAAAAAAUUCUUUUAAAAUUUGCCUUUCCUUUACCCUCGAGUCACUAUUAGAUGUAUAUGCUCCUCAAGAAACUUUAGUAAUUGGAUUUCUAUUAAAUAUUUUAAUUUCAAAAAAUGAGAAGGUCACUAUACAAAUAUCAAAAGAUCACCAACUUAAUUAUACCAGUUAUAAUUGACGGAAAUAAAAGACUUACUAUUUCUGUUUGAAGUUAUUAUGAUGAACAAAGAAAGGGGGGGGGGGGGGGGGGAACAAGUCGCUGCAAUUGCAUCAAUUGAGGACAUGUUAAGAAACGUAUCAUUGAGAUAAGAUUUAAUUGAUAAAAAUAAGAUUUACUAGAAAGUAGUGAGAGAAACAACUAACAAAAAUUCAUUAUACUUAUUGAGGGUAUAUUGAGAAUAUUUGUGGCUUUUUUUAGUUAAAAAAAUAAAGUUUUAAGUUGUGAUAAUGUGUUUAUUACGUAAAUGAGUUUAUUUAAUAUUACAGUGGAUUUAAGUAGCCUUACCCUUCAUAUUAUAAUAAAUUUUUACAUUACUCUAUAAUAGCCCUACUAUAGAGGACAAUGUAAUGAAAAUAUUGUUACUCUUAUACCUAUUAAAAGAAACAAUAUUAUCUUGUACGUACAAGAACGUUCUAGUGCCCAAGUAAAAGUUUUAGUAAAACGUAUAAGAACUCUAAGUGUAAAGAGAGUUUCGUCAAGGUACUAUAGUAGUAUCUAAUGCUCUUUGCUAGUGUAAACUAUUUGUGCCAUGUGUGGUAUUUCAAUCUUCACAAGUGGCAUUGCAUAUAGUGGCUCUUAUUUCAGUUCCUCAGAGGCACUCUAGAGGUACGUUAGCUUAUAAGCUAGUAUUUGGUCAUCAUGUGCUUCUUUUAAUGAAACAUGUGGUUCAUUUUGUCCUUAUACGAGAGCAUUUUGUGUGGAAUAACCUUGUAAAAUGCUCAUUUAUCAAGGACACAUGUCGUGUUGUCAGAACAUAGUAAAAAUAUGAUACGCUAACCCAUGUGCAUUUAUGAAAAAUCAAAUGAAAACAAAGAACUAAAAAAAAUGCAAAGGCUAAUUCAUAAUGUUUGAGUUUGAGAUUAUUAAUAUUUAAUUUUAUGGUUGCAAAGAUAAGAAUAAAAGUAGGUCUAGUGAGAAAUACCCUCAUAUUAUAAUACUAUUUAAAAUAAAUUUUGUUAUAAAAGAUUUUAUUUAAUAAGUAUGGAGACUGUUCAAAAUAUAUUUUACGUACAAACUCAUAUGUUUGACGUAAUAGUAUGUCUCAUGCUAGGACUAGCAAUGGUCAAAUCAACCUAUUUCGAUAAGAUCCAUCAAAAUUAAUAUUUAAAAAAUUUAUCAUCUCAUUAUACAAUACACAGCUUUGCCAUCACAGCUUUGCCAUCUAGUAGAGAAUGAUUGGUUGGCACACCAUAGUUUACACGAAUAUUUCUAAUAUUUGAAUCGUCUAUUAGAAAAUUUUAAUCCUACCAAGAUCUUGUAAGUAAAAAUAUCAAAUAAAUAGUAAAUAGAAAAUAUACAGAGAAUAAGACCAAUCAUACAACACAAUAAUUUACGUGAAAAAUUCUUAUAUUGAAGAAAAACCACAGUCGCCAAAGAUGACAAAAGAAAAAUCUACUAUUUAAAUAUCAUUAUAAUUACUUUAAUAUUUUCCUCACAUAAAAAACCCCAAUAACAAAUAAUCUCUCAUUUCAGAAACUGGCUACUUGUAUAGAACUGAUUGUUGUGUUAUUCAAACAAGUGAAUCUAAUCUUUCGUAUAUAUUGUGAUUAUUUCAUAUUGGAGAAAUAUUUAUUUCCUUAUAUAAUUUGUAUUUCUCCUUUAAUAAGUUCUUUGGCAUUACUUAUUCCUUAAACAUGAAACCCCCCCCCUGAACAAGAAAAUUACUAAAUAAAAACAUUCUAGGAAAUAUCCUAAUUUAGGAUUUACAAAUCUUCAUUGAAAAAGGAGAUAUGUUUCUUAAAAAUCUCCACUUUGGUGAGUUUUUCAAUUAAGCGACAAAAUAUAAUCUGCCAUACAUCUAUGCAACCAUGUCGUCUCCCCCUUAUUUAGUCUACCAAAACCACACUGACAUAAGUCUAAUGAGAAUCACUCCACCAUGAGUAAAAUCUUGUCCUCUAUCCAGCAGCCAUAAUUUUCUACAUCGAGAAUCAUCAUACUCCACAUUAUCCAGAGCACACAUGUUUUGUAACACUCCAAAAAUUACCCAUGAAAACACAAGGGUAAAAUUGGAAUGAAACUUUACAUCAUUUAUUCUUAUUAAUAAAUCUCAAGAUAGACAAUUAUUCAUACUCCAACUGAAUCCUUACAUAAAACAUCUGAAAUAAAGUCUCCAAAGAAAAGUCUCUAGUCCAAAAUAAAAAGUCUAGCCAAAUUCACUCUUGAAAGCAACUCCAAAGUCCACUAAGAAAAAUUCUCCAUCUAAGCACCCAAGCCACAUUUCUAAUCAAUCUCCAAAAUAUUGGAGACGAGGGGUGAGCCGUCAACUCGGUAAGCAAAUCUAUGCACAAUAUUUGAAAACCUUGUCAUUUUACCUUUAAAUAUUUUAUAACAACAUCUUCAUUUAGCAUAAGGGGUGGAUUCAUAUAAAAGCAUUAAAAACAUUAAAACAUUCAUAAAACCGUUAAAACAUAAACAUUGGUAGCUCAUGCCUCGUACUCAUCAUCAUUCAUCAUUCAUCAUUUAGGGUGUUAUACCCCGCAUUUUUCCUCAUUUAGGGUACUAUACCCCACAUUGUUCAUAACAUCCUUGUGCACCAGAUCAUCAUCAUACCAGCAAGCUGGCCUUAGCAUUUCAUAACAUCAUAACAUUAACAUCAUAUACAUUACUACGGACUAUGAGCCAAAAUAUUUUUGAAUCCACCUUACAUCUUUUCAUAAAUAGCAUUUAAAGUCUUCUAAAACAUUUAAGAACUUUUCUUUUAAACAUUUAAUUCUUUUAAAAAAAUUCUUUAAGAAAACAUUUAAUUUAAAAAAAACUAAUUUCUUAAGAAAAAAUCAUUUUAAAAUACAUUUAUAUAAAUUCAUUUAGAAGCAUUUUUAUUUUAAAAAAUUCAUUUAAAUAUGUUAGAAAUCAGUUUUGUAAAAAUCUCUAUUUAAACAUAAUUCUUAUAACAUAAUUCGCAUUUAUUAUAAAGGACAUCAUGCAUGAAUCUACUUACCUCGAUCCAUAGCAAUCAAUUCAAUGUCUCAAGAAUAACCAACGAGCUCACCCACGUCCUAUAGUCAUCAUAAAAAUAUUCUUAUCAAUAUCAUCUCUAACCUUAAACAUAAUCCCAGUCAGCCUUAAAUCAUAGGCUCUUAUACUAGCUUAAUACUUAUACAUAUUCUAAACAUAUCCUAUACUUAUGAGUAUCCUGUACAUGCUGAUUUUUAAUAACCUAUACACAUGUCGAAAAACCAUGAAAAUUUACAGAGGCACUGUGAACAUGCAUAGCAUUGCAUACAAUAUUUCACAAUUUACAGAGGCACUAUCAACAGAAGCUUUUUGAUCAGUUCCCCACAGACGGCGCCAAAAUGUUGAUGCGAGAUUCUGGUUCUCCUCGUUCUACGACCAGGCUCUCUGCUCGAUCAACUUCACCACGACCAGGAGGUCUCCUCGUAAGGCUUCUUCUCCAGAGGUUCCUGCGCACACAGACAAGUCAGAGUAUGCCGGUUGUUUUCCCGGCGCAAACCCUCCGACGCUCAAGUCAGAUAUGAAGGUUCGGGGAAUGCUUGCCACAGAUCUUAUGGCUUUUUCGUAGUUUGCUCUUCUUUAGAAUUUCUUUAGCUCUCUUCUAAUCUCAAAAUUGCUAACCCUUUUACCUUCGUUGGCUACCUUUUUAUAGGCUUCCUCUGAAUCCCAGUUUUCCGCAGCCUAAGUCCGUUAUCCUCCCACCUCUCGAACGUGGAUUCCCCAUUUCCGUAGUCAUGGGUGGUUGCGUGGCCUUCGUGCCUAGAUUCUCGGGCUGGAGAGCAUGCCUCGCCAACUGUCGUUGACCGGGUCUCCUCGAAUCAACCCUUAGCAAGAAUACAGCAGGAAUGGCUUUAUGCUUCUUGCAGGAAAUUGACCUCGCGGAUGAUGUGUUUCCUGGUGACUUCCUGGUCGAGGUGACCAAUAACAUCCUGGUCGAGGUCAUGUGCUCGAGGUCACCACAUAUUUUUCUGGUCGAGAUGAUCUGCUCAACCAUUUGCUUACUUUUACUUUGAGGAGAGCACGAUAAUGUAUGAGCAAACACCUUUAUCUUGGUCACCCUAUUUCAUUCCCUAAACACCAGUCCCCCAGUUUCUAGUGUUGAGAGUGAAACGAAUCAAGACUGGAAACUUUAGUGGUCUGCUCGUCUUCGCUUGGUUGAGCAGAUCCUAGUAUGCUUGGCUUUCUGUCUCCCCAUAAAACAGGCUUUGAGACUUUGAUGAGCCUUUGCAUGCCUUUGAUUCUUCAAGGAUUGGGAUUCUGCUCGCCUUCUCGUGGUCGACCAGAUCCUGGCACGCUUGGCUUCUGUCUCGCCAUAAAACAGGCUUUGAGACUUUGAGCCUUUGCAUGCCUUUGAUUCUUCAAGGAUUGGGAUUCUGCUCGCCUUCUCGUGGUGGAGCAGAUCCUGGCACGCUUGGCUUCUGUCUCGCCAUAAAACAGGCUUUGAGACUUUGAUGAGCCUUUGCAUGCCUUUGAUUCUUCAAGGAUUGGGAUUCUGCUCGCCUUCUCGUGGUCGAGCAGAUCCUGGCACGCUUGGCUUCUGUCUCGCCAUAAAACAGGCUUUGAGACUUUGAGCCUUUGCAUGCCUUUGAUUCUUCAAGGAUUGGGAUUCUGCUCGCCUUCUCGUGGUCGAGCAGAUUCUGGCACGCUUGGCUUCUGUCUCGCCAUAAAACAAGCUUUGAGACUUUGAUGAGCCUUUGCAUGCCUUUGAUUCUUCAAGGAUUGGGAUUCUGCUCGCCUUCUCGUGGUCGAGCAGAUCCUGGCACGCUUGGCUUCUGUCUCGCCAUAAAACAGGCUUUGAGACUUUGAGCCUUUGCAUGCCUUUGAUUCUUCAAGGAUUGGGAUUCUGCUCGCCUUCUCGUGGUGGAGCAGAUCCUGGCACGCUUGGCUUCUGUCUCGCCAUAAAACAGGCUUUGAGACUUUGAGCCUUUGCAUGCCUUUGAUUCUUCAAGGAUUGGGAUUCUGCUCGCCUUCUCGUGGUCGAGCAGAUCCUGGCACGCUUGGCUUCUGUCUCGCCAUAAAACAGGCUUUGAGACUUUGAGCCUUUGCAUGCCUUUGAAAAUUUCCACAGUUGUAAGUGACUGAAAUUCUUCGACGUUCCAUUAAUUGCAGGAUUCAACUUACAUGAAAUUGCUUAGUCAUAAAAUAAAUAACGGCAAAUACGAACAGAAAGAACUUGAGAAUAUUAACGACUCUUACUGGAAAUAUUUCCUGAGGUGUGCUGCGUUCCAUGGGCGCUUCACCUCGUGGCCAUCCAUGCGAACCAGCUUGUAAGCUCCCAGACCAACUAGCUGCUUGACUCUAUAUGACCGAGCACUCCUUGAGUCGAGUCUUUGGUGUUCUGAUUCACUCUCCUUAACACCCAAUCUCCGACCUUGAACUACCGUAUGUUCACCUUCUGGUUAUAAUACCGGGCAACCCUCUGCUGGUAAAUGACUGAUCGCUCGGCUGCUUGCUCCCUCUUUUCCGUUAGCAGGUCAAGAUUUAAGCAUAUCUGCUCGUCGUUCUCCUGCUUAUUAAAAUGGUCUGUCCGGUGCGUGGUCGUUCCUAUCUCAGUUGGUACGACCGCUUCAUGUCCGAAAGCCAGGGCGAACGGUGUCUCCCCAGUUGCUGUUUUAUGGGUUGUCCUGUAUGCCCAUAGGACACCUGACAGCUCAUCAACCCAUGUACCAUUUUUUGCUCCAAGCCUAGUUUUCAAAAGUCUCUUGAUGGUCUUGUUGGCUGCUUCUACUUGUCCAUUCGAUUGAGGGUGAGCAGACGAGCAAUACUUCAGCUCUAUCCCGAGGUUCUGGCAAAAAUCCCUGAAGCUAUGAUUAUCGAACUGCCUGCCAUUAUCCGUUACCAAGGCAUAAGGGAUCCCGUAUCGACAGACCAGGUUUCUCCACACAAAGUCUGUCGUUUUCUUCUCUGUAAUCCUGCUAAGGGCUUCGACCUCUAUCCACUUCGUGAAGUAAUCUAUAGCAACUAUUGCAUGCGUUGCUGCUCCUCGUCCCUUUGGCAGCGGGCCGAUCAGAUCAAUUCCCCAUUGAGCAAAUGGCCAAGGGGAGGCCAUAGAGGUGAGCUUCUCUGGUGGUUGGUUGGGGAAACUUGCAAAACUCUGGCAGCUUACACAGCUCCUGGUCUUCUCCUGUGCAUCCUGGUGCAUUGUCGGCCAGAAAUAUCCCUGCCUUAGAACCUUGUGGGCCAGGGAUCUCCCACCAGAAUGAUUCCCGCAAAUUCCUUCAUGUACUUCUCUUAGUACGUAAUCCGCGUCGUCCUCAUCCAAACAUCGAAGGAAAGGUAGUGUAUAUCCUCGCCGAUACAGUAUCCCAUCAAUCAUCGUGUAUCUCGAGGCAUGGGCUCUAAUCUUCCGAGCUCGCAGCUUAUCUGGUGGUAAUACCCCGUCUCUAAGGUAUGAAACUAUCGGGUCCAUCCACGAGCAUUUUUGUUCUAUCCGCAGCACCCCCGAAUUCGGCUCGAUGCUCGGGCUGGACUUCACCUCCAGAGGGAUCGACUUUGGCAUUUUUGGGUCUACUACCGCUGCCAUCCUGGCUAGAAUAUCUGCUCGACUAUUCUGCUCCCUUGGGAUUUGUACUACCUCCACCGCUUUGAAUUUUCCCAUCAUCUGCCUGACUAUCUUCAAGUACUGCUCCAUCUUCUCCUCUCUUGGUUGGAAUCUUUCACUGACAUGAUUCGCAACCAGCUGGGAAUCAGUUCUGAUCUUCAUUCUAUCUGUUCUCACGGCCUUAGCCAGUUCCAAUCCUGCUAUCAAGGCUUCAUACUCUGCCUGGUUAUUUGUUGCUGCGAAUUCUAACUUUACAGCAUAAGAGAUCUCUUCCCCCUCCGGGCCUUCCAAUACACCUGAUCCCUGCUCCCCUGAUGACCCAUCUACAGACAUUUGCCAUACUUGAGCUUCGCCACUGUCUGCAACUACAUCUUGUUGGUCUAAACAUACUUCAGGCUCUGUGAAUUCUGCUACGAAAUCGGCCAUUGCCUGAGCCCUCAUCGCUGCUCGGGGUUUGUAGUCUAUGUCGAACUCACUCAGCUCUAUAGCCCACUUGACGAGUCGACCAGAAGCAUCGGGCUUGUGCAGAGUUUGACGCAAUGGCUGGUUUGUUAUAACCGAGACUGGGAAUGCCUGAAAAUAUAGCAUCAAUUUCCGAGCAGCAACCACAAGGGCAAGUGCCCAUUUCUCCAACAGUGGGUACCUGGUCUCAGCGUCGAACAGGGCCUUGCUGGUGUAGUAUAUUGGAUACUAAACUCCUUCUUCCUCUCUCACCAGAACAGAACUGGCGGCCCGAUCCGAUACCGCCAGAUACAAAAAUAACUUGUCCCCAUCCCUCGGUGUGGAUAGCAGAGGGGCUUGCUGUAAAUACUGCUUCAAGUUCUGAAAGGCUUCCUCGCAUUCCGGGGUCCACUCUGUUUUCUUUCCCCUCCUUAUCACUUGAAAGAAUGGUUGACACUUAUCUGUAGCCUUGGAUAUUAAUAGGCUCAAUGCCGCCAAUCUCCCCGUAAGGCUUUGUAUUUCCUUCAGGCUACGAGGAGACCUCAUCUGCACGAUCGCCUGGAUCUUCUCAGGAUUUGCUUCGAUCCCCCGAUGACUCACCAUGAAUCCAAGGAACUUCCCCGACUCGACCCCAAAAGCACAUUUCUCCGGGUUGAGCUUGAUCUUAUACUUCCUCAAAAGCUCGAAUGUCUCCUCGAGGUGUCUGACAUGUUCCUUCGGGAUUUUGGACUUGGUGAUCAUGUCAUCCACGUACACCUCCAUGGUUUUCCCAAUCAACGGCUUAAAGACUUUGUUCACCAGCCUCUGAUAGGUGGCCCCAGCAUUUUUGAGACCAAAUGGCAUUACCCUAUAACAGAACAAACCCUGGUUAGUGAUGAAAGCCGUGCUCUCCUCGUCCUGCUCGUACAUGGGGAUCUGGUUGUAUCCCGAGAACGCGUCCAUGAAGCUAAGCAGAGCGUGUCCAGCCGUUGAAUCUACUAGCUGAUCGAUCUUUGGUAAAGGGAAGCUGUCCUUUGGGCACGCCUUAUUGAGGUCUGUGAAAUCCACACACAUCCUCCACUUCCCAUUCGCUUUCUUUACCAACACCACAUUCGAUAUCCAUUCAGGGUAAUUGACUUCCCGAAUGAACCCUGCUCUCAAGAGCUUCUCCACCUCGCCAUUUAUAGCCUCAUACCUCUCUUGGUUGAAGCACCUCCUCUUCUGCCUUACUGCCCGAGCACCUUUCUUUAUUGCCAGCUUAUGACAUGCUACCUCAGGGUCAAUCCCUGGCAUGUCUUCAUGUGUCCAAGCAAACACAUCUGCAUGAGCCUGUAAGCAUUUCACCAACUCCUGCUUUUGCUCUCCCUUAAGUCUCGACCCGAUUCUGAUUGUCUUUCCCGGAUUCUCUGGUCCCAGGCUUACAGUUUCCAGAUCCUGUACAGGUUCUUGUCUGCCAUUCUUGUUUUCCACUCCGGUAUCGAGGGAUGUUAUCUGCAUUGCUUCCCCUGUUUCCAUCGCUUUUCACUUGCUUUACUCCCCUUCUUGCUAUCAACAGAAGCUUUUUGAUCAGUUCCCCACAGACGGCGCCAAAAUGUUGAUGCGAGAUUCUGGUUCUCCUCGUUCUACGACCAGGCUCUCUGCUCGAUCAACUUCACCACAACCAGGAGGUCUCCUCGUAAGGCUUCUUCUCCAGAGAUUCCUGCGCACACAGACAAGUUAGAGUAAGCCGGUUGUUUUCCCGGCGCAAACCCUCCGACGCUCAAGUCAGAUAUGAAGGUUCAGGGAACGCUUGCCACAGAUCUUAUGGCUUUUUCGUAGUUUGCUCUUCUUUAGAAUUUCUUUAGCUCUCUUCUAAUCUCAAAAUUGCUAACCCUUUUACCUUCGUUGGCUACCUUUUUAUAGGCUUCCUCUGAAUCCCAGUUUUCCGCAGCCUACGUCCGUUAUCCUCCCACCUCUCGAACGUGGAUUCCCCAUUUCCGUAGUCAUGGGUGGUUGUGUGGCCUUCGUGCCUAGAUUCUCGGGCUGGAGAGCAUGCCUCGCCAACUGUCGUUGACCGGGUCUCCUCGAAUCAACCCUUAGCAAGAAUACAGCAGGAAUGACUUUAUGCUUCUUGCAGGAAAUUGACCUCGUGGAUGAUGUGCUUCCUGGAGACUUCCUGGUCGAGGUGACCAAUAACAUCCUAGUCGAGGUCAUGUGCUCGAGGUCACCACAUAUUUUUCUGGUCGAGAUGAUCUGCUCAACCAUUUGCUCACUUUUACUUUGAGGAGAGCACGAUAAUGUAUGAGCAAACACCUUUAUCUUGGUCACCCUAUUUCAUUCCCUAAACAUUUCCUUCUCCAAAGACUUAUAUUUCUUUCUUUUCUUUCUAGGGUUUGUAACGGUGUAGAAAAUAAAAGACGGCUUUUUCUUAAAUACUUGUCAAUUAAUAAAUACUUUUUUUAAAAAAAAAAUUUAAUAACUUACGUAAUUUAUUUAAAGCAAUUUGAUAAAUUUUACUCACACACAAACACUCAAUAAUAAUUAUCCUACUCAAUUUUGAUAAGGGUAAAAGUAGAAAAAUAAAUAAAAGUGGGCGUUACAUGUUUGGCAUAUGUCGAUGACAUUUCUAAAAUUACCCACUCUCAUGUUUGGCUUUUUUGAGAGCCCUCAUCAAUCAACAUAAAAAUUUCACCUCAUACCUUGCAUAAAUACUAAACUAGGGGUUGUGUGCAUAUCUUGUGGACCAAUUAGCAAUAACACAUCCUCUUCACGAAACACCAAUAGAUGUCAUAAUUACUAUCUCUUUCUGUUGAUUUAAAUCUACUUUCCAAAUUUGCUAUAUUCCAACAAUCUCUUUUAAGAUGCUUUGAUUACCUACACUCGUCCAAGGGUUUCUACUAGUGGAAUAGGCCUUACAUUGUUCUUUGCUUUACUUGUAUAGACAUAUUGAAUCAUUACGUUAUUGACUUGAGCUUCCCAUAAGCAAACAUUGAUUAUUCUGUCAAACUUUUUUGUUUCUAUCUUCAUAGGUUUUGAAAACCUCCUUGUUGCCAUAUUUGCUCUACAUUGCAACCUUAGCUCUAUUAUCACCUACUAAGAAAUAAUUAAUCCCACUUAAGAUUCGUAAGAAAAAAUAUCAAAUAAAUAGUAAAUAUAAAAUAGAUAGAGAAUAAAGCCAAUCAAAUAAUACAAAAUUUACAUGAAAAUUUCUAUACUGGAGAAAAAUUAUAAUAGCCAAGGAUGUUAAGAGAAAAAAUUAUUAUGUAAAAAUUAUUAUAAUUACUUUAGUAUUUUUUUAACACCUAAAACGCCAAAAGCACCUAAUCUCUUAAUAGAACUAUCUUUUCUCUUUCAGUAAAAACUAUUUACUUACAGACAACCAAUUAUUAUAUUAUGCAAAUAAGUAAACCUAAUCUCCACAUAUAUAUAUAUAUAUAUAUAUAUAUAUAUAGAUAGAGAGUAGUUUUCCAAUCCAGUAUCCUGGAUUGGAGUUAUAAUCCGGGAGACAAUUUGUAGCCGUCGGAUCAAAUCCAACGGCAACUUAUAUUUUUAUUUCAAAUAUUGAUUCCAACAGUAGGGCCCACAUGCAGACUUUUACAAUUUUUAAUAUUAAAAAGUAAAGCUGCUUUUAAAUAGAGAACUGAUAUUCCCUCCCCGGAUUCUUCAUCACUGACUAAAGGCAAAAAGAACUGAUACUAACAAAUCACCAUUUGGGAUUUCCACUUUUUCAUUAUCCAUUUUAGUACAACUUAAAUCAAGGGGGAAAAAGGAAUAAAACAAGCAGAUGAUUACACAUGCACACUGAGUUCCAUUUUGUCACCAUUUCUUGCCGAUGUUGCCGCCGUAAUUCUUUUUUUUUUUUUGGUUUAUCUCAAACUUUGUAAUUUUAUUAAUAUUGAGAGCAUAAAAAACAACGAGUUCAUGAUCCAUCUGAUUUUAGUAAAUCAAUCAGGUGAGCUUUGCUAUUAACUUUCCUUCACCGGCAACUAUAGAGAAGUGCUGGAGCAGGAUCUCCAGACUCCAGUCAGGCAUCAACAUCCAUCAAAAACUCACAAAACUUUCUCUCUUAAUCGCCUUUACAGACUCUUCGUUUCUCAUUUUUCUCGCUUUCUUCUUCUUCGAAAGCAGCGAGCCCUUCCAAUCCCUUCUUUUGUGGCUCUCCUUUUCCCUCUUCAUCCGCCCCUUCGCCAUCGCUCAACUCACCUGCGGUCACACUGCGUCGGUCACAGCCCAAUCAUUGAAACCCCUCAUAUCCAGAUCCAAAGAUUAAAAGGAAGCCUUAGAAGUCGAUCGUUAAAAUCUCAAAUGGGUCAAUUGGAAUUGAGUAAAAAGAGAAGAAAUUUGAAGUCUUGGAGGAAUCAAAUGGAGAGGAUAUUCAGAUUCUGAAAAGCAGUGAUGAAGAAACCGAUGGGGAAGAUCAGUUCUCUCUCUAAAAAUUUAUCAGGCAACUUUAUUUUUUUAAUAUUAAAAAUUAUAAAAAGUCUGCAUGUGGGCCCUUAUGUUGGAAUCAAUAUUUGAAAUUAAAAUAUAAAGUUGCUACAAAUUGUCUCCCGGAUUAUAACUCCAAUCCAGGAUACUGGAUUGUAAAACUACUCUAUAUAUAUAUAUAUAUAUAUAUGUAUGUAUGUAUGUAUAUAUGUAUAUGUAUGUGGGUAUGUAUGUAGGUAUGUAUGUUCUGAGGUUAAGCUACGAUCAAUUGCCAUCUCGCCUUAAACAAUGUGUUGCUUAUUGUUCAAUCUUUCCCAAGGAUUAUCCAUUUGAUAGUUAUACUUUGGUUCAAUUUUGGAUGGCUCAUGGUCUUCUCCAAUCCCAUAAUAAGAAUGAAGAGUUAGAAGAUAUUGGUAUGCGGUACUUGAAGGAAUUAGUAUCAAGAUUUGACUUUUGAGAUGUUUGGACGGGAGGUGUUGUAUUUCAAAAUGCACGACCUUAUGCAUGAUCUUGCCCUGCUAGUGGCCAAAGAUGAAUUCCUAGUAGUGAACUCUGAUUGUCAAUUUAUUCCCAAAAGAGUCCGCCAUUUGUCAUUUGCUGCUGCUAAUGCAUCAAGAAAUGACUUUUCAAGCCUUUUAUCUGAUCUAGGUCGUGUGAGAACCAUUUUCUUUUCAACUGAUGAUGAUGAGAAGACAAGCCAAUCAUUUGUUGAAUCAUGCAUCUCAAAGUCGCAGUUCCUGAGAGUGCUAAAUUUAAGUGAACCUGCUCUUGAGGUUUGUCCCAGGAAGAUUGGUCAUUUGAAGCACAUGAGGUGUCUUGAUUUGUCGAGAAAUUAUAAAAUCAAGAAACUUCCAAAAUCCAUUUGCGAGCUACAGAGUUUACAAACACUGAAUCUUGAAGGAUGUCUGGAGCUAGAAGAGUUGCCUAAAGACAUAAGGUACCUUGUCAGUCUCAGAUUGUUAGGAAUAACCACAAAACAGAAGUCUUUGCAAGAGAGUGGAAUAAGGAGCUUGGGUUCUCUUCGUUGUUUGUAUAUUGCUGAUUGUAGGGAUUUAGAACAUUUGUUCGAGGAGAUAGAUCAAUUAAGUGUCCUUCGAACAUUAUCAAUUGGUGAUUGUCCUCGUCUAAUCUCAUUGCCACCUGCUAUCAAAUAUCUCAGCUCAUUAGACACUCUGAAUUUGUGGAGGUGUGAAAGCCUUGAUCUUAAUCUGAACGUGGAAAUGGAAGGUGAAGGAAGUCAUCAUGAUCGCAAAAACACAAGGCCUCGCCUUCGGAGGGUUUUGCUCAGGGCAAUAACACAGUUAUUAGAACUGCCACAAUGGCUUCUUCAAGGUUCUACUGAUACUUUACUUAGCUUGGUAAUUAGAGAUUGUCCCAACUUCAUGGCACUGCCAGGGUCUCUAAAAGAUCUCAAAGCUCUUGAAGCUCUUGUCAUUGCAAGAUGUCCAAAAUUGUCAUCGUUGCCGGAGGAUAUGCAUCACGUCACAACUCUGAAAUCAUUGACCAUUGCAGGAUGUCCUGCACUGAGUGAACGAUGCAAACCGCCAACAGGUGAAGAUUGGCCCAAGAUUGCACAUAUCCCUGAGAUUUUACUUGAUGGCGAGAUGAUUAAAUCAAGUGAUUAUUAGGUAUGGAUUUUUUUUUCAAUAAGCAUACCACUCUGUUAUAUUUCCUCUUUUCAUGCAGCUUUCUAAUUUUUAAUUUCUCAUACAGCUAUACCGUUUAUAGUUUAAUGUUUUGUUAUGUUUACCAAACGAAAACUUGACUUUGAACGUUAGUUAGUUCAAUCAAAUUUGUACUAAUUUAUUUUCUUCUAAUACAUAACUAGUUUGUCAGUACAAAACACAAAAAUAAUAUUUUGGAAACCGCACUGUUCUGGGGGUCAGAUCUGUUUCUAAAUUCAAACAGUUCAGGAUUUUUCAAAAUGGAACUUAUAAUGAGAUAUUUUUUUUAAUUAUCUAGUUAUCUUCAUAUGGAAUUUCAAUCUUUGUUAAUACUUUAACUUGCGCGGAAACAUCUAACAAUUCUUCCUCUUAUCCUUUUUUUUUUCCCAAAUAUUGCAGCUUUCUUGGGAGAGGUUCAACCAAACUGCAGGGACAGUGAAAAUAUUACUCUUAACGUUGUUCAGAACAGAGGUUCAACGGUUUUAAUGUUGUGUUUUAAAGUUACAAGUAUUAUAUAUUCGUUACGUGUGGUUAUGUAAUUUGCUGAUAAACAAGUACAUUGAGUGAGGUAUAUGUGUGUGCCUGUGUGGUCAUUACUGAAUUUCUCAGUAAUAUAAUUUGCAUUGACUGCAGAUUUGUGAAGAACAUUGAUGUGUUGUGUAAUGGGAACGGUGGUGUCUGUAUUUUGUGCUUUGUGAUUGACGACUUACAUUUGCCCAGGAAGAAAUGAAAACAAAUCGGCUUCUUGAAAUUAACCAUUUAUUCUUUCGAAUGGUAACCUUUUUGUGACAUGAUUCGCAUAUUAAUCAAAAGCAGUUGGCAAACUAAUUAGAUAUUGCAUCGUGAUUCGUGGCCUUGAAGGGAAAUGAGUGAGCAUGUUUGUGGAGGUUUUUGUUUUUUUCCUCCAUAUAAAAUGACUAAUUCGAAAGAAUAUGUAUUUGUAACGACCCGCUCCGACCUCCACAGGGCGAAUCUUACUGAUAGAUUCUUAAAAUAAAAUAAUAAUAAAUAAGAAUAAUAAUAAUCCUUUUACAAUCCAUAAAAAUCAUAUCCUUGAAAAUACAAAGAUAAAAUGCAAACUGCAGCGGAAGAAUUUAAAAUUCAUGCCAAACCAUCUAAUUCCUCCAUUCAAGUCCUUCUCGUUGCUCAUCACGACUCAAUCCUGAUUUACAAAAACUGAAUCACAAUAAACUAUAAUGAAUACGAAACUCAGUAAGUAAAUCAGCUUUGCAUAUACCAAAAUACAUACAUACAUAUAUAUAGUGCACAUGAAUGACGUACCGUGGUAUUCGAAAACAUUGUAAAACAAAUCAUCGAAAUCUCAUUCUGUCUUUCUCAAACUUUCACUUUCUCUUUCAAACCACUUACUUGAGCUACCUUCAUUCGAUUACCGCUUAGUAAGACACUCUCUUAACUUUCAUAACUUUCAUAGUUCUCACCAAUGUGUCCUUCGCCCACUUAUCUCAUAACUAUAUAAACAUCUAGAGUAUCCUCCACUAAGCCAGUAACGAAUUCAAGCAUCCAAGCUAAAACUGUAAAACAAUCUUUCUUUCGUCAAAUUCCACUUGCUAAAAUCAACUUUCUCAUUUUGCAGAAAUCAUAAUGCAUUUUCAUGCUCAUGCCAAUGAAAUAUUCACACAUACGUAUGCCCAUGUCCAUAAAUACACAUAACAACAUAUCAUACCAACACAUCACAUAAACACAUGGGCAAAACAUAUAAAUCAAUAUCCGGACAUAUACAAAAAUAAACUUUUCAAACAUGUCAAACAUAUAUAUUGUUUAUUGUGAUUCGUUUGGAAAUAUAGUUUACUUACCUCAUGGCAUCCUCGAAUAACAAAUGCACAUCGAUAUCAUCGGCCUAUAAAUAAAUAAAAAUACUCUCAUGAGAAUAAAAUUAAACAAUAAUCAUAAACUCCAAUAUUCUUAAAUUCCUCAAUAUAAUCACAUUCCAUACUAACCUCAAAUAAUUUUAAUUUAAAUAAUAAAUCAUCAAAAUACUCACAAUUCUUGAAAUUACGAAAUUACCCUCAAAUAUCAAAAUUACCAAAAUACCCUUGAAUUCAAUAUUACUAAAAUACCCUCAUAUCAAAAUUACCAAAUUAACCUCAAAAUCAUAAAUUACCAACUUUAUCCUCAAUUUCAGCAAUUAUUAAAACACCCACAAAAUCUGAAAUUACAAAAUUGCCCUUGGACUGUGAAAUUACCGAAAUACCCUUGCCGGUGGACGGUCACCGGAAUUCAACCGACGGCGACGGGAUGGCUCCGGAUCGAGCUCCCAAAAUCGUGAAUCCUCCAACGGCCGAUCAACGGCAAAACGACGUCCCCGGCGUCAGUGGUUAGUCGGAAAUGGCAGAGGGAAAGGUAAGAAACAAAACUCAAGUGAUGGCUUCACCGGAAACCGGCGAAAUCACGGCGAAUCGAGCCGGCGAUUCCGCGGUACUUCAAAGCUUCGAUCGGUGGCUUUCCGAUCGAUUUCCGGCGGCAAGGACGGCAUGGAUACGUUGCUCGUCUCUCAAGCUUCAAAUCGGUACCAACCUUGACCGGAACGGUGGCCGGAAAUGGAAUAACCGGCCGGGUCGCGCUCGCGGGUCGGGUUGGAUCCGGUUCUGUUUCUCCUCUCUCUCUCUUCUCUUCUCUCUUUCCUUUCUCUCUUUCUGUCAAUUUAUAUGGGUGGUCAACAGAGUCAAAACCGGGUGUGGGGUAUUACAGUAUUGUAAUAGAACCUAGAACUUCUAUGUAUUUUAGAAUGAAAAUUCUGUACAAUAGAAAAUAUUAAAACGAAAAUUAAAGUUGAUAUGAGAAAAUUAAAGAAGCUUGGAACUGCAAUCUAGCUCGACCUACUAUAUAUAUAUAUAUAUGUUAUUAAUUAAUUGAUCAGGUAAGAUAGAGAGAGACUCUCGGACUCUUUACAAGGAGCAAAAAUGGUAUGAAACUCUGUUUUGAUUAAAAUUCAAUGACUUUCUUCGUAUUAAUUAAUUAUUUUGGUGAAAUUGAUUCACGGUUUCAAAUGAGGACAUGCCGCGGAUGCGUGCGUGCCGUAUGACAUCGAUGAAAAAGUAAAGAGUUUGAUUUCUCUAUUUUACCCUUAAUUAAUCGUUGACAUCUAAUUUUACACUCCCAACAAAUUUGAAUGAAACAAUCCUAAGUGAUCUGCUCUUCAAUUGCAUUGCCUUUGCUUUAUGUUUCUCUGACAAAAGGGUUUGCUUGUUCUUUACUUUAUCAGCUGAGAAUAUAUUUUACAAGUUUACUUUGAUUUCUGGCUUUAUGGCCUCUGUUUGAUGUGUGUAGUAUUUGACUGUAAUGCGAGUAUUGUGUGUUUUCAGCUUUGUAUGUGAUGCGGUAGAUAGUUGGUGUGCUCGUCAAUGCAAUCAAGGUAUGAUUCGUACGAAGUGAUCUGCUAUCUAUCUUUUGGCAAAUUAAGCGUCGAUGAUUUAUGCUAAUUGAGCCGCUAAAAGUUGUCUUUGUGUGUGAUUGAGUACAUGUUAGUGUGAAUUCUCGUAAUGUUUAUCCAGUCAAAGCAAACGUUCGUCUUUCACAUUGACUAUUAGGCAAGAUGUUUGAUAGUGAAUUAGAUGAUUCAGUUUAUUAUAGUCUUCUUAUAUUGUCGGUUCAAUAUCAUUUUGAAAUAUCGCAUCAACUCCGCUUUUGGAGUUUUAAUCCAUGCCCAGUUGCACCUUUAUUUUACUUUUGAGCUGCAACAUUGAGUCACAUUCUUUUUGCUGUUAUUAUUUCCAUUAGCGACUGGUACAGUGGUUCCUGAACAACAUAGUAUGUCAACUUUCACUCUAAAUGUCUUAGAAACUCUGUAUAUCACUAAUUUCCUAGAACAGGCCUCGUUGACAGUCAAAGAUUUGAGGCAUAUUUCUGGAUUGAAGGCUUUUUUGUAGUCGAUUUGAUGAUAAGCACAUUUAUUAUCUCCAACAUUUUAAGCACUAAUUUGUAACUAGUAUUUUAAACAUGUCAAGAGUCGCUAUAAUCAUUGUGCUUGGAGCCCAUCAGGCCAUCACAGCAGGGAGAGUAAAAAUGAGUUCGUGGGUCCUCUCACUUAUGGACUAAAGCCUAUUCACAAGAAUUCCAGGAACGGCUCAUCGCCGCACGUCCCUGGAGUUUGUACGUGCGGCCGUCCACUUCAGGUUCUUCUUUUAUGUAUAGAAGCUGGACACGUGCUAGCAUCACGACAAGAGCCGUCCAUUUCCACAGCCAUCAAGACAAGUUGGCUAAGGCAACUAGUCAAUAAAUCAACGGUCGGUUAGCGGCAGAGCCCACUGAACUCAUUAAAACUCAACUCUCUAUAUAAUUUAAACAAUUAAUUGGGUCCUCCUAACUUGCAACAGUUGCAUGAUACCCUAAAUUUUGUCAUUUUCUGAUUCAGCCAAUAAAUCUAAUGGCUAAAGUAUUCAACGGUUGAGAUGUAUUCAAUUAGUUAUUAACAUUUAAGUCCUUAUUGUUUAUAUAAAAUUACAAAAGCUAAAAGUUCUUAAAUAUUUAUUUAUAUAACUCUUAUUGUUUUAAAUUUUUUAAAGUUUGAUCCAUUGACCUAACUUAAUCAUAAACAUGAUUGAUGGUGUAAAGAUGAUAAUGUAAUAUCACAUAAAAUUUUUUAAACACAUGAAAAUUUGAUAAAUGUAAAUAAUAUUUCUAGAAUAAAUAAACUGAAUAUGUAUUAAGAAUAUAGGUUAUUGACCUUGCAAUACUUUAGAAAAGUAUAAAAUAAAAAAGGUGAAAUUUCAAAAUAAGAAACAUGUAAAAAGUGUUACGUUGUAAAAUUUUAUCAUUUUAAUAUUACGAAACUUUACUUUUUUUUAAUUACAUUUUUGUUUUUAACAUUAGCUGACAUGCUAGUUUAUUUAAUUAUUUAUACAUACAAUGUGUUAAUUUACCUAUAAAAUACCAAUAUUACUCUUGAAAUUUAAGGAAGCCAUUUUAAUUUUUUAAAAUUUUAAAUGUAGUCCAAUAAAGUUAUAGAAAGAUAAACAAAGAAUAAUAUAAAAGGAAGUUAUUUUUUUAAGAAUAUUUCAAAAGAAUUUGAGUUUUAUGUUUCUUGAGAAUUAUCUUUUUUUUUUAUAGAUGUUUGAGCUUGUAAAUCUUUUUGUAAUGAUAAUUUAUUAUUUAUUAAAAAUAAUUAAAUAGUAAAUUUAUUGAUUUUUAAAUACUCUUUUAAAUGUAGGAUAGCAGCUUAAUUUUUAUUAUGUCAGCCUAAACUUUUUUUAUAAUAGCUAAUCAACUAUCACAAAAGACUCUGCCACGAUUAUGUUUACUUUUUCUAUACCCUUUAGACCAUCAUCACUCAAAAAAUUAAGGAUCUGUUUGGCAUACUAUACUAUAUUAUAUUGUAUUGCAUUAUUUAAUAUAUGUGUAUUGUAUUAUGUUAUAUUACAUUAGUAGUAUAUUAUAAUAAUAUUGUAUAACGUUUGGUAAUUGGUAUUACAUUGUAUUGUAUUAAUUUCAUAUUAAGACUAAACUAACAUUAUUUAAAUUUAUUAUUAAUUAUAUUAAAUUUUUAUUUUUUUAUAUAAUAUAAUAUGAUAUAAUAAAAUAAUAUUAUAGUAUAGUUUAUUUUUAUAUUUUUAUUUAUAAUUUAUUUUUAUUUAUUAUAAUAAAAAUAAAAAUAUAAUUAAAAUAUAUUUAAUGCUCAAUUAAAGCAAAUUAAUAAUAAUAAUAGCAAUAGUAUUAUUUAAAACGAAAAAAUGUAUAAAGUUUAAUAAUGAUGAUGAUGGUGUUGUUGACUACAUUAAUAACAACAUAAUAAUUAAAAUAAUAAAGUUAAUAUAUAGUAAUGACUUAAUUGAACUAAUCAUAACAAUUAAAAUAAUAAAAUUAAUAAAUUUUCAUAAUAAUAAUAAUAAUUAAUGACAGUAAUAAUAAUAAAUUAUAAAUAAAAUCAUAAAUUAACAAAUUUUAAUGAUAACAAUAAUAUUAAUAAUAUUAAUAGUGAUGAUGUUUAUGAUAGUAAUAAUACAUAACAACAAUUAAAAUAAUAAAAUUUAAUAAUAAUAAUAAUAAUAAUAAUGAAAUUAAUAAAUAAUACUAAUAAUAACAGUUAAAAGUUUUUUCAAAAGCCAUUUUAUUAAAAAAAAAAGUUAUAUAUAAAAUUUUGUAACUUCUAAUGUCUAUUCUAUUUUUUCAUAAAAUAUAAGAUAACACAGUGUAAUUUACUAAAAAAAUAAAAUUCAUUGAUAUGCUGCAACAGUUACAACAUAAUUUCACCCCAAUUUUAACAACUAUAAAAAAUUUUCAACGAUAAAAUUGGAGGCUAAGGAAACAAUAAAAAAAUGUGCAGAAAAGUUGUUAAUAAAGAGGAAAAACGAAAGCUCCAUCUCCAACAAUGCCGCGUACAGCGUGGACCGACUUUUGCUGAUCAGACAAGAAAAAUAAGUACCGUGUUCGGCAACACAGAUUGUGGCACGUGGCGUACGUCUCUUGGGCCUGAGUUGUGGUGGACCCAUAUGGGCCGCGUGCUGUUGAAAAUCCAAUAAUAUAUCCGCCAGGACUCUGCUUUCGUCUUAAGACAUCAAAAACGCGGACAGCUGUCCACCUUGUUCAACGCGGUUACUUACAUCAUCAUCGUCGUCAUUAUCAUAUUAAACACAAGCUUACCCCAUUGGUUUUGUCGCCUACAUCAUCAACCCGGUUACUUACAUCAUCAAUCCUUAUCCACUACCGAACCUACCCUUGUCUCAACAUUGGGUUUUUAGCCUACUGGCUACUAAACUCUAAAGCAGGGCAAUUUUGGAAUGAAAUUAAGCUAGAGCAGAUGAUUAACGUGACCGCAUUAGCUACAAUAAAGUAGUUUUAAUUUUGGUUGGUGAAUACUCGAUCUAACCUCAGUUCUUAGAGAUCACUACAAACUGAGUGGGGAGAUACACUCAAAAAAGUCCCAUUUCAGUACAUAUACAAGAGCCCUCAUUUUUCUUUGCUUCAGCCAUUUUAUAGCAGUGUCAUCACAGACACCUCAAGCUCUGCCGAAUCAUCAUAGACAGUUUGUAAUUGGUGGGAGUAUUACAAGAAAGGUACGGCUACUUCAAACUAAUAGAUUUGUUUAUAUGAUUCAGCUAUAGUUUUUACUUUUAUAUAUGGUCAAGUUAUAACAGUAAUCAAGAGAUAAUCAUGUCCAUCAUAAUUUACAUAAAUGUACAUACUAAUUUAUUCCUCUACUUGCCAAAACCAUACAUAUAAAAUGAGAUAAAUUUUAAGGUUUAAUCUUAGGGUUGGCACAACAAUCCGGAAGAUCCAAAUCUGGAAAAAUUUGGAUCUGUAUGUUAAAAAAUACGAAUCCAGAUCUUAAAAAUCACAAUCCGUGCGGAUCCGGAUGUAAGUGCAUCUGGAAAACCGAAUAUCUGGAUUCACAAUUUUUUAUAAUUAAAUUUCAAUUGAAAAAUAUAUAAAUUAAAUUAUUUAUUUAAAUGUAUAAGCAUAAUUAACUCUCUAAUCUUCAUUAACUUUAAAAAAUAUGUUAAUAAACUAAUAAUAAUAAUAAUAAUAAUUAGAGAAUAUUGUAAUAAAUCGGUUUACCUUACAUUUUUUUAUUUUUUUAUGUUUGAUUUAUAUUGUGAAAUUAUUGUUUGUGAAUUUAUGGUGUUGUUGUAUGUUAUUUAUGUUGAAUUGAAGUUAAAUUGUUGAUUAUUAAAUUAUAAUUGAAUUUUAUUUAAUAUUAUUAUGUAAAUUAUUAAAUUUAAAAUUAUAUUUAAAUUUAUUAUUAUGCGGAUCUGGAUAUCCGGAAUAUCCGCCUGCAAUCCGUGCGGAUGUUAUCCGCAUCCGGAUCCGUAUUUUUUUUUGCAGAUCCGGAUGUCAAAAGUUCUUUUGACAUCUGGAUCCAGAUCCAAAUUUUGCCAUCCCUAGUUUAAAACUUUGUAAUUCGUUAAAAAUCUUGUGGGAUAUUAAUCGGUAAAAUCACUUAGGGAUAGUACAAGAGGUUUAUGAUUCCUCAACUCAUUUAUGUGGGUGGAGAGAGAAUCAAGUGUUUUUUUUUAAAAUAAAGUAUAAUUAAUAAUUAAUAAUCAAAUUAAUAUAAAUAAAUAAAUUGUAAGGGGGAUCGUAAAAGUUUUGUAUGUAACAUAUCGGUAGUGGAAAGAAAUUUUUUUGGAGAGGACAUUUGGCUUGGAACAUAUAUUACAAUACUCUCUUCAUCCACUUCUCAAUAAAAUAUUUUAUUACAAAAUUUUCCUUAAUUAAAUUAUUGUUUUAGCCAUAUAUUAUGUUCGUUUAUCUCCCUAAAGUUUUUAUUCUUUCACCAUUUUUUCUCUUUUCCUCUGUGUCUCCCCAAUUUUUUUCCAGUCCUAUGGGGUUCUUACUAAAGCUUCUAUUGAGUAAAAUCUCUAUUAAAAUUGCUUAUAAAAAAAAAAAGAAAAAAAGAAUGGGUCUCUUUUAAAAUUUGACUUUUCUUUCUUUACCCUUAAGUUACUAUUAGGGCAGUGUUUACUUUCUGGAGUGUGAGUGUGGAGUGUGAAUUCCUCCCACUCCAGUGUUUACUUACCUUAAAAAAGGGGGAAGUGGGAGUAGGAAUCUGUGGAUCCCACCCAAUUUUAGAGUGGGGAGUGGGAUUCCCACUCCCAUGGGGGAGGUGGGAGUGGGAAUCUACUCCCCCCUCUUCCCAUUUUAUCCUUAUAAUUAAAAUAAAUAAAUAAUAUUUAAUAAAAUAAAAAUGAAUAAAUAUUAUAUUUAAAUUAAUAAUAUUAAACAUUAAUUUUAAUAAAUAUUAAUUAUUUAUUUAAUUAAUAAUAAUAAAUAUUUUACCGUAAAAAAUAUUAAUUUUGUACUAUAUUAUCAAUAAUAAUAUUUCAUUUGUGUUGCUAUUAUUAAUAAUUUUUAUUCACAUAAUUUAAAUUAAAAUUAAUAAAAAAUUAUGAUUUACAUAAUUAAGAAUAUUAGUAAUUAUUAUUAAUUUAUAAAUAUAAUAAAAUAUUUAUUUUAUUUUCCAAAUAUAUUUUUUAUUAAUUUUUUAAUUACAAAUUAUAAUUCUGUACAUAAGGAUAAAAUUGUAAUUUAAAAGAAUUUACUCCCAAUCCAAGACAAAGUAAACAAAUAAUUGGGAUUCUGAUUCACAAUCCAUACUUUCAUUUAGUCUAAGUAAACACCCUACUCCCACUCCCACUCCCACUCCACACUCCUAAUCCAAGGAUUCCCACUCCUCAGGAUUCCUACUCCAAUCCAAAAAUAAACGCAGCAUAGAUGUAUAAUCUCACGAUGAGAGUAGUAAUUGGAUUUCCAUUAAAAAUUUUAACUUCAAAAAAUCAGAAGAUCACCAUACAAAUAUCAAAAGAUCACUAACUUAAUUAUACUGGUAAUAAUUAAGAUAAGUAAAAGACCUACUAUUUCUGUUUGAUGUUAUUAUGAUAAAGAAAGGAAAAAAAAAAAGAAAUAGCAAGUCGCUGCAAUUGCAACAAUUGAGGAUAUGCUAAUAAAAGUGUUACAGAGAUAGAUUUAAUUGAUAAAAAUAAGAUUUUAAUAAAAAGUAGUGAGAGAAACAAUUAAUAAAAACUAAUGAUAUUUAUUAAGGGUAUAUUAUGAAUAUUUGUGGCCUUUUUUGAGGUAACUAAAUAAAUUUUAAGUUGUGAUAAUGUGUUUAUUACAUAAGUGGAUUUAUUCAGUAUUCUAGUGGAUUUAAAUAGUUUCAACUCUCAUAUUAUAAUAAAUUUUUAUAUUGCUACAAUUGCCCUAAUAUAGUGGACAAUAUUAUAUUGUACGCAUAAGAAUACUCUAGCACCCAAUUAAAAUUUUUAGUAAAACUUAUAAGAACUCUAAAUGUAAAGAGAAUUUCGUCAAGGUAUUGCAGUAGUAUUUAAUGCUCUUGGCUAGUGUAAACUAUUGUGCCACACGUAGUAUUUCGAUCCUGACAAGUGCAUUACAAAUAAUGACUCUUAUUUCAGGUCUUUUAGGUACUUUAGAGAUAUAUUAGCUCUGGAGCUAGUAUUAGGUCAUCACGUGCUUCUUUUAAUGAAAGAUGUGGUUCAUUUUUCCCUACACCAGAGCAUUUUCUAUGGAAUAACAUUGUCAAAUGCUCAUUUACCAAGGUCACGUGUGGUGUUGUCAGUAUGAUAUGCUAGCCCACAUGCACUUAUGGAAAAUCAAAUGAGAAAAAUGAAUUAAAAAAAUACAAAAGCUAAUUAAUAAUGUUCGAGUUUGAGAUGAAGAAUAUUUAAUUUUAUGGAUAUAAAGAUAAGAAAGAUUUAAUGAGAACUAUCCUAAUAUUAAAAUACUAUUUAAAAUAAAUUCUAUUUGAUGUAAUAGUAUGUCUCAUAAUAAGACUCGUAGUGGUCAAAUCAACUUAUUUUGAUAAGAUCCAUCCAAUUUAAUAUUUAAAAAAUUUAACGUCAUGUUAUACAACACACAACUUUGACAUUUGAUAGAAAAUGAUUGGUUGGCACAUCAUGGCUUACAUGAAUAUUUCUCAUAUUUGAAUCUUUUGUUAGAGAAUUUUAAUCUUAUCCAAGAUCUUGUGAGUAAAAAUAUCAAAUAAAUAAAAAAUAGAUAUAGAAUAAAAUUAAUCUUAAAACACAAGAAUUUACAUGAAAGCUCCUAUAAUAGAGAAAAAUCACCGUUGCUAACGACAAUGAGAGAAAAACCCAAUAUGUAAAAAUUAUUACUAUCAUUCUAGUGUCUUUUUUCUCAUGCAGAAUCAUAAUAACAAUCAAUCUCACAAAACCUAGUAUUUUUCUCACAUUAAAAACUGUCUAUUUGUAGAGAACUGAUUGUUAUGUUAUGCAAACAAGUGAAUUCAAUCUCCUUAUAUAUAGUGAUUAUUUCUUAUAAAAGAAUCAUUUCUUUCCUUAUAUAAGUUGUGUUUCUCCUUGAAUGAGUUCUUUAGAAUUACUUAUUCCUAAAACACAAACCCCCAAUAAGAAAUCUACUAAAUAAAAGAAUUUUAGAAAAAAUCCUAAAUUAGGAUUUACUAAUCCUCAUGGAAAAAAGAGACAUAUUUCUUAAAAAUCUUCACCUUGGCAAGUUUUUUAAUUAAGUAAUAAAACAUGAUCCACUAUGUAUUGAUAAAACUAUAUCGUCUCCAUCCUUUUUACUCCACCAAAACCACACUCACAUAGGGCUUAUGAGAAGCACUCCACUAUGGUAAAAUCUUGUCUUCUAUCCAACAACCAUAAUUCUCUACACCGAGAAUCAUCGUAUUCUACCUUAUCUAGUGUACACAGAUUCGGGACAUGUUAACCACCUUUAUGAAAAUAUCCACUCUCAUGUUUGGCUUCCUUGAGAGUCCUCAACAAUCAACAUAAAAAGUCCACCAUACACUUUGCAUAAAUGCUAAAUCACGGCUUGUAUGCAAAUUCUGUGGACCUGUUAGUAGUAACACAUCUUUUUCCAUGGCAUACCAAAGAUGAUAAUCCAGUCUCUCAUGGAAAAAAUAGACACACCAAUAAAUGACAUUAUCAGUAUCUCCUAUUGAUUUGAAGCUACUUGCUAAAUAUGCUAUAUUCUAAAUUCUUUUUAAGGUGUUUUGAUUGUCUACACUCCUUCAGGGGAUUUCUACUAUCGGAAUAUGGUUUACAUUGCUCUUGCUUUCCUUGUAUAACCAAAUUGAAUCAAUAUAUUAUUGGCUUGAACUUGCCACAAGCCAAAAUUGAUUAUUUCGUCAAACUUUUCUAUUUCUAUCUUCACAAGUUUUGAAAAUCUUGUUGUUGACAUAUUUUCUCUACAUUACAGCUUUAACUAUGUUAACACUUCCUGGUAAAUAAUUAAUCCCACCUAAGAUUUUCUAAGCAAAAAUAUCAAAUAAAAAGUAAAUAAAAAAAUUGGAGGGUAAAACUAAUCAAACAACACAAGAAUUUAUGUGGAAAACUCUUAUACUGGAGAAAAAUCAUAGCUGCCAAGGACGAUGAGAGAAAAAUCUAUUAUGUAAAAAUUAUUGCAAUUAUUCUAGUAUUUUCUCACACCUAAAAACCUAAAAGCAUCUAAUCUCUCAAUAAAACUAUUGUUUCUUAUAGUAUAAACUAUCUGCUUGCGAAAAAUUGAUUGUUAUUUUAUGCAAACAAGUAACCCAACCUCCCUAUAUAUAGUGAUUUUUUCUUAUAGGAGAUUUAUUCUUUUCCUUACAUAAUUUGUAUUCCUCCUUAAAUAAGCUAAGUUCCAAAGAAAAUUUCUUAUUUUUUAAAUAGAAAUCAUACUGAAUAAGAAAAUUAUUAAAUAAGAAAAGUCUAAAAAAUAUCUUAAUUUAGGAUUUACAAAUUUUCUUUGAAAAAGGAGACAUAUUCCCUAAUAUCUCAAAUCCUCCUUGCCAAUCUCAUUUGUCAGUCAUUACUAACGAACUAGCCUAGUUGAAACUUUUAAAUUGAUGGGUCGUAAUUGUCAAUAUUUGAAUAAAACAAAUUUUCAUGGAUAUAUUGGUAGAUUGAAUGACAAUUGGCAACAUAUGAUUUAAUUAACUACUUCCCAAAAAAGUAAAAGAAGAAGAAGAAGAAGAAGAAGAUAGAUACCGUGGAUGAACAUAACACUCUUGUGCCAACUUAUGGAAUUCGUCAAUAAUGCAUGGGCAAAUCCACCUCAUGCUUAGUGGGGUUCAAACCCUCCCUAAAUAAUGAGAAAAAUAUUUGAAUUACUAAUUACUCUUUAUUAGGUCUAUUCAAACUUUAACUUUGAGAAUUAUAAAUGUCUACACUUUAAUUAAAACAACACAAGCCGACAUGUUUGUAUUUAAAAUUUUGGUUUGAAUUUAUUCAAGAGCAACAAGAAAGAUACCUAAGUUGCAGUUCAGAAAGAUACCUAUAAAAUUGUAAACCACUCUAUAUUAUUUACAAUUUAUUCAUAAGUAUUAUGAAAUUUAUAGUGCAUUCACUAAAUAAGAAUCAAAAUUAGCUGGAAACAUAAUGAGUUAGAAUCGAAAUAGCUAUAAUCAAAAUUAAGAAUUGAAAUUAAAAUAAUUUAUUUACUUAAACUGCAUGAUUCGUAAUUAGAAUGAGCUGUAGUAUUUAUAUGUUUACUUUGUCUUAGAAUCAAAAUCAGAAUGAGUUAAAUUGUAACAAAUUAAUAUAAAAUUCUUAAUUAAUUUUUAUCAUUAUUAUUAUCUUGUAUUUUAAAUAUUAUUAUUAUUAUUAUUCAAAAAUUAAUUAUUUAUAAUAAUUAUCGUUAAUUAUUAUUAUUAACAAUUUAACAAAAUAAUAAUUAUUAAUUAUUGUUAUAGAUUAAUUAAUUAUAAUACUUUUUAUUCUUGUUAAUAAAUAUAAUCUAUUUAAAAAUUAUAAUUAUAUUUAUAGUUAUAAUAAAAUAACUACUAUAAUUAUAAUUAUAAUUCAUUUAAUAAUAAUGAUAUUUUUUAAUUAAACAGAUGAUAUUUUGGGAAUUUAAAAUUAUAGGAAAAAUUACUUAUUUCUUAAAUAUGAAUUAUCUUCAAUAAGAAAACUGAAAGGUGUAGAAAAUUCCUAAUUUAAGACUUAAAAAUCUUCUUUGAAAAAAGAGACAUCUCCCAAUAUUCUCAAAUCCUCCGUACAAUGCCACCAAUCUCUUUUGUGACUAGCCCAGUUGAAACUUUUAAUGGAUGGGCUGUAAUUGCCAAUAUUCAAAUAAAAAAAGAAAAGAAAAAAAAAGAACUUACAUGCAAAAAAAAAGAAAAAAAAAAAGAUACAAUGGAUGAACAUAAGACUCUUGUGCCAACUCAUGGAAUUCAUCAAUAAGGCCUUGGCUGAUCCACCUCAUGACUAGUAGAGUUCAAACCCCCGCUAAAUAGUAAAAAAAUAUUUGGAUUAUUAAUUACUCUUUCUUAAGUCUAUUUAAACUUAACUUUGAGAAUUAUGAACGUCUACACUUUAAUUAAAACAAUACAAGCCCACCCGUUUGUAUUUAAAAUUUUGUUUGAAUUUAUUGACGAGCAACAAGAAUAGUAUAAAUGAAAAAAAAACCAUCAAAUAAUAACCCAUGACUCUGUUUCUUCAAUUCAGGAGCAAUGGUGGAAUCAUAUUUUCCGAUUGAAAAACUUUUGGAAAAAUUAGGGAGCUCUGCUUAUAAAGAACUUUUAUUGUUCUGCGGUGUCAAAAAUGACUUACAAAAGUUAGAGGAGACGUUAACCACUGUCAAAAGUGUGGUUUUGGAUGCUGAGGAAAAGCAAAUCCAUAAUCGCCGGUUAAGCGAUUGGCUGGGAAAGCUUAAGGAUGCUUGUUAUGAUGCAGAAGAUGUGUUGGAUGAAUUUGAGGUGGAAAAUCUACGAAGGCAAGUCAUGAAGCAAAGAAGCAUCGGAAGAAAGUUUCGUAACUUUUUUGGAAGCUCAAAUCCGAUAGCUUUUCGUUUUAGAAUGGGUCAUCAAAUCAAGAAAAUGCGAGAGAGGUUUGAUGAGAUUGCAAACUUGAGGGGUGAGUUUAAUCUCAUUGAACGACUUGACGAUCAUCGGCGAGUUGUUCACAAAGAAAGGGAACCCACUCACUCGUUUGUGCUUUCAUCAGAUAUUAUUGGAAGAGAUAAAGAUAGAGAAAAGAUUAUUGAAGCUCUAAUGCAAACAAGUUCUGGCGAAAGUGAAACUGUGUCUGUUCUUCUUAUCGUGGGACUUGGAGGUUUGGGCAAAACUGCACUUGCAAAAUUGGUGUACAAUGAUCAAAGGGUAGAAGAGCAUUUUGAGUUGAAAAUCUGGAUAUGUGUUCCUGAGCAUUUUGGUGAGAGACAAAUUAUGACAAAGAUUAUCAAGUCGAUAACUGGUCAAAACCAAGGUGACUUGGAUACAGACCAAUUGCAACGAACCUUGCGAGAUCGUUUGAAUGGUAAGAGAUACUUGCUUGUUAUGGAUGAUGUAUGGAACGAAGAUCCUGAAGCAUGGCGUGAAUUAAAAAGCUUAUUGUUGGGAGGUGCUAACGGAAGCAAAAUUUUGGCAACUACACGUAGCAGGAAGGUUGCUUCAAUCAUGGGCAGGAGGGGAGGUACUACUGGCUACAAUUUACAAGGUCUACCAUUCGAGGAUUGCUUGUCUUUGCUUAUGAAAUGUGCAUUUAAAGAAGAGCGAGAUAAACAUCCAAACCUCAUAAAAAUCGGGGAGGAAAUUGUGAAAAAAUGUGGAGGAAUUCCUCUGGCAGUCAGAUCACUAGGAAGUGUACUAUAUGACUCAACAGAUGAACAUUUUUGGGAAUAUGUGAGGGAUAAUGAGAUAUGGCAGUUAGAGCAAAAGGAAAGUGGCAUUUUACCUGCUCUGAGGUUAAGCUACGAUCAAUUGCCACCUCACCUUAAACAAUGCUUUGCUUAUUGUUCAUUCUUUCCCAAGGAUUAUCAAUUUGAUAGUCAUUAUUUGGUUCUAUUUUGGAUGGCUCAUGGUCUUCUCCAAUCGCAUAAUAAGAAAGAAGAUUUAGAAGAUAUUGGUAAGCGGUACUUGAAGGAAUUAGUAUCAAGAUCUUUCUUCCAAGAUUUGAAUUUUGAGACGUUUGGACGGGAGGUGUUGUAUUUCAAAAUGCACGACCUUAUGCAUGAUCUUGCCCUGCUAGUGGCCAAAGAUGAAUCCCUAGUAGUGAACUCUGAUUGUCAAUCUAUUCCCAAAAGAGUCCGCCAUUUGUCAUUUGCUGCUGCUAAUGCAUCAAGAAAUGACUUUUCAAGCCUUUUGUCUGAUCUAGGUCGUGUGAGAACCAUUUUAUUUUCAACUGAUGAUGGGAAGACAAGCCAAUCAUUUGUUGAAUCAUGCAUCUCAAAGUCGCAGUUCCUGAGAGUGCUAAAUUUAAGUGAAUCUGCUCUUGAGGUUUGUCCCAGGAAGAUGGGAAAUUUGAAGCACAUGAGGUGUCUUGAUCUGUCGAGAAAUUAUAAAAUCAAGAAACUUCCAAAAUCCAUUUGCGAGCUACAGAGUUUACAAGCACUGAUUCUUGAAGGAUGUCUGGAGCUAGAAGAGUUGCCUAAAGACAUAAGGUACCUUGUCAGUCUCAGAGUGUUUGCGCUAACCAUAAAACAGAAGUCUUUGCAAGAGAGUGGAAUAAGGAGCUUGGGUUCUCUUCGUUGUUUGACAAUUUGUGAUUGUAGGGAUUUAGAACAUUUGUUCGAGGAGAUAGAUCAAUUAAGUGUCCUUCGAACAUUGUCAAUUGCUCGUUGUCCUCGUCUAAUCUCAUUGCCACCUGCUAUCAAAUAUCUCAGCUCAUUAGAGACUCUGAUUUUGUGGAUGUGUAAAAGCCUUGAUCUUAAUCUGAACGUGGAAAUGGAAGGUGAAGGAAGUCAUCAUGAUCGCAAAAACACAAGGCCUCACCUUCGGAGGGUUAUCAUCAGGGGAAUAACACAGUUAUUAGAACUGCCACAAUGGCUUCUUCAAUGUUGUACUGAUACUUUACAGAGCUUGGUUAUUCUUGAUUGUCCCAACUUCAUGGCACUACCAAGGUCUCUAAAAGGCCUCGAAGCUCUUGAAACUCUUGCCAUUAAAGAAUGUCCAAAAUUGUCAUCGUUGCCGGAGGAUAUGCAUCACGUCACAACUCUGAAAUCAUUGCUCAUUGAAGGAUGUCCUGCGCUGAGUGAACGAUGCAAACCGCCAACAGGUGAAGAUUGGCCCAAGAUUGCACAUAUCCGUCAGGUUCAUCUUGAUGGCGAGAUGAUUAAAUCAAGCGAUAAUUAGGUAUGGAUUUUUUUUUCAAUAAGCAUACCACUCUGUUAUAUUUCCUCUUUUCAUGCAGCUUUCUAAUUUUUAAUUUCUCAUACAGCUAUACCGUUUCUAGUUUAAUGUUUUGUUAUGUUUACCAAACGAAAACUUGACUUUGAACGUUAGUUAGUUCAAUCAAAUUUGUACUAAUUUAUUUUCUUCUAAUACAUAAUUAGUUAGUCAGUACGAAACACAAAAAUAAUAUUUUGGAAACCGCACUGUUCUAGGGGUCAGACCUGUUUCUAAAUUCAAACAGUUCAGGAUUUUUCAAAAUGGAGGGACAGUGAAUAUUGCAGCUUUCUUGGGAGAGGUUCAACCAAACUGCAGGGACAGUGAAAAUAUUACUCUAACGUUGUUCAGAAUAGAGCUUCAACGGUUUUAAUGUUGUGUUUUAAAGUUACAAGUAUUAUAUAUUCGUUACGUGUGGUUAUGUAAUUUGCUGAUAUAUAAGUACAUUGAGUGAGGUAUAUGUGUGUGCCUGUGUGGUCAUUACUGAAUUUCUCAGUAAUAUAAUUUGCAUUGACUGCAGAUUUGUGUAAUGGGAACGGUGGUGUCUGUAUUUUGUGCUUUGUGAUUGAUGACUUACAUUUGCCCAGGAAGAAAUGAAAACAAAUCGGCUUCUUGAAAUUAACCAUUUAUUCUUUCGAAUGGUAACCUUUUUGUGACAUGAUUCGCAUAUUAAUCAAAAGCAGUUGGCAAACUAAUUAGAUAUUGCAUCGUGAUUCGUGGCCUUGAAGUGAAAUGAGUGAGCAUGUUUGUGGAGGUUUUUGUUUUUUGUUUUUUUUUCCUCCAUAUAAAAUGACUAAUUCGAAAGAAUAUGUAUUGUAAUAGAACCUUGAACUUCUAUGUAUUUUAGGAUGAAAAUUCUGGACAAUAGAAAAUAUUAAAACGAAAAUUAAAGAAGCUUGCAACUUGGAACUGCAAUCUAGCUCGACCUACAAUAUAUAUAUAUAUAUAUAUAUAUAUGUUAUUAAUUAAUUGAUCAGGUAAGAUAGGGAGAGACUCGCGGACUCUUUACAAGGAGCAAAAAUGGUAUGAAACUCUGUUUUGAUUAAAAUUCAAUGACUUUCUUCGUAUUAAUCAAAUUAAUUAAUUAAUUAUUUUGGUAAAAAGAAUUUGCCAAUUGUGUGGCGGUCUUCAGACCCUUGACGGUGGUGAAAUUGAUUCACGGUUUCAAAUGAAAGACAUGCAGCGGAUGCGAACGUGCCGUAUGACAUCGAUGAAAAAGUAAAGAGUUUGAUUUCUCUAUUUUACCCUUAAUUAAUCGUUGACAUCUAAUUUUACACUCCCAACAAAUUUGAAUGAAACAAUCCUAACGUUCACUUUCUUCUUCGAUUUCAUUUUACGACUUAACAAAAACGAGAUGCUCCUGAUGAGGGGAAGGAGAAGAAGACACAGUGAGUUCGCAAGAACGUGUACAGAGGAAUAAGGCAGAGGCCAUGGGAGAAAUGGGCAGCUGAAAUUAGAGACCCUUACAAGGGCGUCCGCGUUUGGCUCGGCACAGCCGAAAAUGCUGCAAGAGUUUAUGCUGACGUCGCCAAGAAUAUCCGUGGCAACAAGGCCUAGCUCGACUUUGCUCACCGGCCGCCAGUAACUCCACCUCCAGGUAAGAAACGCUUCGUGCUAUCCCGUGAGUUGACUCAGCCGAGUUUCGGAGAUUACUUUUUUUUUUGGUUUUCAUUGAUUUCUUUUCCUGCUCUUAUCUACGAGGUUGUGCUCUCCCUUGGAUGCCCUUUAAUAAACAGCUUUCCUAAUAACAACUGAAGCGAAAAGUCAUUUUAUCAAAUGAUUUGGUGAAAUUUCAAGUACUUUCAUCUUGGUUUUUGCAGUUAAUAGGAAAUAGUUUGGUGUUGGGAUGUGGUAUAUGUAUCAAGUUCUUAUUGCUGGUGAACAUUACUGGUUUAGUGUGCGAUCGUUUACUAUCACUGCAUGCAUUAUCAGUUUAUUUUAUUGAACUAUCCCAAAUCAGUAACGAAUCCUCAAUUCCCUCUGUUUUCUUUGGAUCCUAGUAGUGUUUGGCAUGCAUCAACUAGUGUUCAUGCAUGUGUCGGUUCAUCAUAGACAACUUCAGCACACAUACAACAGCCCUCAUUUCUCCUUGCUCCAACCAAUCGAUGGCAGAAUCAUCACAGACACCUUGAGCUCUGUCGAAUCAUCAUAGACAAUUUGUGAUUAGUGGGAGCAUUACAAGAAAGUUACGACUACUUCAAACUGUUAGAUUUGUUAAUAUGAUUCGGCUAUAGUUCUAUAUAUGGUUAAGUUAUAACAGUAAUCAAGAGAUAAUCAUGUACAUCAGUAGUUAAAUAAAUGCAUACUAAUCUAUACCUCUACUUGCCGGAAUCCUAUAUGUAAAACAAGAUAAAUUUUAAUGUUUAAAACUUUGUAAUUCAUUAAAAAAUUAUUCGUCUACCUUUACAUUCCAAAUAUAAUUGGUGAGUUUUUGUGGGUCUGUUUGAUAUUUUAUGAUUACUAACUUCAUGGGUUUGAUGGAAUUUUUCAUUUUUAUGUUGUGAAUGUUUAGGGGAUGCGAGAGUGCUCUUCAAUUGCAUUGCCUUUGCUUUAUGUUUCUCUGACAAAAGUGUUUGCUUGUUCUUUACUUUAUCAGCUGAGAAUAUAUUUUACAAGUUUACGUUGAUUUCUGGCUUUAUGGCCUCUGUUUGAUGUGUGUAGUAUUUGACUGUAAUGCGAGUAUUGUGUGUUUUCAGCUUUGUAUGUGAUGCGGUAGAUAGUUAGUGUGCUCUUAAAUUCAAUCAAGGUAUGAUUCGUAUGAAGUGAUCUGCUAUCUAUCUUUUGGCAAAUUAAGCAUCGAUGAUUUAUGCUAAUUGAGCCGCUAAAAGUUGUCUUUGUGUGUGAUUGAGUACAUGUUAGUGUGAAUUCUCGUAAUGUUUAUCCAGUCAAAGCAAACGUUCGUCUUUCACAUUGACUAUUAGGCAAGAUGUUUGAUAGUGAAUUAGAUGAUUCAGUUUAUUAUAGUCUUCUUAUAUUGUCGGUUCAAUAUCAUUUUGAAAAAUCAUAUCAAAACUGCUUUUGGAGUUUUAAUCCAGCGCAGUUACACCUAUAUUGUACUUUUGAUCUGCAACCUUGAGUCACUGUCAUUUUGCUGUUAGUAUUUCGAUUAGCAACUUGUACAGUGGUAUUUGAACUGCAUGGUAUGUCAACUUUCACUCUAUGUGUCUUAGAAACUCUGUAUAUCACUAAUUUCCUAGCACAGGCCUUGUUGACAGUCAAAGAUUUGAGGCAUAUUUCUGUAUUGAAGGCUUUUCUGUCGUCAAUUUGAUGAUGAGCGCAUGUAUUAUCCCCAAUAUUUUGAGCAGGAACUUGUAACUAGUAAUAACCAGUACCUAAGAUGUUGCAUUUGAUUGACUUCUCUUUCUCGUUUAGUUUCAGCCGUUGGAGCUGUUUCAGACAUGGUAACUGAUACGUAAUUUCUCUCUUUCCACCCCACAAUGUGUCAUUAGUCAUCAUUCGUUCUGGUUGGCGUGGAUACGCAUACUAAUUUGGAUUAUUGUCUGUGCCUUCGUCUUUUGUCAAUAAUCUUUUGCAUUUCAGGAUUAGUACAUCUUGUAUACUGGUAAUACUCUCUCAACUAUACAUGUAAGACUUUGUUAUGUUUUCUUGACCCGUAAUCUAAUGCUAUAAGAUGACGGCAUAAUUGAGCUAUUUUGCAUCUCCAUGCAGGCCUGAUUUGGUUUUUGUGUCACUACCUGCAUUAGAUAUUGGUAGUCAACGGCUGCAGAUGUACAGGUGCCGUUUCGUUUCCCUGACGUAAUCUCAUGUAACAUGAAAUUGCUUGUGAAACUGGAAGAUAUUUGAUUCUUUUUGUUUUUUCAUUUUUGCUAAAGAAAAGUGUUACUUGCGUUGGGAAAUAUGCCUACCACUCUGGAUCUCCGUUGCAGUACAUUCUUGAGAGGAAAAUCUAGCCAUAAAAUGUAAAAGACAACACAAAUUGGCUUUUCAAAGCCUAUUAUGGGAACCAGAUGUUUAUGGGUUAUAGUUGUGUGGCAUGUGAGGUAAUUGUAGCUUUCCGUGUUAUUAUCCAUAUCAGGAUUUGCAAAUGUUAUCAGUGCUUUUUACCUGCAGCUUCUUUACCUAAUCAUAUUUCUUAUUGCGGAGACGCAGAGUGAAAGUUUGGUGGAUGUAGGAUCUCAUUUUCCUACUAUUAGAUUGUUCUGCAUAUAGAAAGAUUUCCCCUGUUUCUCGCUUUGCAAACAAUCUCUUCUUUCAGGUUGUGGUGAGUGCUGUGCGACAGGGCUCGCCUAUUUCCUUCCUAGUUGCAUUGAGUUUAUUCGGAUGGGCAAUCAAGCAAACGAUCAAUGUCAUACAGGUAACUUGCACUCCAUAUGAUCGUAAUGUUCGUUUAUUCUGAUACUUCUUCACAGUAAGUAAAUUUCUUGAUGUCUACAAAUUAAGGAGACUUUUGUAUGGGUAAAGUUGACAUUUUACAAUGGCAUUCUGGAUCCUGAAAUCGGUCAGUUUGAGAUUCACAUGCUGUGAUAUGCUCUAAUGUUAAAACUCAAACCUUUUCUGUAUCUUAAAUGGAUUGUCGUGGAUAUGCCUGGGAUGAUCAUUUUCUUCCUCUUCACUUCAUCAUCUUUGUCAUAGUAGUUAUAAUUGAUUGAGGAGUGUGAAAACGCAUUGUGAUGAAUGAAUGCACAAGCUGUGUGAUUAAGACUGCAUUUAUUAGGUUGGUGACGGCAAAUAUCAGGCAGGAUAUUCACAAUAGUGCUACUGAAGCUUUAUAUGGAAUAAGGAGACCAAACCUCUAUAUGAUAAGAGUUGUAUGAAUACCAAAUGAAUUGUAAGAGGAUAUGGUUAAUUUAGAUUGUAAUUUAAGAAAGCUUGAGUUCUAAGAGCACAGAAAUGGGAUCAGUCUUGCUCAAGUGUGAACUCCAUCAGUUAGGAAGCUGUCCAUCAAAUGGAAAUAUUUACGUGAUUCAGAGAAAUUUUGGACUUUUGAUGAAAACAAAAAUCCUGUAUGCAUUUGCUUGCUCCCAAUCCUGUAUGCAUUUGCUUGCCCCGAAGGAGCUGAAAGUUCUCAAAUUGUUUGUAGACGUCAUAGUUCUCCUGAUGUCAUUUGGCUUGGUAAUCUUUUUUGCUCGAAAAUUUGCCCAUUGUGUGGUCUUGACGGUGGGUGCAAUUGAUUUGUGGUUUCAGAUGAAGACAGCAGCAGAUGUGUGUGUGCUAUAGGACAUCGAGAAAAAGCAAAGGCCUGAAAGAGUUCAUCAACAUUUUCCAUUUCAGAAGAAUCUGUAUGUGGUUCUCCUGCUCAAGUGCCUACUUUUCAGGGUGCAGCAUAUAUGUUGAGACCGGCAUAUGAAAUCACUAAACUUUAACAGUUGAUCCGAGGCUUCUCUAGCGAAGGAUUUGGAAUUAAUUUGGGGAAGGGGUGUUUUUUGGGUAUAUGAGUGUGUGCAUUCUUUCAAUCACGUAGCUUCGUGCCAUUAACAUAAUGGCAAUUCCACAAUGGUGAUAAUGAUAAUUUUAUGAUUGGGGCACAGUGUUAGGAACUCUUUACUGGUUUUUCUUUCGCAUCUGUGUCUAUGAUUAAGGUUGUUUAAGGUGGUAUGGAUUUCAGUACAUUGAACAAAAAAUUAUUUAUUUUUAUUCUAAUAAAAAUACCUAAAAAUCAAACCUAAGUUAAAAAAAAUAAAGUUUAAAAAAUUCUGAAAUUAAUCAAAUUUUAAAACUUGAGACUUUUAACAGAUUAAUCCAACCUUUGAAUAAAUAAACUAAAUGGGGGUCAGUUUUUCUUGUGUCAGCUUGUUCAAUCCGACACUAUCAUUUCAACCUCUCACGAAUAAACAAAUCACUAAUGAUGUGUCCAUUUCUUCUACUUUAUAAUAAUUUUUAAUAAAAAGAUUAUUAAAGUGGUUCGGCUGUGGGAGCCACACGUGUCUGUGGCAGCGCACACCCAAGAGAAGUCAGUCUGGUUCCGAGAAGAAAGUGAACAUGAGAUGAUGAGAUGCCGUAUCAAAUGGGGCCACGUAGACAGAGGUGCUUCAAGGUGACAUGUCAGCAGAUACCUCCACCGACGAUUUUCAAAAUAAUUUGAACGGUUGGGAUUUUAUUACAAUGGUGAUAACGGUUACACAUAAAAAUUAAGGAAAGAAAAAAAAUGAUUAUAAUUAACGGUGUACGAUCCAUGUUGUCGAUACGCCGUUGGACAACUUUCAUUAGACUGAAGAUAAUAGUCAAUUUGUCACUCACAUUAAAAAAAUUAUCUGCGUCGCGCUAACACACUCUUUCACCUUCAAUGUACUGAAACUGGGGAACUACAUGUAUGAUUUUCAUUCAGAAAAACCGAUGGGAACUAAUGACUUUCCAGAUUAAAAAAAAAAAAAAGUAGGAUUAUCAAACUAUGCAGCAUUGUUAUGUAAAGUUUUAUGGUUAUUUUAAGGCUAAAAUUGGUUUAGAAAUUAAUUAAAAGACAAUAUUCAUUCUAACAUAAAAGGAGUUUUUAACAAGAGGAGGAGGUUCCUUUUAUAAUUUACUAAUUUAUACAACCUUUAAUAUUAAAACAAUAUUUUAUAGAUUAAGGACGAUGAUUCUUGCUCACCUAGUAAGAUAUGUAGACAUAACAUAGAUGUGGUGAGCAGGGAAUCAAUUAUGUAUUUCUUGUUUCUGAGAAAAUAUAUAAUCCUUUAACGAGGAUUAUCAUCAAUUGCAGGUUUCUAGUUUGGUUGCUUAGUUUGAGGAAAGAAUAUAUGCUAUGGUGUUUGGCUGGUCUGCUUUUUUCUUUUCAAUUAAUUUAAUAUUCUUAUGCUAUGGAAUUGAUUAUCAUAACUAAAGGAAAGAAUAUAUACUAUGGAAUAUAUGCUAUGGUCUUUGGCUGGUCUACUUUUUCUUUUCAAUUAAUGUAUUAUUCAUAUGCUAUGGAAUAUGAAUAUUACAUUAAGGAAAAGAAUAUUGCAUACACAGCACACUAUAAUACUCUAAUUACCAAUUAUUUAUCUUGUAAUACAAGUUCAUAGCGAUUAAUUUAUCCCUCUUCAGCCAAAAAAAAAGUCCCAUUUCAGCACAUAUACAAGAGCCCUCAUUUUUCUUUGCUUCAGCCAUUUUAUAGCAGAAUCAUCACAGACACUUUGAGCUCUGCCGAAUCAUCAUAGACAAUUUGUGAUUGGUGGGAGCAUUACAAGAAAGGUACGACUACUUCGAACCGAUAGAUUUGUUUAUAUGAUUUAGCUAUCGUUUUAACUUUUAACAAUAAACAAGAGACAAUCAUGUACAUCAUUGGUUACAUAAAUAUUAAAAUGAGAUAAAUUUAUUCCUCUACUUGCCAGAUCCAUACAUAUUAAAAUGAGAUAAAUUUUAAGGUUUAAAAAUUUGCAAUUCAUCAAAAAUCUAGUGCGAUAUUAAGCGGUAAAAUCACUUAGGGUUAGUACAAGAGGUUUAUGAUUCCCUGACUCAUUUAUAUAGGAGGAGAGGGAAUUAGGCAAUAAUGAAUUGAUACAAAUUAAUAAUUAUAUUAUAAAAAGAAAUAAAUUUCAAGAGAGAUCAUAAGUUCGUAGAAGAUUGUAUGUAAGUUAUUUGUAGUGGAAUGGAGUUUUUUUGGAGAGGCUAUUUGGCUUGGAAUAUAUAUUAGAAUGAGAUUAUUUGAACCCACCGCAAUACUCUCUAAAAUCCACUUUUCAAUAAAAAAUUUCAGUACAAAAUUUUCCUUAAUUAAAUUACUAUUUUAGCCAAAUAUUAUGUUGAUUUAUCUCCCUAAAGUUUUUAUUUUUUUUCACCCUUUUUUCUCUUUUCCUCUCUGUUUCCCCAAUUUUUUUUUUUCCAGUCCUAUGUGGUUCUUAUAUUUUAAGGCUUCUAUUGGAGUAAGAUCUAUAUUCAAAUUGCUUAUCCAAAAAAAAAAAAAAAUCUUUUAAAAUUUGCCUUUCCUUUACCCUUGAGUCACUAUUAGAUGUAUAUGCUCCUCAAGAAACUUUAGUAAUUGGAUUUCUAUUAAAUAUUUUAAUUUCAAAAAAUGAGAAGGUCACUAUACAAAUAUCAAAAGAUCACCAACUUAAUUAUACUAGUUAUAAUUGAGGGAAAUAAAAGACUUACUAUUUCUGUUUGAAGUUAUUAUGAUGAACAAAGAAAGGGGGAGGGGGGGGGGGGGGGGAAACAAGUCGCUGCAAUUGCAUCAAUUGAGGACAUGUUAAGAAACGUAUCAUUGAGAUAAGAUUUAAUUGAUAAAAAUAAGAUUUACUAGAAAGUAGUGAGAGAAACAACUAACAAAAAUUCAUGAUACUUAUUGAGGGUAUAUUGAGAAUAUUUGUGGCUUUUUUUAGUUAAAAAAAUAAAGUUUUAAGUUGUGAUAAUGUGUUUAUUACGUAAAUGAGUUUAUUUAAUAUUACAGUGGAUUUAAGUAGCCUUACCCUUCAUAUUAUAAUAAAUUUUUACAUUACUCUAUAAUAGCCCUACUAUAGAGGACAAUGUAAUGAAAAUAUUGUUACUCUUAUACCUAUUAAAAGAAACAAUAUUAUCUUGUACGUACAAGAACGUUCUACUGCCCAAGUAAAAGUUUUAGUAAAACGUAUAAGAACUCUAAGUGUAAAGAGAAUUUCGUCAAGGUACUAUAGUAGUAUCUAAUGCUCUUUGCUAGUGUAAACUAUUUGUGCCACGUGUAGUAUUUCAAUCUUCACAAGUGGCAUUGCAUAUAGUGGUUCUUAUUUCAGUUCCUCAGAGGCACUCUAGAGGUACGUUAGCUUAUAAGCUAGUAUUUGGUCAUCAUGUGCUUCUUUUAAUGAAACAUGUGGUUCAUUUUGUCCUUAUACGAGAGCCUUUUGUGUGGAAUAACCUUGUAAAAUGCUCAUUUAUCAAGGACACAUGUCGUGUUGUCAGAACAUAGUAAAAAUAUGAUACGCUAACCCAUGUGCAUUUAUGAAAAAUCAAAUGAAAACAAAGAACUAAAAAAAAUGCAAAGGCUAAUUCAUAAUGUUUGAGUUUGAGAUGAUUAAUAUUUAAUUUUAUGGUUGCAAAGAUAAGAAUAAAAGUAGGUCUAGUGAGAAAUACCCUCAUAUUAUAAUACUAUUUAAAAUAAAUUUUGUUAUAAAAGAUUUUAUUUAAUAAGGUAUGGAGACUGUUCAAAAUAUAUUUUACGCACAAACUCAUAUGUUUGACGUAAUAGUAUGUCUCAUGCUAGGACUAGCAAUGGUCAAAUCAACCUAUUUCGAUAAGAUCCAUCAAAAUUAAUAUUUAAAAAAUUUAUCAUCUCAUUAUACAAUACACAGCUUUGCCAUCACAGCUUUGCCAUCUAGUAGAGAAUGAUUGGUUGGCACACCAUAGUUUACACGAAUAUUUCUAAUAUUUGAAUCGUCCGAAAAAAAAAACCUCUUUCUAAUUUGAGCUAGACAGAGUUAAAAAUGGUGCGAAACUCUAUUUUGAUUAAAAUUCAAUGACUUUCUUCGUAUUAAUCAAAUUAAUUAAUUAUUUUGGUAAAAAGAAUUUGCCAAUUGUGUGGCGGUCUUGAGACCCUUGACGGUGGUGAAAUUGAUUCACGGUUUCAAAUGAAGACAUGCAGCGGAUGCGUGCGUGCCGUAUGACAUCGAUGAAAAAGUAAAGAGUUUGAUUUCUCUAUUUUGCCCUUAAUUAAUCGUUGACAUCUAAUUUUACACUCCCAACAAAUUUGAAUGAAACAAUCCUAAUGUUCACUUUCUUCUUCGAUUUCAUUUUACGACUUAACAAAAACGAGAUGCUCCUGAUGAGGGGAAGGAGAAGAAGACACAGCGAAUUCGCAAGAACGUGUACAGAGGAAUAAGGCAGAGGCCAUGGGAGAAAUGGGCAGCUGAAAUUAGAGACCCUUACAAGGGCGUCCGCGUUUGGCUCGGCACAGCCGAAAAAGCUGCAAGAGUUUAUGCUGACGUCGCCAAGAAUAUCCGUGGCAACAAGGCCUAGCUCGACUUUGCUCACCGGCCGCCAGUAACUCCACCUCCAGGUAAGAAACGCUUCGUGCUAUCUCGUGAGUUGACUCAGCCGAGUUUCGGAGAUUACUUUUUUAUUGGUUUUCAUUGAUUUCUUUUCCUGCUCUUAUCUACGAGGUUGUGCUCUCCCUUGGAUGCCCUUUAAUAAACAGCUUUCCUAAUAACAACUGAAGCGAAAAGUCAUUUUAUCAAAUGAUUUGGUGAAAUUUCAAGUGCUUUCAUCUUGGGAUGUGGUAUAUGUAUCAAGUUCUUAUUGCUGGUGAACAUUACUGGUUUAGUGUGCGAUCGUUUACUAUCACUGCAUGCAUUAUCAGUUUAUUUUAUUGAACUAUCCCAAAUCAGUAACGAAUCCUCAAUUCCCUCUGUUUUCUUUGGAUCCUAGUAGUGUUUGGCAUGCAUCAACUAGUGUUCAUGCAUGUGUCGGUUCAUCAUAGACAACUUCAGCACACAUACAACAGCCCUCAUUUCUCCUUGCUCCAACCAAUCGAUGGCAGAAUCAUCACAGACACCUUGAGCUCUGUCGAAUCAUCAUAGACAAUUUGUGAUUAGUGGGAGCAUUACAAGAAAGUUACGACUACUUCAAACUGUUAGAUUUGUUAAUAUGAUUCGGCUAUAGUUCUAUAAUUGGUGAGUUUUUGUGGGUUUGUUUGAUAUUUUUUUGUGGGUUUGUUUCUCAUAAUCUUUAUCCAGUCAAAGCAAACGUUCGCCUCUCACAUUGACGGUUAGGCUAGAUGUUUGACCCUGAAUAAGAUGAUUGAGUUUAUUAUAGUCUUCUUAUAUUGGCGGUUCAAUAUCAUUUUGAAAUAUCACAUCAAUUCCGCUUUUGGAGUUUUAAUCCAUGCCCAGUUACACCUUUAUUUUACUUUUAAGCUGCAACAUUGAGUCACAUUCUUUUUCUGAUAUUAUUACGAUUAGCGACUGGUACAGUGGUAUUUGAACUGCAUAGCGUGUCAACAUUCACUCUAAAUGUCUUAGAAACUCUGUCUAUCACUAAUUUCCUAGAACAGGCCUCGUUGACAGUCAAAGAUUUGAGGCGUAUUUCUGGAUUGAAGGCUUUUCUCUAGUCAAUUUGAUGAUAAGCGCAUUUAUUAUCUCCAGCAUUAAGCAGUAAUUUGUAACUAGUAGUAGCCAGUACCUAAGAUGUUGCAUUUGACUGUCUUCUCUUUCUGGUUCAGUUUCGACCUUUGGAGCUGUUUUAGACAUGGUAACGGAUAGGUAAUUUCUCUCUACCCCAGCCCCCAAUGUAUCAUUAGUCAUCAUUCGUUCUGGUUGGUGGAGAUACACAUACUAAUUUGGAUUAUUGUCCGUGCCUUCGUCUUUUGUCAAUAAUCUUUUGCAUUUCAGGAUUAGUACAGCUUGUCUACUGGUAAUACUCUCUCAAGUAUACAGGUAAGACUUUGUUACGUUUUCUUGACCCGUAAUCUAAUGUUUUAAGAUGAAGGCAUAAUUGAGCUAUUUUGCAUCUCCAUGCAGGCCUGGUUUGGUUUUUGUGUCACUACCUGCAUUAGAUAUUGGUAGUCAAUGGCUGCAGAUGUACAGGUACCUUUUCGUUUCCCUGACAUAAUCUCAUGUUACAUGAAAUUGCUCGUGGAACUGGGAGAUUUUUUAUUUUUUAUUUUUUAUUUUUUCAUAUUUACUAAAGAAAAGUGUUACUUUCGUUGGGAAAAAUGCCUACCACUCUUUAUCUCUGUUGCAGUACAUUCUUAACAGGAAAAACUAGCCAUAAAGAUGCAAAAGACAGCACAAAUUGGCUUUUCAAAGCCUAUUAUGGGAACCGGAUGUUUAUGGGUUAUUGUUGUGUGGCGUGUGAGGUAAUUGUAGCUUUCCGUGUUAUUAUACAUAUCAGGAUUUGCAAAUGUUAUCAGUACUUUUUACCUGAUCCAACUGUUUCAACCCUGCAGCUUCUUUACCUAAUCCUAUUUCUUAUUGCGGAGAAGCAGAGGGAAAGCUUGGUGGAUGUAGGCUCUCAUUUUCUUGCUAUUAGAUUGUUCUGAAAAUAGAAAUAUUUCCCCUGUUUCUCGAUUUUUCAAACAAUUUCUUCUUUCAGGUUGUGGCGAGUGCUGUGCAACAGGGUUCGCCUCUUUCCUUCCUAGUUGCAUUGAGUUUAUUCGCAUGGGCGCAAUCAAGCAAACGAUUAAUGUCGUACAGGUAACUUCAACCCCAUAUGAUGGUAAUGUUCGUUUAAAUAAAUUUCUUGAUGUCUACAAAUUAAGGAAACCUUUGUAUGGGUAAAGUUGACAUUUUACACUGGCAUUAUGGAUCUUGAAAUCGGUCUGUUUUAGAUUCACAUGCUGUGAUAUGCUCUAAUGUUAAAACUCAAACCUUUUCUGUAUGUUAAAUGGAUUGUCGUGGAUAUGCCUGGGAUGAUCAUUUUCUUCGUUUUCACUCAUCGUCUUUGUCAUCGUAGUUAUAAUUGAUUGUGGAGAGUGAAAACGCACUGUGAUGAAUGAAUGCAAAAGCUAUGUAAUUAAGACUACAUUUAUUAGGUUGGUGACCACAAAUAAUCGGAAGGAUAUUCACAAUAGUGUUAUUGAAGCUCUAUAUGGAAUAAGGAGACCAAACCUGUAUGUGAUAAGAGUUGUAUGAAUACCAAAUGAAUUGUAAGAGGAUAUGGUUACUUUAGAUUGCAAUUUAAGAAUGCUUGAGUUCUAAAAGCACAGAAAUGGGAUCAGUCUCUUGCUCGAGGGUAAACUCCUUCGUCAGUUAGUGAACUGUCCAUCAAAAGUAAAUAUUUAUGGGAUUGAGAGAAAUUUUGAUGAAAACAAAAAUCCUGUAUGCAUUUGCUUGCCCCCAAGGAGCUGAAGAUUCUCAAAUUGUUUGUAGACGUAAUAGUUCUUCUGAUAUCAUUUGGCUUGCUAAUCUUUCUUGCUCGAAAAUUUACCCGUUGUGUGGUCUUGAUGGUGGGUGAAAUUGAUGUGUGGUUUCAGAUGAAGACGGCAGCAGAUAUGUGUGUGCCAUAUGACAUCGAGAAAAAGCAAAAACCUUAAAGAGUUCAUCAACAUUUUCCAUUCAGAAGAAUCUGUUUUGUGGUUUUCAUGCUCGAGUGCCUACUUUUCAGUAUGCAAGCAGAGGAUUUGGCAUUAAUUUGGGGAAGCCUUUUUUUUGGGUAUAUGAGUGUGUGCAUUCCUUCAAUCACGUAGCUUUGUGCCAUUAACAUAAUGGCAAUUCCACAAUUGUGAUAAUGAUAAUUUUAUGAUUGGGGCAUAUUGUUAGGAACUCUUUACUGGUUUUUCUUUCCCCAUCUGUGUCUAUGAUUAAGGUUGUUUAAGGUGUUAUGGCUUUUAAUCUGCAAUCAUUGCGAAAGGGACUCACUAGCCGGCAAAUAAUAAAACAUGGUGCUGUCAAAUUUUAUAAGGAUUAUAUAUACAUACACUUUCGUCUUCAAUGCACUGAAACUGGGGAACCAUCUAUAUGAUUUUCAUUCAGAAAAACCGGCGGGAACUAAUGACUUUCAUGAUUAAAAGUAGGAUUAUCAGAUUAUGGAGCAUUGUUAUGUAACGUUUUAUGGUUAUCUUAAGGCAAAAGUUGGCUUGGAAAUUAACUGAAAGGCAAUAUUCAUUCUAUCAUAAAACAAGUGUUUUUUUCACAAGGAGCUGAAAGUUCUCAAAUUUUUUGUAGACGUCAUAGUUCUCCUGAUGUCAUUUGGCUUGGUAAUCUUUUUUGCUCGAAAAUUUGCCCAUUGUGUGGUCUUGACGGUGGGUGAAAUUGAUUUGUGGUUUCAGAUGAAGACAGCAGCAGAUGUGUGUGUGCUAUAUGACAUCGAGAAAAAGCAAAGGCCUUAAAGAGUUCAUCAACAUUUUCCAUUUCAGAAGAAUCUGUUUGUGGUUCUCCUGCUCGAGUGCCUACUUUUCAGUGUGCAAGCAUAUAUGUUGAGACCGGCUGAUGAAAUCACUAAACUUUUACAGUUGAUCUGAGGCUCCUCUAAAGAAGGAUUUGGAUUUUGGAAUUAAUUUGGGGAAAGGGUUUUUUUCGGGUAUAUGAGUGUAAGCAUUCCUUCAAUCACGUAGCUUUGUGCCAUUAACAUAAUGGCAAUUCCACAAUGGGGAUAAUGAUAAUUUUGUGAUUGGGAACUCUUUACUGGUUUUUCUUUCGCCAUUUGUGUCUAUGAUUAAGGUUGUUUAAAGUGUUAUGGGUUUUAAUCUACAACCAUUGCGAAAUGGACUCGCUAGCUGGCAAAUAAUAAAACAUAGUGCUGUCAAAUUUUGUAAGGAUUAUGCAUACACACUCUUUCGUCUUCAAUGCCCUGAAACUGGGUAACUACAUGUAUGAUUUUCAUUCAGAAAAACUGGCGAGAACUAAUGACUUUGCAGAUUAAAAAAUAAGUAGGAUUAUCAGAUUAUGUAGCAUUGUUAUGUAAUGUCUUGUGGUUUUUUUAAGGUUAAAGUUGGUUUGGAAAUUAAUUAAAAGACGAUAUUCAUUCUAUCAUAAGACGAAUUUUUAACAAGAGGAGAAGGUUCCUUUUUAUAAUUUACUAAUUUAUACAACCUUUAAUAUUAAAACAAAAUUUUAUAUAUUAAGGACGAUGAUUCUUGCUCACUUAGUAAGAUAUGUACAUAACAUAGAUGUGGUAAGCAAGGAAUCAAUUAUAUAUUUCUUGUAUCUGAAAAAAUGAAUCAUCCUUUAACGAGGGUUAUCAUCAAUUGCAGGUUUCUAGUUUGGUUGCUUGGUUUGAGGACUAUGAAUAUUACAUUGUCAUAACUAAAGGAAAGAAUAUUGUAUACACAGCACACUAUAAUUACCAAUUCUUUAUCUUAUAAUAUAAGUUCAUAGUGAUUAAUUUGUCCGUCUUCAGCCAGAAAAAAAAAAAAAAAAAGUCCCAUUUCAGCACAAAUACAAGAGCCCUCAUUUUUCUUUGCUCCAGCCAUUUUAUAGCAGUGUCAUCACAGACACCUCAAGCUCUGCCGAAUCAUCAUAGACAAUUCGUGAUUGGUGGGAGCAUUACAAGAAAGGUACGACUACUUCAAACUGAUAGAUUUGUUUGUAUGAUUUGGCUAUAGUUUUAACUUUUAACAAUAAACAAGAGACAAUCAUGCACGUCGUUAGUUACAUAAAUGUAGAUACUAAUUUAUUCCUGUACUUGCCAGAUCCAUACAUAUAAAAAUGAGAUAAAUUUUAGCGUUUAAAAAAUUUCAAUUCAUCAAAAAUCUAGUGCCAUAUUAAGCGGUAAAAUCACUUAGGGUUAGUACAAGAGGUUCAUGAUUCCCCGACCCGUUUAUAUGUAGGGGUGGAGAAGGUUUUAGGCAAUAAAGAAUUAGUAAAAAUUAAUAAACAUAUUAUAAAAAUAAAUAAAUUUCAAGAGGGAUCGUAAAAGAUUGUAUGUAACUUAUCGUUAGCGGAAUGAAAUUUUUUUGGAGAGGCUAUAUUUGGCUUGGAACAUAUAUUAGAACAACGUUAUUUGAACCCACCGCACUCUCCAAAAUCCACUUCUCAAUAAAAAAUUUCAUUACAAAUUUUUUCUUAAUUAAAUUAUUAUUUUAACCAAAUAUUAUGUUAAUUUGUCUCCCUAAAGCUUUUAUUUUUUCACCCUUUUUUCUUUUUUCCUCUCUGUCUCCCCAAUUUUUUUUCUAGUCCUGUGUGGUUAUUAUACUUUAAGGCUUCUAUUGGAGUAAAAUCUCUAUUCAAAUUGCUUAUCCAAAUUUUUUUUUUCUUUUAAAAUUUGCCUUUCCUUUACCCUCGAGUCACUAUUAGAUGUAUAUGCUCGUGAUGAAACUUUAGUAAUUCGAUUUCUAUUAAAUAUUUUAAUUUUAAAAAAAUGAGAAGAUCACUAUAAAGAUAUCAAAAGAUCACCAACUUAAUUAUAGCAAUAAUUAAGGGAAUUAAAAGACUUACUAUUUUUGUUUGAAGUUAUUAUUACAAAGAAAGAAAGGGAAAAAAAAAAGUCGCUGCAAUUGCAUCAAUUGAGGACAUGUUAAGAAAAGUAUCAUAGAAAGUAGUGAGAGAAACAACUAAUGAAAAUUAAUGAUACUUAUUGAGGGUAUAUUGGGAAUAUUUGUGGGUUUUUUGAAUGAAAAAAUAAAAUUUUAAGUUGUGAUGAUGUGUUUAUUAUAUAAAUGAGUUUAUUCAGUAUUACAAUGGGUUUAAAUGGCUUUAUCCUUCGUAUUAUAAUAAAUUUUUAUAUUACUAUAAUAGCCGUAAUAUAGAGGACAAUGUAAUGAAAAUAUUGUUACUCUUAUACCUAUUAAAGAAACAAUAUUAUCUUGUACAGACAAGAACACUCCAGUGCUCAAGUGUAAAAGUUUUAGUAAAACGUAUAAGAACUCUUUUAAGUGUAAACAGAAUUUCGUCAAGGUGCUGUAAUAGAAUCUAAUGCUCUUUGGUAGUGUAAACUAUGUGUGCCACGUGUAGUAUUUCAAUCUUCACAAGUGGCAUUGUAAAUAGUGGCUCUUAUUUCAGUUCCUCGUAGGCACUCUAGAGACACGUUAGCUUUGAAGCUAGUAUUUGGUCAUCACGUGCUUCUUUUAAUGAAACAUGUGGUUCAUUUUAUCCUUAUAUGAGAGCAUUUUGUGCGGAAUAACCAUGUCAAAUGCUCAUUUAUCAAGGACACGUGUCGUGUUCUCAGAACAUAGUAAAAAUAUGAUACGCUAACCCAUGUACAUUUAUGGAAAAUCAAAUGAAAACAAAGAACUAAAAAAAAGUACAAAGGCUAAUUAAUAAUGUUUGAGUUUGAGAUGACUAAUAUUUAAUUUUAUGGUUGUAAAGAUAAGAAUAAAAGUAGGUCUAGUGAGGACUAUCCUCAUAUUAUAACACUAUUUAAAAUAAAUUUUGUUAUAAAAGAUUUUAUUCAAUUAGGUAUAGAGACCGUUCAAACCAUAUUUUAGGUACAAACUCAUCUAUUUGACAUAAUAGUAUGUCUCAUAAUAUCUUUACAACAUAUUUCGAUAAGAUCCUUCGAAAUUAAUAUUUAAAAGAUUUAUCAUCUCAUUAUACAAUACACAGCUUUGCCAUCUAGUAGAUAAUGAUUGGUUGGCACACCAUAGUUUACAUAGAUAUUUCUAAUAUUUGAAUCAUUUGUUAGGAAAUUUUAAUCCUACCAAGAUCUUGUAAGUAAACAUAUCAAAUAAAAAGUAAAUAGAUAAUAUAUAGAGAAUAAAACCAAUCAUACAACACAAUAAUUUACCGGAGAAAAAUUCCUAUACUAGAGAAAAACCACGGCCGCCAAAGAUGACGAAAGAAAAAUCCACUAUGUAAAGAUCAUUACAAUCACUCUAGUAUUUUCCUCACAUACAAAACCCCAAUAACAAAUAAUCUCUCAUUCUAGAAACUGUCUACUUGUAUAGAACUGAUUAUUGUGUUAUGCAAACAAGUGAAUCUAACAUUCUUAUAUAUUGUGAUUAUUUCAUAUAAGAGAAGUAUUUAUUUCCUUAUAUAAUUUGUAUUCCUCCUUUAAUAAGUUCUUUGGAAUUACUUAUUCCUUAAACAUGAAUCCCCCAAACAAAAAAAUUACUAAAUAAAAAAAUUCUAGGAAAUAUUCUAAUUUAAGAUUUACAAAUCCUCAUUGAAAAAGGAGAUAUGUUUCUUAAAAAUCUCAACUUUGGCGAGUUUUUAAAUUAAACGACAAAAUAUGAUCCACCAUACAUCUAUGCAACCAUGUCGUCUCCACCUUCUUUAAUCUACCAAAACUACACUGACAUUGGAGUAAUGAGAAUCACUCCACCAUGAGUAAAAUCUUGUCCUCUAUCCAGCAGCCAUAAUUUUCUACAUCGAGAAUCAUCAUACUUCACAUUAUCCAGAGUACACAUGUUUGGCAUAUGUCGAUCACAUUUCUGAAAUUACCCACUCUCAUGUUUGGCUUCUUUGAGAGUCCUCAAUGAUCAACAUAAAAAGUCCACCACAUACCUUGCAUAAAUACUAAACUGCAUGUUGUGUGCACAUCUUGUGGACCCAUUAGCAAUAACACAUCCUCUUCCACGACACACCAAUAGAUGACACACAACAUGCAGUUUUGUAAAACAUCAUUUAUUACACUCCUCCAGGGGUUUCUACUAGUGGAAUAGGCCUGACAUUGCUCUUUGCUUUACUUGUAUAGACAGAUUGAAUCAAUAUGUUAUUGACUUGAGCUUCCUAAAAGCCAAAAUUAAUUAUUCCGUCAAACUUUUCUGUUUCCAUCUUCAUAGGUUUUGAAAACCUCCUUGUUGACGUAUUUGCUCUACAUUGCAGCCUUAGCUCUAUUAUCACCUGCUAAGAAAUAAUUAAUCUCACCUAAGAUUCGCAAGAAAAAAUAUGAAAUAAAUAGUAAAUAUAAAAUAGGUGGAGAAUAAAGCUAAUAAAAUAAUACAAAAAUUUACAUGAAAAAUUUCUAUAUUGGAGAAAAAUUAUAAUAGCUAAGGACGAUAAGAGAAAAAAUUAUUAUGUAAAUAUUAUUAUAAUUACUCUAGGGUUUUUCUCACACCUAAAACACCAAAAACACCUAAUUUUAAUAGAACUACUUUUCUCUCACACUAAAAACUAUUUACUUAUAGAUAACUGAUUGUUGAAUUAUGCAAAGAAGUAAACUCAAUCUCCAUAUAUAUAUAUAUGUAGUGAUUAUUUCAUAUAGAAGUUGUAUUCCUUUCCUUAUAUGAUUUGUAUUCCUCUUUGAAUAAGUUAAGUUCUAAAGAGAAAAUUACUUAUUUCUUAAAUAUGAAUUAUAUUCAAUAAGAAAACUAAAAAGUCUAGAAAAUUUCUAAUUUAAGACUUAAAAAUCUUCUUUGAAAAAAGAGACAUCUCCCAAUAUCCUCAAAUCCUCCUUACAAUGCCACCAAUCUCUUUUGUGACUAGCCCAGUUGAAACUUUUAAUGGAUGGGCUGUAAUUGCCAAUAUCCAAAUAAAACAAAUUUCCAUAGGUAUAUUGGUAGAUUGAAUGACAACUAACAACACAUGAUUUGAUUAACUUACUUCCAAAAAAAAAAAAAAGAUACAAUGGAUGAACAUAAGACUCUUGUGCCAACUCAUGGAAUUCAUCAAUAAGGCCUUGGCUGAUCCACCUCAUGACUAGUAGAGUUCAAACCCCCGCUAAAUAGUAAAAAAAAUAUUUGGAUUAUUAAUUACUCUUUCUUAAGUCUAUUUAAACUUAACUUUAAGAAUUAUGAACGUCUACACUUUAAUUAAAACAAUACAAGCCCACCCGUUUGUAUUUAAAAUUUUGUUUGAAUUUAUUCACGAGCAACAAGAAUAGUAUAAAUGGAAAAAAAAGUACCAUAAAAUAAUAUCCGAUGAUUCUGUUUCUUCAAUUUCAGGAGCAAUGGUGGAAUCAUAUUUUCCGAUUGAAAAACUUUUGGAAAAAUUAGGGAGCUUUGCUUAUGAAGAACUUUUAUUGUUCUGCGGUGUCAAAAAUGACUUACAAAAGUUAAAGGAGACGUUAACCACUGUCAAAAGUGUGGUUUUGGAUGCUGAGGAAAAGCAAAUCCAUAAUCGCCGGUUAAGCGAUUGGUUGGGAAAGCUUAAGGAUGCUUGUUAUGAUGCAGAAGAUGUGUUGGAUGAAUUUGAGGUGGAAGAUCUACGAAGGCAAGUCAUGAAGCAAAGAAGCAUCGGAAGAAAGUUUCGUAACUUUUUUGGAAGCUCAAAUCCGAUAGCUUUUCGUUUUAGAAUGUGUCAACAAAUCAAGAAAGUCAGAGAGAGGUUUGAUGAGAUUGCAAACAUGAUGCAUAAGUUUGAUCUCACUGCACGACUUGAUGAUCGUAGUUGGCGAAUUGUGCACAAAGAAAGGGAACCUACUCACUCGUUUAUGCAUCCAUCAGAUAUUAUUGGAAGAGAUAAAGAUAGAGAAAAGAUUAUUGAACUAUUGAUGCAAACAAGUGACGGCGAAAGUGAAACUGUGUCUGUGGUUCCUAUUGUGGGACUUGGAGGUUUGGGCAAGACUGCACUUGCAAAAUUGGUGUACAAUGAUCAAAGGGUAGAAGAGCAUUUUGAGUUGAAAAUCUGGAUAUGUGUUUCUGAGGAUUUUGAUGAGAGACAAAUUAUGACAAAGAUUAUCAAAUACCACGGUGACUUGGAUACAGACCAAUUGCAACGAAUCUUGCGAGAUCGUUUGAAUGGUAAGAGAUACUUGCUUGUUAUGGAUGAUGUAUGGAACGAAGAUCCUGAAGCAUGGCGUAAAUUAAAAAGCUUAUUGUUGGGAGGUGCUAACGGAAGCAAAAUUUUGGUAACCACACGUAGCAGGAAGGUUGCUUCAAUCAUGGGCACGAGGGGAGGUACUAUUGGCUACAACUUACAAGGUCUACCAUUCGAGGAUUGCUUGUCUUUGUUUAUGAAAUGUGCAUUUAAAGAAGAGCGAGAUAAACAUCCAAACCUCAUAAAAAUCGGGGAAGAAAUUGUGAAAAAAUGUGGGGGAAUUCCUCUGGCAGUCAGAGCACUAGGAAGUCUAUUAUAUUGCUCAACGGAUGAACAUGAUUGGGAAUAUGUGAGGGGUAAUGAGAUAUGGCAGUUAGAGCAAAAGGAAAGUGGCAUUUUACCUGUUCUGAGGUUAAGCUACGAUCAAUUGCCGCCUCAGCUGAAACAAUGUGUUGCUUAUUGUUCAAUCUUUCCCAAGGAUUAUGAAUUUGAUAGUUAUACUUUGGUUCAAUUUUGGAUGGCUCAUGGUCUUCUCCAAUCCCAUAAUAAGAAUGAAGAGUUAGAAGAUAUUGGUAUGCGGUACUUGAAGGAAUUACUAUCAAGAUCUUUCUUCCAAGAUUUGACUUUUGGGAUGUUUGGAUUGGAUUUUUUUUUUUUCAAAAUGCACGACCUUAUGCAUGAUCUUGCCCUGCUAGUGGCCAAAGAUGAAUUCCUAGUAGUGAACUCUGAUUGUCAAUUUAUUCCCAAAAGUGUCCGUCAUUUGUCAUUUGGUACUGCUAAUGCAUCAAGAAAUAACUUUUCAAGCCUUUUAUUUGAUCUAGGUCGUGUGAGAACCAUUUUCUUUUCAACUGAUGAUGAUGAGAAGACAAGCCAAUCAUUUGUUGAAUCAUGCAUCUCAAAGUCGCAGUUCCUAAGAGUGCUCAAUUUAAGUGAAGCUGCUAUUGAGGUUUGUCCCAAGAAGAUAGGAAAUUUGAAGCACAUGAGAUAUCUUGAUCUGUCGAAAAAUUAUAAAAUCAAGAAACUUCCAAAAUCCAUUUGCGAGCUACAGAGUUUACAAACACUGGAUCUUGAAGGAUGUCUGGAGCUAGAAGAGUUGCCUAAAGACAUAAGAUACCUUGUCAGUCUCAGAGUGUUUGCGCUAACCACAAAACAGAAGUCUUUGCAAGAGAGUGGAAUAAGGAGCUUGGGUUCUCUUCGUUGUUUGACAAUUUCUGGUUGUAGGGAUUUAGAACAUUUGUUCGAGGAGAUAGAUCAGUUAAGUCUCCUUCGAACAUUAUCAAUUGAAGGUUGUCCUCGUCUAAUCUCAUUGCCACCUGCUAUCAAAUAUCUCAGCUCAUUAGAGACUCUGCUUUUGGUUAGGUGUGAAAGCCUUGAUCUUAAUCUGAACGUGGAAAUGGAAGGUGAAGGAAGUCAUCAUGAUCGCAAAAACACAAGGCCUCACCUUCGGAGGGUUUUCAUCGGGGAAAUAACACAGUUAUUAGAACUGCCACAAUGGCUUCUUCAAUGUUGUACUGAUUCUUUACAGAGCUUG
This 146463-nucleotide long non-coding RNA is filed under the name Citrus maxima (pomelo). RNAcentral's name for it is "long non-coding RNA (CMAX_LNC003920)". Lineage: Eukaryota; Viridiplantae; Streptophyta; Magnoliopsida; Sapindales; Rutaceae. The record is from RNAcentral.